ACGAUGGAGCUCACUAAGGUCUCGAUGCACCUCACCGUGCUCCACUGCCCCUUGUGCCUCCGCCCCUUGACGCCUCCAGUGUAUGAGGUUCGAAUACACCUCGUCCGUUUGGCUGAUUGAGCAAGGUGCAGGUUUCUUGAUUGAUGUGAUGUUCGAUUGAUUUAUGCAGUGCAAGGGAGGGCACCUGGCCUGCAAGAUUGCCGCAUCGAGCGCCCCGGGAACCAGCGGCAGUGCCAGAAGUGCGAGCGCGGCGGUGGCUUCAACGUGCGGAACACGACGGUGGAUGUCGUCAUUUCGUCGCUGAGGGUGGAGUGCCCGCACGAAGGAUGUGGGCUCUACGUCACUUACCACAAGCUCGCAGAUCACUAGAGCGUGUGUCCGCUCGCGCCCUGCAAAUGUCCCAUGCCCAUGUGCGGCUACGAAGGCCCGCCGCCGGCGCUCUACCACCACAUCAGCAACGCGCAUCCCAUGUCCGUGCACAGGAUCCAGUACGGCAAGGUGUUCCAGCUACAAGUGCCACUGUCGGAACCACGGCUCUUGCUGUUCGUGGAGGAGGACGGCCGCGCAUUUUACUUGGUGGGCGGCGUGCUCGACAUAUUGCCAUGUCGGUCGUCUGCAUCAGAGCAGGGGCAUCCCCACUGCCGCACUACAUGGCCAAGAUGUCGCCGGGGGAGCCCAAAGUCAUGACCGACGCCGUCAAGGUGGAAAUGGAGGUGACAAGCAGCAAGGAUCCCGGCGACGUCGACGUGCAGGAGCUGACCUUCUUCACAGUUCCGCCCAAGCUGCCGGCCGGGGCUAAGCUAGUGUCCCUCCACAUUCAGAUUGACAAGCUCACGUCCUAAAGGUUUCUACAGUGCCUUCUGUUUAUCUUAGUAAUAUGCUAAUAUAGGGAUUACCUCGGUCUACUUUAGCUUAAGAAAUGGUGGGUUUUGGUGGCGAUGCAGCAAUUACUUCGACAUCAGAUCAGUAAUUUCCAACAAUCGAACGGAUAUUUUGUGUCUGUUGGAUAUAAAGUUCCUUUGGGUAAGAAGUAUUAGAUAAAAGGAGAUGUAUGUAGACGUAUUUUAGUUCUAGAUACGUCCCUUUUUAUCCAUUUUGAUGACAAGCACUCCGUCCGUUCCACAAUACAUGCCUUCCAUUUGUCAAAAUAUAGAUAUAUCUAGACAUGUUUUAGUAUAUAGGUACAUCCAUGAUAGAGCCAGUCAGAUGGUUGAGAACACUACAAUUCGUAGCUACAGAUGCGUGUGUGACUCCCAGAUGCAGAGGCCGGGGGUCAUCAUCCUCCUUUUUGAGAAAAAAUAGACGCGUGUGUGAGAGGAAGAGUGCGUGCGUGCACCUCUUCUCUUCCUGUAUAACAUACUAAACUCAUAGUACAAGUUUUUGUGGGUGGCACGAUGGUGCGUGCGAGAAGUCCCGAGAGAUAGGUUUAAUGCGUCUAAAAAAAGACUAGCCUAUAGCUCGCCAGGCAGCUAUUCCUGUCGAACGCCCCAUUAACCGUAAGAUAUGUAUACAACAGUGCCAGUUAUUGCACGUACACAAUAGUAGAAAAAGAACUACUACACCACGGCCAAGAACACGUGCCCACAUAACGCCAUCCGGGAAUAGUGCCGCACUUCGAAACUAGAACCGUCAAUAAAUUUUGAGCUUGCGUCUCCUCACAUUCCAAAUUACUCCAAGCUAUAUGGAAUUGCAAACUUGUUCACAACGAUCACAACCUAAACGGUUUCCCACUUAGGAGCGUAUUAGUACUCGGUUAUAAAUACUAGUAUGCCAAGAUGACUGCAAUUCCUCCUCAACUCCUCAUCCACAAAAACAAACAAGUCAUUCAACAUCCUUCCCUUGCGUCUGCCAUGGCCAGCGUGAGUUCUGGGUCGAGAGAUUGCCCCCAGAGAGAGGCGAGUAUGGAUGCGUAAGCACGAGAGAUGUCCCGCCUCGCUGCAAAAGCAGCCGACAUGUCCCGCCGCAUGGAAGUAGCAGCACAGAGGUCCCGCCGCGCCAUCGAUGCAGCAAACCGGUCCGGCCGCGCCACGGAAGAAGCAGAGAUGUCUCGCCGCGCCGUGAAUGCAGCAGAGAUGUCCCGCCGCGCCGCGGCAGCCUGGGAAAAUUUCUCGCGGGCAGGCGACGACUGUUACAGGCGCAUGCAUGCGAUCGUCCAUAGCCAGAUGGAUCAGAUCUCCGGCUAGGCGAGGUUGCAGGACGACAUGAAAGCCUCAUUUGAACAGGCUACCGGCGUCAUUCGACAACUAAGGGAGGGCAAUGAGAGGCUCCGGGGCAAGCGCGACCUGCUGAGUGCGAAGAUCGUUCGAAGUGCAGACCAGCAGGAGGAGACCAGUGCCUUGUUGAAGAGGACCGGCAUCAUCGUCAAGAAACUUAUGGAUGAGAAUGACAUGCUCCGCAUCGAGCGCCAAAGGCUGGUGGAGGAAUCCGUGGAUGUUCUCAAGCAGCGUCUUGAGGACACGAAAGAGCUCAUCGCCGCUCGCCGCGGAGACUAGUUCUCGCGGCCUGCGGCAACGCAUCAAGAAAGUAGAUAUCAGCAAGCCAGAUCCUUGUCGUCCUUCUUCUUUUGCCCUCGUGUAUUUCAGGCAUAGCCACAUGUGGCUUUUUUAAUUAUCUUUCUAAUUAUGUAAGACAAUUAAUCGUCCUUAUAUAUUCUUCAGUAUUUCUAUAAGUCGCAGUAGAUGCUAUAUAGGUCCGUUGGAUCUUACAUCAAGAUCCGUGCUUUCUGAUUUUCUUUUUUCUCUCUUAAAUCUCAGUCGAGUGAGACAUAGCCACGCCAUUAAACAGAGGCUCGGGCGCCAAUAAUGGAGACCUUGGGAGAGAGGUAGACGGCAGAUGGAGGUCAAAGGGCUCUCCUCCCAAUAAGCACGCGCAGGGGUCUGAUCGACGCCUCUUGUACUCAAAUAGCUACCCUGCACGGCGCCUCCUAGCUAAUAAAAAAUGGGGACGCAUGGCGGCACGUAAAUGGUAGUAAAUAGAACGCCCACGGUUUCAAUAAUACUUGUGUUUCCGAUAGUAACAUGACAACACUUGUUCCAAAAUGACUUUGUUGAUUGUUAAUGUGUGCGCCUUCGCAAAUCGAACAUGGCAGCAAGCCAAGUUUCAUUAUUUUCAUGCGUGUUUUGGAAUUCAGGAAUUAAAAAACUAAGUUUCUCAAUGUUUCCAGCCCAGCCACGACGCCCAGAAUUUGAAUUUCAUUCCCAUUUCUUGCAUGGAACCUAGAAAUUUACCCGAGGACACACAUGUGAUUUUUCAACCAACUUUGGUGCACUGGAACAUGUGCUUGUAUUUCAAAUUUCAAUUAUGCACACAAAGGUGACACGUUCCCUCUCAGAACCACGAGCCUUCUUGAGAGAAGCUCUGAUUUGCAAGAAGAUUAUACCCAAAUUUGUUCCUAUUCGGCCAAAUGUUUUUACCACGGAAUGGUACUACCAUGACAUGACACCAUGCCAAGUAUCAUGAUUUUAAAACCAAGUUUCUUAAUGUUCUCGACCGAGCCAUGAUGCCCAGUUGUUUGAAUUUUAUUCUCAUUUUUUGCAUGGGACCUAGAAAUUCACCCGAGGACACAAAUGUGAUUUUUCAACCAACUUUGGUGCACGGGAGCAUGUGCUUGUAGUUCAAAUUUGAAUUAUGCACAUUAAAUGACCAAAAACUCAAGUAAUGUGUAAAAAGGCCAAACGAAGCCAGAAUGAUUCCAAAAUUUAAUAGGGCACUCAUGUAGUUCUAUGUUACCUUUGUAAUUAAACUCAAGGGGGACAGUGUAUAUCGUUUCACACUCAAAGGUGGCACGUUCCCUCUCAGAACCACGAGCCUUCUUGAGAGAAGCUUCAGUUUACAAGAAGCUUAUACCAAAAUCUGUUCCUAUUCGACCAAUUCUUUUACCACAGCAUGGUAGUACCAUGACAUGACACCCAUGCCAAGUUUCAUGAUUUUCAGACGUGUUUUGGAUUUACAAGAAUUUUAAAUCCAAGUUUCUCAAUGUUCUCGGCCGAGCCACGAUGCCCAGAUGUUUGAAUUUUAUUCUCAUUUCUUGCAUGGGACCUAGAAAUUCACCCGAGGACACAAAUGUGAGUUUUCAACCAACUUUGGUGCACGGGAGCAUGUGCUUGUAGUUCAAAUUUGACUUAUGCACAUUAAAUGACCAGAAACUCAAUUAAUGUAUAAAAAUGACAAAUGAACCCGGAAUAAUUCCAAAAUUUAACAGGGCACUCAUGUAGUUCUAUGUUGCCUUUGUUAAGAAACUCAAGGGUGGGGGCAGCGUAUAUUGUUUCACACUCAAAGGUGGCACGUUCCCUCUUAGAACCACAAGCUUCCAAAUCAGCACAAUUUUUUACCACAACAUGUUAGUGCCAUGACAUGACACCAUGCCAAGUUUCAUGAUUUCUAGACAAGUUUUGGAUUUACAUUAAUUUAAAAUCUAAGUUUCUCGAUGUUCUUGGCCGAGUCACGACGUGAUGUUUGAAUUUCAUUCUCAUUUCUUCCAUGGGACCUAGAAAUUCAACCAAGGACACACAUGUGAUUUUUCAACCAACUUUGGUGCACCAGAGCAUGUGCAUGCAGUUCAUAUUUAGAUUAUGCACUUUAAAAGUCCAGAAACUCAAUUAAUGUAUAAAAAGGCCAAACGAACCCAAAAUAAUUCCAAAAUUUAACAGGGCGCUCAUAUAGUUCUAUGUUGCCUCUGAAAAGAAAAUCACGGGGGAGGCAUCAUAUAUCAUUUCACACACAAAGGUGACACGUUCCAUCUCGGAACCACGAGGCUUGUUGAGAGAAUCUCUGGUUUUGCAAGAAGCUUAUACCAAAACUUGUCCCAAUUCAGCCAAAAAUUAUACAUAUGAAAACAGGGUUUAGAUUAUCCCGAACAUCUCGCUACCUAGACCAAUAAUGUACUAUGAUUUAAAUUCAACAUAAAAUGGAUACAAAUAUUUGAAUUGGAGAGCAUAUGGUACAUGUAGUUCAUAGUGAAAUAUGAUUACUACUAUAUGCAUGCUUUUUGUUAUCAAGAUAAUAUUUAAAUUAUUGUAUAACUUGACAACAAUCGUAUUCAAAUAAGGAAAAUUGAUUCAAAUUUAGUCCAUAUGGUAGACGACAAUAUAUAUGUUCACAUGGUGGAGUAAAAUGUUCAUAUAUGAUGGAAGAUCAAAAUGUACGACUACAUCAAUUAUAAACCGCGAGGUCACCUAACGAUAUAUUCGAAUUCAACAUAACGUGGAUUAAAAAAAUUGAAAUUCGAGAUCUUGGCAUUUGUAAUCAUAUAAAAAGGGACAUUACUCUUUCUUUUGGUGGGAAUUGAUUUGUUUUUUGUUGUUGUUGAGGGAAGUGCGAAUCGAUUUGGUACUGUGCAGGGUAACCUUGUUCUCCCGAAUUUUUUUACAUUUUUCUUGUAGUUUUUUCAAUGGCAUCUAUAGCAAUAUAGUAAAAGGCGACAUGACUCUCUUGUGUCUUGUAUGAAUUGUUUUUUUUUGCACGUUAAGUUUGUUCUGCUGAACAAGGAAUCCGCACCUGGUUAUCCCGAAAUUUUCAAGCUCAAGUAUCUUUUGUCUCACCUGCUUUGAAACUCCUGCCUCUUCAACCCACGCCGCGCCUUGUUAUCCCGAAAUUUUGACGCGCACGAAAACUCCCUCCUCAUCCGAAAUCGGUCCCGCAGCCCAGACAUGGGAAAUCCCCCUUCUACCCCUCAGCCGGAAAUGAAGCUCCAGGUCGCAGUGUCAAAACUGGUGGGGGUACACUGGUAACUUACCCUACAUUUCGGACAAGCGNNNNNNNNNNNNNNNNNNNNNNNNNNNNNNNNNNNNNNNNNNNNNNNNNNNNNNNNNNNNNNNNNNNNNNNNNNNNNNNNNNNNNNNNNNNNNNNNNNNNNNNNNNNNNNNNNNNNNNNNNNNNNNNNNNNNNNNNNNNNNNNNNNNNNNNNNNNNNNNNNNNNNNNNNNNNNNNNNNNNNNNNNNNNNNNNNNNNNNNNNNNNNNNNNNNNNNNNNNNNNNNNNNNNNNNNNNNNNNNNNNNNNNNNNNNNNNNNNNNNNNNNNNNNNNNNNNNNNNNNNNNNNNNNNNNNNNNNNNNNNNNNNNNNNNNNNNNNNNNNNNNNNNNNNNNNNNNNNNNNNNNNNNNNNNNNNNNNNNNNNNNNNNNNNNNNNNNNNNNNNNNNNNNNNNNNNNNNNNNCUCUUCCCCGACUACGUCGUCCACCGCAACAGCUCACCUUCCCUCAUCCACCGCACCGAAUGAGGAUCCAUCGUCGAUCUCGUCGUCCCGCCGGAUUAGCCGCCCCGUCCUCCACCUCCAAGGAGCUGCCCCGACGUUCGCCUCGUCUAUCGCGCCACCUCAAUCCCCAUAGUGCCGUCUUGACCUGCCCCACCGGAACCGCAGCACCCUCACCAAUUCCUUCGAUGAAGUCGAGGCCAACUCGGCGCCACCGAGGAGGUUCUGCACUCACCGCUGCAUUUUAUCUUUUAUUCGAUCUCACGGGGUUUCCGGUGCUCGAUACCAAGCAGACAUGGCGGGUCUCCAUCGAUGGCGCCGUCGCCGGCCACAUCAUCCACGGCGUCUCUCCCCCAUGUCGUUGCUUCCUCAGCAGCGACUUCCACAACGGCACUAUGGGGAGGCCAUUGCGGCUCUAUUCUUGCUGUCGGUCGUGCUGCUGCAGUGCUCUUGCUUUCGUUCAUGCUGCUGCUCUGCUCUUGCUCUCGCUUGCGCUGCUACUGCUACUACACGACCUCCGGUAGCUACAGGAGUUGCUGCUUUAGCACUCACUCGCGGUGCUACUGCACGACUUGCUCUCUACUAGUGUGUUCCCUGCUCGAGCGUCUGCUGAUUUAGAUUGCUGCUUCUCUGCUACUAGUGCUUGAACUCCCUAAACAUCUAUUGCAAUGCUCUGCUACUAGUUCAAUCAGUUUCGACAUUAAAAUAUAGUUUUGACUGUAAAGUUCAUUUUCUUCAGUUAAGUUCAGAGUGAACUGUCGCGACAGAUGCGUUCUACAUCUAGCACUUUUUGGUGAUGUAUUUUAGAUGAUCUAUCACAGAUGAUAUUAGGGUCCCACUUCAGAUUAACGUUGUCUGUCUUGUCCUGUUUCAGCCUCGUCGCCGUACACCUCACCGGGGCUGCUCCAACAACGGAACUGUCCAUCACAGCAGAGCAGUACCCUCGGCGCCGUUUCCAGAGGCCUCGGAUCUUCUUCCCCACCUCCGACAGUCACACCAGCAUCACCAUCCUCCACGUCCAACCCAAUGAUGGUGAGGUCCACAAGGCCAUGCCAAAGAAGUUGUACACUCGUCGCAUCACUUUGUUACUCUACAUUCAUGUCGAUCCCUCAGGGAUCCUUUGCUAUGGAACUACUAUUUGUGCAAAUCUGUUAGAAGGAGUGGAGCAAAGCAAAACUGGAGGAUUUUUUUUCCUUUGGUGUCUCUUUCGAAGAAAAAACGUUGGAAUUUUAUUCACUUGGAUGUCCUUUUCAAAUUAAUAUGCAUGAAGAACAGAACUAAUUGCAUUACUGGCAUAAUAAGAUGCUUAUUUUUUCAUUUUCACAUGGUUUGACUUUAAUUUGACCACGUUUCUCCAUUCCUGUCUUCUUCCAAUUCAUGUGAACCAAACACCUAGGUUGACUAAAAUCCUAUGUUUCCAAAUGCUCUGUUUUGCACGUGCAUUCCUAUCCUAUUCCUGUGUUUUUCCUGUCCCUGCGUUUACAGAAUCCUCCAAUUCUAAGGAGCCCUUACAGAUUUACUUCAUUCUCAGAUAGGCGUCAAAGAAAACUCUGUUUGUUAUGUCCUGCUCCUACCGUGCCGUCAUCCACCCCACCUGAGGUGCACCAUCGACAAAAGCGUUCACAACAGCAGAGAUCCCCCCUGCAGACUUUCUUUCGAUGCCUUAGAUCAUCUUACCCGUUGCCGGCAGCCACGCCAACUGCAUUACCAUCAUCGACUGAGCAGAUGAACCUGAGGACUACACAGUUCUGGAAGAGAGGUCGCAGUCUUUCGUGUUUGCUUACGUUAUACAUCGGUUAUUAUUACCUGCUACUUUAUCAUUCAAACUUGAGUUUUGAAAUGCCCAUGGGUCUCAUAUCGAGCCAGCAACAAAUAGUAUAUGUCUACUAUCUGGUUCAUCUGGGUCUUCUAUGUGGUUCAUGUUGGGUGGGCAACAAACAAUAGAUGAUCCACUGUCUAUCUUUUUAAACUGAAGCUAUAAUCUACCUGCUAUCAUUAGUUUUGAAUCCAUCCACUCAUUUGCUACCAUCAGUCUUGAUUUUUGCAUGCACCCCUUAGGUCUUACAAAGUCUAACUAUUUUCUUAUUAUGCAUGUCAGAUAUUGUACACAAUCAUACUGAACAUGUAGAGAAAAAGAGAGGACCAUUGCGUGGGUAUAUAAUGUCAUGCAGACGCCGCUCCAUGGUGGGCGAAGUGCCCCCCCCCCUCCCGCAUUUCCAGAUUGUAUUCCAGAGGAAGAUAACUAUUUAGAUGGGGAUUCAGAAGGAGGCGACCACGCCUGUUUACCACCUGAGGUGUUUGCUCUAACUUGGCAUGCUGAUGUUGGUCAUAUCAUGCAUAUGGCGCCUUGCAUUGCUUACAUUAUACAUCUUAUAUGUCAUCAGCUUAGUUUAUAUUUGCUUUGUGUGAAUGCCACCUGUUUGGUUUCUAUAUCAUACUCCCACCAUUUCUAAAUAUUUGUCUUUUUAGAGAUUUCAACAAGUGACUACAUACGGAACAAAAUGAGUGAAUCUACACUCUAAAAUAUGUCUAUAUACAUCCGUAUGUGCUAGUCCAUUUGAAAUCUCUAAAAAGACAAAUAUUUAGGAAUGGAGGGAAUUAUGCAAUGCAUCUUCUUUAGCCAGGCAUCAUAUACGUGAAUCAUGCAAUGCCAUCCUGUUUAGCCAGUCAUCGUAUAUGUGAAUUGUAUCGUGCCAUAUUUUUUCCAUAAUGUAUUCCAUUUGUCAACAAUGUUUAUAGAUUCAUCUACUCUUUCUGUGCAUCAGCCAUUUGAGUCGGUCAUGGGAACAUCUGGGGUGAAAACAAUGUCUUCUGAGCAGUCAGUGCUACCUGUCGAUGCAGAUUUGUUGCUGGUUACAGAUAGCUCCUCAGAGGAGGAUUCAGAGACAGAUGGCGAGUCGUAUCCCCCCCCCCCGAGGUGCAUGCUCUAACUUGGCUGGGUUAUAUUGCUCAUAUCAUGCAUAUGGUGUCUUGCAUUGCCAUGCCAUCUGCUUAGAUUAGACAUGCUUUGUGUGAAUGCCUCCUGUUUGCUUUCUAUAUCACAUAUGUGAAUUAUGCAGUUCCAUGUUUUUCAGCCAGUUAUCAUAUAUGCGAAUUAUGCACCGUCAUGUAGCCAGGCAUCAUAUAUGUGAAUUAUCUCAUGCCAUCUUUUUUUCAUUACAUAUUCCAUUGUCGACAAUCUGUGUAUAUUGAACUACUAUUCAUGUGUAUCAGCCAUUUGAGCCGGUUAUGGAAAAAUCUGGAGUGAAAACAAGGUCUUCAGAGCAGGCAAUGGUACCCGUUGAAGAAUAUAUCUCGAUGGUUACAGGGAGCUCCUCAGAGGAGGAUUCAAAGACAGAUGACCAGUCCUAUAUCCCGCCUGAGGUGUAUGCUCUAAGUUGCAAUGUUUUAUAUUUCUCAUAUGAUGCAUAUGGUGUCUUGCAUUGCUUAGUUUAGACAUCAUAUGCACAAUAUUGAAUUCCAUCUGCUUAAUUUAGAGAUCAUACAUGCGAGUGCCGGCUGCUUAGUAUAUGAAUCAAUUAUGUCAAUUAUAUCAUGCCAUCCUGUAUACUUAGACAACGUGUAUGUGCAUUAUUUCAUCCCAACCUAUUUUAGAAAGACACCAUAUAGUUUUGCCAUGUCAUCCUGUUUAGGUACUCAUCAUAUAUAUGUUGAAUUAUGCCAUUAUAUCCUGUUAAGUUAUCCAUCAUAUAUCUGAAACUGUGUCAUGCUAUCCUGUUUAGUUAGGCAUCAUAUCUGUGAAAUUGUGUCAUGCUGUCCUGUUUGGUUAGACACCAUAUAUGUUAAUUACCACAUCUGUCUAUCAUACAAUGUCUGUAUGUUCAGUUUGUUUUCUUGUUUAUCAGCCAUUUGAAUUGGAGGGGGUGAUGGCAGUAUCUAAGGGAGCAAAAACCCGUUCUUCACAAAAGACAGUGCUACCCGUCGAUGCAGAUAGAACCAUGGUUGUACUGGCCCACAAACUAGCCCCACCACACAUAAUCGAUACUCUUCCAGAUUGCACACUUACAUCGGUGGGCAGAGAACCAGCUACAACCCAUCUAACCGCAACCCCAGCGGAUAGUAACCCACUUAUAGUUGACAAAGCACCAUGUCCACCAUAGAGUACCCCCACAUGAGCAGUUUGUAAAGCUACUGCAGUGCCCAAAGCACGAAGACCACCACAGCUAACCCAAACUCCACGUUUAAAGCAGAAGAGGAACUGUUCUCAGGUCAGAUUCCGUAGCUAUGGUCCAUACUCCUUUGCUAUUGCAUCACUGUAUUUACUCAUACCAACUACUUUCGAAUUUGAAGGAUCCAAUUGAAACUCCAAUGGCGCAAUAGGUAUAUUUUAAACCUAUUUCUUUAACUGGAUUGCGGUUCUAACUUCUUGCUCUAUGUUGAUUUCAGUUUAAGUUGUAUAAACAGUUAUGUUCUCAUGUGAUGUACAUUACAAGUGCUGCCAAUGUUGUGUAGUUUCUCACACUUAUAUUCUACCUAUGAUGUUGUGUCUUAAAAAUAUAUGAGUUGAACUGUGUCUCUAUCUUGAUUAGGCAACAUAAACUAGAAUGAUAUGGACAAUAAAGUGACCAUAGUACAUAGAUAUAUGUUUGUUUCAUGCCGUUAUCCUGUCCACCUUACUACUGAACCAGUUUACCAAAAUGAGUUUCAUAUACUACAAGCUAAACCUGUGAUGUGUCUGUUUGUUUCUCUUGUAGUAUGCAAACAGAAUAUUCGAGAAGAGCACCCCACUAUGCAAUGGUAGAGAAAGUAAUGCGGAUAAGGUUCAAGAUAGUGAGACAACCCUGUUGAUCUCCAAGAAAGGUGAUAAAAGCGAUCUUGUAGACAGUGAGAAAACCCCACAGUCCUGCGUUGAUGUAGUGUUCGAGUUACUGGCCAGUACCGCUGGCAUGAGCUCUUCGAACUCGCUGCCUGAAUCACUUCGGCUUCUUCAGUCUCAACUACAAGCUGAAAGGCAUCAGUCAGCUGUGCUGCGGCAAGAAGCCGAAGGACUGAGGAAGUCCCUGCAGAAUUCAGAUGUGUACUUUCUUGUGCAAUAGCAAGCGCUGGAGGAUUUAAGCGCCAAACAAGAGAAAGUUAAUAAGCUUGCUAAGCAUCUUUCCAGCAUUAUGGGUACCCAGGAUAUUGUUUCUUGAGCUCUUCUGAAGUGGUUUCAGUUCUGGACUUGUUUUGCUACGGCGUUUAUAUGUUGCUUUGUUCCCUAUAUUUGCACUAGUGGCGAACUUUGAUGCCCAGUGGAUGUAAUAUGUGUAAUAGCCGUGAUAGCCUAGCAUAAGUUGCUUGCUUAUUUAUUUCCUUGUUGUCUUGUUUAUUUGUUUGCUUGUAGUUAGUGCAGUUCUUUUUCCGUGGUUUUCUAGUGGCCGCAAUAACCUAUUUUUUAAAACUAGGCCACAAUAACCAUGGGCUACAUAUUUACUGUAGUGGCACUGGGCCUCCUACCAGCCGUAGAAACAAUGGGCCUUCUAUGGGCCGUAGAAACAAUGGGCCUUCUAUGGGCUGUAGACACAAUGGGCUUUCUACGGGUCAUAUCAUCAAUGGGCCUUAUAUGGGCCGGACGAUCGAUCGGCCAAACAUGGGCCAAUAACAGACCGCAUUAUGGCCGUAAACGGGCUAGAGUUGGAAUCGUCUAUUCAUGGGCCGACCAUAAUGGGCCAUCGUUAAUAGGCCGUAUUUGAUGACGCUAUGAAAAUGGCCCAACGUAUUAACGGGCCACAAACGGGCCGACUGUAACAACGGGCUGAAUAUGGCCCACAAGUAGAAAAUGACAGUAACGGGCCAUAAGUAACUGAAUGCUGGAAAUGAGCCCAAGAAUAAAUGGGGCCUGAGAAGGCCGAAAGAUAACAUGGGUUGGAAACGGCCCAAUGGAAUAAUGGGUCGUUAAUGGGUAUAAAGUGAUACACUAUUCAUUACAGGCCAGUUUCACCACGGGCCAUUAAUGGGUAUAAAGUGAUACACUAUUCAUUGCGGGCCAGUUUCACCACGGGCCGUUAAUGGGCCAAGAAUUACAAAGUGCCUCAUAUGGGCUGAAAUACGUCAUGGGCCAUACAUGGGCCAGAAGUGAAAACAGGCUGGAAUCAUAUUGGAUGGCCCAGAUGACGCUACUGGGCCUAAUUCGGAUAGGGCGUAAUGGGCCUUGGGUUAGCAGACUGUAAAUGGGCUAUAUGCGAACAUGCUGUUAACAAGCUUUCCAUGGGCCGGCCCGCCACCUUUUGACCAAGUCAAACGGGCCGGCCAUUUAACAGGAAUGGGCCUCUGUUGGGCCGUGCACGUGUCGACGUAUUAUAAGCGCCUUCUGUCCAAUGAGUGGAUGACAUCUGUCCCAACGAUGAGCCGACAUGUCUUUCCUCCAGCCAAUGAUGAUUUUACACGUGGAAAAUCCCCAUUGGUCCGGGAUGUUAACGGGUUAUUGGAUCCAAAACCCGACCCGGUAGCUUAACCGCGUUCCGUUACGGUGGAUGCCACGUGUCAGUCACCCUUGACGAGAGCACUUCUGUGACGCGCGAUUUAUCAUCAUGGAAGUGGACACUUCCGUGAUGAUAAUUUUGGUAAUGUCAUGGAACACUUCUACGACAACACAUGUAUGACUAUCUUGAUUCUGUCAUAAAAUCGUCAUGGAUGUACAUGCAUGACAAAAAACGCGACCUACUAUGACAAACACGUAUCAUCACGGAAGAGUUUUUUUUGUAGUGGAUGCUGACUACUGGAAGGAAGUAGUUCAUAGCGAGAUGGAUUCCAUCUUGGCGAAUGAAACUUGGGAGAUAACUGAUCGUCCUUGUGGGUGCAAACCUAUAGGAUGCAAAUGGGUAUUCAAGAAGAAGCUUAGGCCUAAUGGUACUAUUGAAAAGUACAAGGCUCGGCUCGUGGCUAAGGGUUAUACCCAAAAGGAAGGUGAAGACUUCUUUGAUACUUACUCACCUAUGGCUCGAUUGACCACUAUUCGAGUUCUACUUUCAGUAGCUGCCUCACAUGGUCUUCUCGUUCAUAAAAUGGAUGUUAAGACUUCUUUCCUAAAUGGAGAGUUGGACGAGGAAAUUUAUAUGGAACAACCAGAUGGGUUUGUAAUAGAUGGUCAGGAAGGGAAAGUGUGCAAGUUGUUGAAUUCUUUGUAUGGACUCAAGCAAGCACCCAAACAGUGGCAUGAGAAGUUUGAAAGAACUUUAACAGCUUCAGGCUUUGUUGUGAACGAAGUUGACAAAUGUGUGUACUAUCGCCAUGGUGGGGGCGAGGGAGUUAUCCUUUGCUUGUAUGUUGAUGACAUACUGAUUUUCGGAACUAAUCUGAAUGUUAUUAAGGAGAUCAAGGAUUUCCUAUCUCGCUGUUUUGAGAUGAAGGAUUUAGGAGUGGCUGAUGUCAUUCUGAACAUCAAGUUGUUGAGGGACGAUGAUGGUGGGAUUACAUUGCUUCAAUCUCACUAUGUGGAAAAGAUCUUGAGUUGCUUUGUCUACAAUGACUGCAAGCCCUCUCCAACACCAUAUGAUGCUAGUGUGUUGCUUUGAAAGAAUCAAAGAAUUGCUAGAGACCAAUUGAAAUAUUCUCAGAUUAUUGGCUCGCUCAUGUACUUAGCUAGUGCUACAAGACCUGACAUCUCUUUUGCUGUUAGCAAACUGAGUCGGUUUGUCUCAAAACCAGGAGAUGUGCAUUGGAAAGCUCUAGAGAGAGUUUUGCGUUAUUUGAAAGGCACUGCAAAUUAUGGAUUUCACUACACUGGGCACCCAAAGGUGCUUGAAGGGUAUAGUGACUCAAACUGAAUCUCAGAUGCUGAUGAGAUAAAGGCCACGAGCGGAUAUGUAUUCACUCAUGGAGGUGGCGCUGUUUCUUGGAAGUCUUGCAAGCAGACCAUCUUAACGAGGUCAACAAUGGAAGCAGAACUCACAACACUAGAUACAGCUACAAUCAAAGCAGAUUGGCUUCACCGGCUCUUGAAUGACUUGCACGUUGUUGAGAAACCUGUACCGGGUAUCCUUAUGAACUGCGACAAUCAAACUGUGAUCAUGAAAGUGAAGAGCUCAAAGUAUAACAUGAAGUCAUCAAGACACGUUCAGAGAAGGUUAAAGUCUGACAGAAAAAUGAGAAACUCCGGAGUUAUUGCAUUGGAUUAUAUCAAGACACGUUCAGAGAAGGUUAAAGUCUGGCAGAUCCUUUUACUAAGGGUCUAUCACGUAAUGUGAUAGAUAAUGCAUCGAGGGAGAUGGGUAUGAGACCCACAAUAUGAGUUGUUCAUAGUGGUAACCUAUUCUUUGUGAUCGGAGAUCUCGUGAAUUAGAUGUGGAAGACAAGUUGUUGGUCAACUAGGAGGAGAGUACCCUUACUGUUAAAAAAUACCACUCCAUGAAGAUGCAAUACUCUCCUAAUCUGCAUGCCAGGUUGAUGUAUAUCUUAAUGUGUUCUAAGUGGCUCUUUGAAGCAGAGAUGUUGUCCUGCAGAACAUCUUUUGAAGAAUGCACCUAUAUGAGUCUGAUUGUUAAAUGUCGCAAUCUAUGAGAGUAGGGUUUUCUCUAGUAAACUCAUGAAAGGUCUCGGAGUAUGACGCAUAAGCUCCACCCGCGGGGAAGACCCACGGUAGGCACGUAUCGGUCAAGGCUUUAUGUGAAGCUAGAUUCGCAGAAAACUUGCAGUUCAAGGCCCAGUCCACUGUUCAAGUUGCUUACUAGUGUAGCAUAGAGUUCUAGGUGGAAUUUCAACUUAACAGUCUCCACUGCAGUACCGGUAUAUAAAACAGUGUUUUGGAACGAAAGGCAAAUUUUGUGUGCCUCUGGGAUCUGGUGGGGGAUUGCUGGAAUUUUUGUCAAUUUGGGCCUACCCCAAUAGCAGUUUCAGAAAUUCCUAAUAAAUCCUAGAGGCCCACGCAACCCAUUCGUGCAAGGCAAGAGGUGGAACUAAAGUUUAGUCCCACAUUGCUUGUUUAGAGGGAGUUGGACCUCUUUAUAAGGGAGGUUCUUUCCCCACUUGUAUAAGCACGAGAACAAGAGGGACAUCCACGCGCGCUCCUCCUCUGCCGCCGCCUUGCCAUGCCACGCCUUGUCAUGACGCGCCGCGGGUUACGGGAAUGAGCCAAGCCGAUGUCUAAAUUUUUGCCACGCACUACGCGCAUACGAAAGGUCGCUCGAAAGCUGAAAUGUUUUUCUGUACUGGACACUGAAUUCAAACGGCGCGCCUCUUCGGCUGCUGCAUGCUCGUUUCGUCUCCCGCGUUCCCUUCAGCUCCCGGCGCAGCCUCUCGCCUCCUUCUCUUGCGCCUAUAAAAGGGAGAGAGAUGCACCAGAACUACUUCCUCCUCUCGCCACCGGUUCCUGAGCACUGUGCUGCUGCUAUGAUCUUCCCCAUCCCGGCUUGCGGCGUGCACCGCAGGUCGGGACAGUAGGCCUCCGAAACUGCACCUUUUGAGUCCUGUGCAGGAGAAGGGUGAUAAGGUUUUUGGGGAGCACUCUGCGCGACUACUGACUCCACUCCUUCAUCACGGACUCCAAUGACUACUUCCUCGACGAUGACUUCUUCCCCGACGUCGACAACCUCCUCGACGACAUGGCUGGCGAGGACACCGACCCCAAGUCCAGUGCUACCGCUACUGCUGGUGUCUCGUACGUGUUAUUAAUCUUUCUGUUAGAGGUCUUGUCACAGUUCCUUGUUCUACUGUUUGCCCUACAUAUGUUAGGCUGUACUUCAUAUAUGCUGCUUGCCCUAGAUAUGUUUGCCUACAAUUCAUAUGUGAAGGUGAUAUUUACCUUCUCUUUGUUAGAUUGCAUGACUUGCUUUAUCUCUGCUAUUUUAGUCAUGCUUUAUUCAGUAUUUCCGUUAAUAAAAUCAUAUGGUAAAUUGCUCAUAUUUCCAACAAUCCAAAAACCUUAUGAUAGGCAAUUUACCCAAGUGGUUUUGCUGCUUCCAUGAGACCUCCUAUGUUUGAGGGUAUCCACUAUAAGAGGUGGUGCGUGAGGCAGUCUUAUGGUUUCAAACCAUGAGUUGCUAUGAUGCCACUCUUGGCAAACCUGAAGGAGAGCAAGAUCCACAACAGGCACAAGCUUUUCAGAAAAUGGAUACCUUGUUUAAGGCUGCUCUCUUGAGUGUUCUUGGUGAGAACAUAGUGGAUGCUUAUGCAUCAAUUUGAUAAUGAAAAGAUAUGUGGGACGCACUCGAGCCCAACUUUGGGGUCUUGGAUGCUGGCACUGAGCUGUACAUCAUGGAGCAAUUCUAUGAUUACAGGAUGACUGAAGAGCACUCCGUGGUUGAGCAAGCUCAUGAGAUACAAUCAUUUGCUAGAGAACUUGAGCACUUCAAUUGUAUCCUACCAGACAAGUUUAUUGCCGGAGGUAUCAUCACUAAGCUUCCUCCCACGUGGAGGAACUUUGCUACCUUACUGAAUCAUAGCUGGCCGGAGUUUUCCGUUCCGGAUCUCAUUGGUACUCUUGAUGUGGAGGAAAAGGCGAGAGCAAAGGACAACCGUGCUCGAGGUAUUGAGGGAGGUUCUAGUGCCAAUCUGGUAAAGAAGAAGAAUUUCCAGCCCCACAACUUCAAGAACAAGGGCAAGUUUGAUGGUAAAGCAAAGUUUGAUGGGAAGAACAAGGUUGUGCAGCACAUGAACUUCAAGAAGAAGAAUGACAAGAAGAAAGACGUUUGUCAUGUGUGUGGGGAUCCUGAUCAUUGGGCUCCUAGUUGCCCUAAUUGCUAUGACAAGCGUCAUCCUGGGAAAGGCGGCAAAACCUCUAAUGUUUUCAUUGGAGACACUGACAUGAAGGAUGUUGGGUAUGGUAUAUUUCCCACUAUUCUUUCAGUAUGUCAUUCUCCUGAUUGGUUGAUUGACAUGGGUGCUAAUGUGCAUGUAUGCGGUGAUAUUUCCAUGUUUUCGUCUUAUCAAACCGCAGGGACUUCCACCGUGCUGAUGGGCAACAGUUCAAGUGCUUCUGUUUAUGGUGUUGGCACGGUCGAUCUGAAGUUUACUUCGGGGAAGAUCGUGCAGCUGAAGAACGUGCAUUAUGUCCCCUCCGUCAAUAAAAAUCUUGUUAGCGGAUCUCUUCUGUGUAGAGAUGGCUACAAGCUUGUCUUUGAGUCGAAUAAAUUUGUAAUAUCCAAGUAUGGAACCUUUGUUGGUAAAGGCUAUGAGUCAGGAGGCCUGUUUCGUUUAUCCUUAUCAGAUGUUUGCAAUAAAGUUGUUAAUCAUGUUUGCAACAAUAGUGAAUCAAAUGUGUGGCAUUCACGUCUUUGUCAUGUUAACUUUGGUUGCAUGUCGCGACUAGCGAAGUUGAACUUAAUCCCUAGUUUCACCACUGUCAAGGGAUCUAAGUGUCAAGUGUGUGUGCAAGCUAAGCAAUCUCAUAAGUCUCAUGUGACUGCGGAAACGAGAAAUCUUGCACCAUUAGAGCUCAUACAUUCAGAUCUAUGUGAAAUGAAUGGUGUUUUGACAAAAGGUGGAAAGAAGUAUAUUAUGACGUUAAUUGAUAACUCCACUAGAUAUUGUUGUGUGUAUCUUCUGAAAUCUAAGGAUAAGGCUUUGAACUAUUUCAAGAUCUAUAAAGCUGAAGCAGAAAACCAACUUGAUCUAAAGAUCAAGAGGCUUAGGUCCGAUCGUGGUGGAGAGUAUUUCUAAAAUGAAUUUGAUUCCUUUUGUGCGGAACAUGGUAUAAUCCAUGAAAGGGCGCCUCCCUAUUCACCUCAGUCAAAUGGGAUGGCCGAAAGAAAGAACCGUACUCUAACUAAUUUGGUUAACGCCAUGUUAGACACAUCUCUCUAAGGCAUGGUGGGGGGAGGCGAUAUUGACUGCAUGUCAUGUCCUAAACCGAGUUCCCACAAAGAACAAAGAGAUAACUCCAUUCGAGGAAUGGGAGAAGAAAAGGUUAAAGCUCUCUUAUCUAUGAACAUGGGGUUGUUUGGCGAAAGUCAAUGUGCCUAUUCCAAAGAAGCGGAAGCUUGGACCAAAGACUGUGGAUUGUGUUUUCUUGGGAUAUGCUUUUCAUAGCAUUGGUUAUAGAUUCUUGGUUGUAAAAUCUGAGGUACCUGACAUGCAUGUUGGUACGAUCAUGGAAUCGAAUGAUGCGACUUUCUUUGAAGAUAUUUUUCCCAUGAAGGAUAUAGCUACCUCAUCUAAUCAGGAGAUGCCUAGUUCAUCGAAUCAGGAACCAGUUACAAUUACUGAACCUGCCAUCUCGAUGGAACACUUUGAAAGUCCUGUGGAGGAGAACAAUGAAGUUCCUACUAGGAGCAAGAGACAGAGGACUGCAAAGUCCUUUGGUGCUGAUUUUCUUGUGUAUCUCAUAGAUGAAACUCCCAGUUCUAUUUCACAGGCCUAUACAUCUGAAGAUGCUGAAUACUGGAAGGAAGCAAUUCGUAGCGAGAUGGAUUCCAUCUUGGCGAAUGAAACUUGGGAGAUAACUGAUCGUCCUUAUGGGUGCAAACCUAUAGGAUGCAAAUGAGUAUUCAAGAAGAAGCUUAGGCCUGAUGGUACUAUUGAAAAGUACAAGGCUCGGCUCGUGGCUAAGGGUUAUACCCAAAAGGAAGGUGAAGACUUCUUUGAUACUUACUCACCUGUGGCUCGAUUGACGACUAUUCAAGUUCUACUUUCACUAGCUGCCUCACAUGGUCUUCUCGUUCAUCAAAUGGAUGUUAAGACUGCUUUCCUAAAUGGAGAAUUGGACGUGGAAAUUUAUAUGGAACAACCAGAUGGGUUUGUAAUAGACGGUCAAGAAGAGAAAGUGUGCAAGUUGCUGAAGUCUUUGUAUCGACUCAAGCAAGCACCCAAACAGUCGCAUGAGAAGUUUGAAAGAACUUUAACAGCUGCAGGCUUUGUUGUGAACGAAGUUGACAAAUGUGUGUACUAUCGCCAUGGUGGGGGCGAGGGAGUUAUCCUUUGCUUGUAUGUUGAUGACAUACUGAUUUUCGGAACUAAUCUGAAUGUUAUUAAGGAGAUCAAGGAUUUCCUAUCUCGCUGUUUUGAGAUGAAGGAUUUAGGAGUGACUGAUGUCAUCCUGAACAUCAAGUUGUUGAGGGACGAUGAUGGUGGGAUUACAUUGCUUCAAUCUCACUAUGUGGAAAAGAUCUUGAGUUGCUUUGUCUACAAUGACUGCAAGCCCUCUCCAACACCAUAUGAUGCUAGUGUGUUGCUUUGAAAGAAUCAAAGAAUUGCUAGAGACCAAUUGAAAUAUUCUCAGAUUAUUGGCUCACUCAUGUACUUAGCUAGUGCUACAAGACCUGACAUCUCUUUUGCUGUUAGCAAACUGAGUCAGUUUGUCUCAAAACCAGGAGAUGUGCAUUGGAAAGCUCUAGAGAGAGUUUUGCGUUAUUUGAAAGGCACUGCAAAUUAUGGAAUUCACUACACUGGGCACCCAAAGGUGCUUGAAGGGUAUAGUGACUCAAACUGAAUCUCAGAUGCUGAUGAGAUAAAGGCCACGAGCGGAUAUGUAUUCACUCAUGGAGGUGGCGCUGUUUCUUGGAAGUCUUGCAAGCAGACCAUCUUAACGAGGUCAACAAUGGAAGCAGAACUCACAACACUAGAUACAGCUACAAUCGAAGCAGAUUGGCUUCACCGGCUCUUGAAUGACUUGCACGUUGUUGAGAAACCUGUACCAGGUAUCCUUAUGAACCGCGACAAUCAAACUGUGAUCACGAAAGUGAAGAGCUCAAAGGAUAACAUGAAGUCAUCAAGACACGUUCAGAGAAGGUUAAAGUCUGACAGAAAAAUGAGAAACUUCAGAGUUAUUGCAUUGGAUUAUAUCCAAACAUCUAAAAAUCUGGCAGAUCCUUUUACUGAGGGUCUAUCACGUAAUGUGAUAGAUAAUGCAUCGAGGGAGAUGGGUAUGAGACCCAUAAUAUGAGUUGUUCACAGUGGUAACCUAUUCUUUGUGAUCAGAGAUCCCGUGAAUUAGAUGUGGAAGACAAGUUGUUGGUCAACUGGGAGGAGAGUACCCUUACUGUUAAAAAAUACCACUCCAUGAAAAUGCAAUACUCUCCUAAUCUGCAUGGCAGGUUGAUGUAUAUCUUAAUGUGUUCUAAGUGGCUCUUUGAAGCAGAGAUGUUAUCCUGCAGAACAUCUUUUGAAGAACGCACCUAUAUGAGUCUGAUUGUUAAAUGUCGCAAUCUAUGAGAGUAGGAUUCUCUCUAGUAAACUCGUGAAAGGUCUCAGAGGAUGACGCAUAAGCUCCACCUGCGGGGAAGACCCACGGUAGCCACGUAUCGGUCAAGGCUUUAUGUGAAACUAGAUUCGCAGAAAACUUGCAGUUCAAGGCCCAGUCCACUGUUCAAGUUGCUUACUAGUGUAGCAUAGAGUUCUAGGUGGAAGUUCAACUUAACAGUCUCCACUGCAGUACUGGUAUAUAAAACAGUGUUUUGGAACCAAAGGCAAAUUUUAUGUGCCUCUGAGAUCUGGUGGGGGAUUGCUGGAAUUUUUGUUUAUUUGGGCCGAGCCCAAUAGCAGUUUCAGAAAUUCCUAAUAAAUCCUAGAGGCCCACGCAGCCCAUUCGUGCAAGGCAAGAGGUGGAACUAAAGUUUAGUCCCACAUUGCUAGUUUAGAGGGAGUUGGACCUCUUUAUAAGGGAGGUUCUUUCCCCACUUGUAUAAGCAUGAGAACAAGAGGGACAUCCACGCACGCUCCUCCUCCGCCACCCGCCUCGCCUCGUCACGACGCGCCGUGGGUUGCGAGAAUGAGCCGAGCCGAUGUCUAAAUUUUUGCCACGCACUACGGGUAUACAAAAGGUCACUCGGAAGCUAAAAUGUUUUUCUGUAGUGGACACUAAAUCUGAACGGCGCGCCUCUUUGGCUGCUGCCUAUUCGUUUUGUCUCCCACGUUCCCUUCAGCUCUCGGCGCAGCCUCUCGCCUCCUUCUCUUGCGCCUAUAAAAGGGAGGUCGCUCCUCUCAGAGAGAUGCACUAGAACUGACUUCCUCCUCUUGCCACCGGUUCUUGAGCAUUGUGCUGCUGCUACGAUCUUCCCCAUCCCGGCUUGCAGUGUGCACUGCAGGUCGGGACAAUAGGCCUCCGAAACCGCACAUUUUGAGUCCUGUACGGGAGAAGGGUGAUAAGGUUUUCAGGGAGCGCUCUGCGCGACUACUGACUCCACUCCUUCGUCACGGACUCCGACGACUACUUCCACGAUGACGACUUCUUCCCCGACGUCGACAACCUCCUCGACGACAUGGCUGGCGAGGACACCGACCCCAAGUCCAGUGCUACCGCUACUACUGAUGUCCCGUACGUGUUUGUACUCUUUCUGUUAGAGGUCUUGUCACAGUUCCUUGUUCUACUGUUUGCCCUACAUAUGUUAGGCUCUACUUCAUAUAUGCUGCUUGCCCUAGAUAUGUUUGCCUACAGUUCAUAUGUGAAGGUGAUAUUUACCUUCUCUCUGUCAGAUCGCAUGAGUUGCUUUAUCUCUGCUAUUUUAGUCAUGCUUUAUUCAGUAUUUCCAUUAAUAAAAUCAUAUGGUAAAUUGCUCAUAUUUCCAACAUUGUCUGCCGCAUGAAGAAGAGGAGAAGACGGAGGGGAGGAGAGAGAGGAAGUGCAGCCAGAUAUUUUCUAGGCUCGCCUCAUCUCUAGCCGGAACGACGUGCACCUGAGUAACCGUAAAAAUCAGGUGAUUCACUGGACUAUGGAUAACGAGGCCCACCUGGCAGCUACUCUCAGAAGAAAUGUGAAUGUCAAAAAGAAUGGAUGGUCCACCACAUGCCAGCAGCCAAAAUUCAGCUACAGGGAAAGGAUCGAGCGGCCCAGCGAUCGUAGCGCACGCGGAAGCCUCAAAAUGGCGGGUUGCCUAGCAAGGUUAUGUUCAAUGAUUAUGCUGGUUGCCGGCAUGAGCAGGGGUUUGGGACUCAUGAUCGAGGAUUGGGAUAUAUGUUAUGUGGAUUGGGCUGAAAGGAAUGAUAUGUGUUGAUUUGUGUGUAAAUGACGUCCCAAUGGCUCCCCGCUGCAGGGGAGACUUUGCUGUGUUUUCCUUCUAAUUACCGUACUUAUUUUAUACUUCCUCCGUCCUAAAAUUCUUGUCUUUGAUUUGUCUAGAUAUAAGUGUAUCUAACAUUAAAAUAUAACCAGAUACAUCCGUAUUUAGACAAAUCUAAGACAAGAAUUUUGCAACGGAGGGAGUACUAAGUAUGGGUUUAUGCUCAUUGGUUGAUGCAGGUUAAGAUGUAGCCACUCUUCUUUUGUCACCCUGCUUCUUCAUACUCCGCUUGCAAAAUCUGGUUAUUUUUCUAUCUUUUGUCAUAUGAUUAUGUUGGUUCCACUAUGAGGAGAGUUUGGCCUCACGACCGAGGAUUGAGACAUAUUAUUGUGUGGGUUGGGCUAAAAAGAAUGAUAUGUGUUGAUUUUUGUGUAAAUGAUGUCCAACAGCUCCCGUACAUUUUUUUGUAGGAAAACUUUCGAUCUAUUCCUCUUCAAUCGUGGUAGUACAACGAAGACAAGAAAUAAUAAAAACUAUGUUUAGAUUCAUAGACCACAUAGUGACGGCUACAAGUGCUGAAGCCUAAUAGAAAAGCCUAGUAGAGGCAUUCGGAAAACGUUGUAAGUGGCGCUGACUAGAGAAGCCGCUAGUAUGACGCCUUUGAUAAGGCCCACUAGUCACUAGUGGCGCCGACUUCCAAUGCUGGUAGAAACCUUAUAUUACUGGCAUCGGCGGCCAGCGUCGCUGAUAACUUUGGUACUGCUGGCACGGGUCGACCGAUGCCACAUGUACCUAUUGUAUUUGUUGUGUCCGGUAAAAAACAACGCCACUACAAAAUAUGACAAAAUUAUAAAAAUAAUAGUUGUGUUGCAUAUGAAAUCUUGAGACAUUAAAAAUUGCAUUGCAUACGAAAUCAGAUUACAUUACAUUAUAUAAUUGCAUUGCGUAUGAAACCAUAUUGCAUUGCAUAUGAAAUCACAUUACAUUAUAUAAUCUGAAAUCACAUACGAAAUCAUAUUGCAUUGCAUAUGAAACCACAAGGCUUUUGCCGGGUGCUUUUGGCACCCGGCAGACGUUCAAAUCCGGUAGUGAACUUAGUCUUGUUGUAUAUUUGGACUGCGUCUUUUGAAAGAGAAAACAUCACGCAUGAUUUCUUUUCUACCAAACUCCAUUGGCCUCGUUGAUAUGUUCAUUCUCUUCUUUUCCAAUCUUGUGUAUGCAUUGGCUGUAUUCUCUUGCUUCUUGAGCACUCCCAUUUAAUGAUUUCCUCACGCAAAGGUGGACAUAUCGUGCCAAGAUGAAUCUUGCAUUCCUAGUUUUCUUUUGCGUAAACUAAUAUAGGAUCCUCUAACAAACUAUGGGUUUUACUUAGGACUUGGAAAGCUGACAAUUAUGCAAACAAAAUCCGCACGACAUUGUUGGAAGUUGAAAAAAAGUUACGAUGCGUCAACAUAAUACAAGCCCACAAGCCACUCACUCAGAUGGUAUGAUGGACAGCUAGGGUUUUAUGUCCGUUCCGUGCACCUCUUUGCAUUUCCCUUGCCAUAUAUAUGAACCAAGGAUGUAGCUAACUUUGUCGAUAUGGUAACCAUCCUAGCUUUUUAGUAGUUAACAAACUAUGGGUUGUAAUCACAAUGUUCAGAUGCAUGCCAAAUACAUCACCGCACUGGAUCAAGAACAACGACGUGGAAGCCCAAGCUAUAGGCACUAGACAAAAGCCACCCACGCAGAUCAUGAACAACUUAUGUCUAUUGCCUUCCACCUUUUUAGCUUUAUCUAGCUAUAUAAACCGUCCAGAGAUCAAGAGUGUAGUUAUCCAUAUACACAACUGGUUAAUAUAGUACUAAAUCAGAGAUAGAAAGUCUGUGCGCAGAGGAACAAUGUCGAUGAAGACCGUGUUCUCGGUGCUCCUGCUAUGUAUGCUCGUGGCGACACCCAUAGCGGCCGAGUACGACGCAUGGAGCGUUAACAGUGGUCCCUGGAUGUGCUAUCCAGGGUAUGCCUUUAAGGUGCCAGCGCUCCCUGGCUGUCGUCCAGUGCUGAAGCUCCAGUGCAAUGGCAGCCAGGUGCCCGAGGCUGUCCUAAGGGAGUGCUGCCAGCAGCUCGCCGACAUCAGCGAGUGGUGCAGGUGCGGUGCCCUCUACAGCAUGUUGGACAGCAUGUAUAAGGAGCAUGGCGUGCAGGAGGGACAGGCGGGGACAGGCGCGUUCCCAAGCUGCCGGAGGGAGGUGGUGAAGCUGACGGCGGCGAGCAUCACGGCGGUCUGCAAGCUACCCAUCGUCAUUGAUGCGUCUGGAGAUGGAGCGUAUGUCUGCAAGGGUGUGGCCGCAUACCCGGACGCCUAGUCAAGCGAAUGAGUAGCUACUAUGUUGUGUCAUGCAUCUGCCUCUUAAUUUGUGGGGUGCGCACAAGUUGAAUAAAAUGGUGUAUGCGCCUAUGCGAAAUGCAUCAUUAAUGAAUAAAAGCGAAGUUCCCUGUUGAUCGAGAAAUUUUGAUCCAGCAUGCAAAAGAAUAAGUAGACGCAUCUCCUGUGGUCGAUCUUGUGGAGCCUUUGGCUAUACCGCAGCUAGGUGUUGUUUUUGUAAGAGUGGAGGCAUCCGGGUGCUGGUAGUCAGAGGGCGCUGCAUCAACUAGUAAUAUGCAGAAACUCACGGAGAGAGAAAUUCGCUAGCACCGGUGCAGUAUGAUGUGACAAUUAAUGUGAACUUAAAAAAUAAAUAGGUACAUUGUAUAGUUUAUUCUGUGUUAUAAAACUAUAUAAGUAACCAAAAUCUUAGAAAAUAUAUGUUUCCAUCUUUGCAUCUGAUUUAAAUGCGUUUAUGCACCUGUUUGCAUGCACAACUGCCAUCAUGUUGUCUGAUUUCUUUGUGAUAUAUGCACCCCGUUUAUCCUUUCUCAUGUUCACUAACAUGUCUUUUUAGAGAAAAGGCGCUGGCCGAACCCGAGAAGAGCUCGAACUUAACCCAACUUUGAAUUAAUUAAGCCAUCAACUGGCCAGGAUUACAAGGGCACCACAUUACAAAGGAGAUGCAAAGCAAAGCAGAAAGGAAGAUACAAGGAACUAGGCAGAACAACACAAAUGCAACAGCGGGAAUGCCGAUGCAGACAACUAGCACUACGCCUGCACCGACUAACCAACUAAGUACACCGAAGAAGGGCCACACCGAGCAAGCAUUGAGCGCCAGCUGCAUCAACAAGCCAAACUUGGGCAACACUUGAGUUGUCUCCGUCGUCGCAAAGGGCCACUACCCUUUCACCCAGGCUUGAUGGGUGCCGCACCAGCGACCGACAGAGUGGCUACCACAUAGGUGUCCGAGCUGCCAUAUGAGAAGCAAAUAGAGCUGACCCGUGAACCACAGGAGACCAACCAAACAAGAACCAUAGCCGGCAGUGGCAGCACGGAGCAUGGGAAGCGAGCUAUCGAACGAAGGCGCACACCCAUGAAGAAGACCAAAGAGGGCAUCACUAUGCACUAGGAGAAGCUGAGCAGGAUGUAGCAGGAAGACCACGCCAUCAUGCUUCGCAACAAAGACAUCAGUCACUCCACCAACAAGAGCAAAUCCCAGCCGCCGCCUUCAAGAAGGAGCACGCCAUCGAGGUGCUGCCGACGCCCGGAUUAAGGGAGUACCGGCUUUCGCCGGAGCUCAGGAGGGAGGCGGAAGAGAGAAGAACCACCCCAAAGCCUCCAGGAAGAGGAUUGACACCAAAGGCGUCGACUUUNNNNNNNNNNNNNNNNNNNNNNNNNNNNNNNNNNNNNNNNNNNNNNNNNNNNNNNNNNNNNNNNNNNNNNNNNNNNNNNNNNNNNNNNNNNNNNNNNNNNNNNNNNNNNNNNNNNNNNNNNNNNNNNNNNNNNNNNNNNNNNNNNNNNNNNNNNNNNNNNNNNNNNNNNNNNNNNNNNNNNNNNNNNNNNNNNNNNNNNNNNNNNNNNNNNNNNNNNNNNNNNNNNNNNNNNNNNNNNNGGUUUCCCACUCCAUGUUGCCAUCAAGAACACUUGCCAGCAUAAUUAUCAGUUUCUGGAGGACAACCUAUUGGUUGACGAGAACUACAGGAAGAGGAAUGUUGAGUACAUCUACAAAGCUCAUACAUCUUCUUUGGCUGCUUGAGAUGGGUUGUGUUAAAUCCUUCCUUACAUAAAAGACUACUUUGGUUACAUAAUUGCGAAAAAAAGUUCAUCUCAUCGUAGUUAUUUAAAUCUACCUCUCUAACAUUACUUAAGAAAUGUGAUUUUGUAUAGCUCAACUUGUGAGAGGGACACGUUUACCUUUUAGAACUCAUGUAUUUAUGUCCAUAAUACAGGAGGCAGUUUUUCUUUUUAAUCAAUGGGGAAUGAGUCAAGUUUCUCUGCAAUUAUAAGUUUAGGAUGCUGAUAGAAUUGGAUGUCAAUCUUUUUCGUUAUGUAUACUGUAAGCACCUGAAGUGAAAGAUGUUAUUUAUUAGAAACUUAUGCAUAAGAUCUUGAACACCACUAGAUUGCUUGCAACUCACACUGAUAAUGUAGUCGAUGAGCUCUGGAAUUGCAUCAAGCAGGGGAAGCUUGCCCCUUAUGCUAUGUUGCCCCUUGCGGCUCACAGGCAAUACCGUAACCUCAAUGGAUUUGAUAUCAUCAAGGCUCGUAUGGAGGAUACUAUGUUUCCCCUGGGAAGUGGUAAAAAUGCCAAGGAAAAAAAAAAGCAGCUCAAUGAGAUGAAAGUACAUCUUAUCAAUGCAUUGGUGCUUGUUAGAAUAAUUCUCAAUGCCGGGAAGCUCUAGAGGCAUAUAUUCAAACUCAAUAAGUAGUAUCACAUUUGCAACAAAUAAAAUAAUUUGGAUGCUUCAUUUCAUCAUGGUUUUAUUGCCUUUAUACAUUUUUUCUUGUUUUACCGAAUCUUAAGACGCUAAUAUGUUACGGUUUGGCUUUUAAACCUUAAAAUAUUGAUCGUAGAGAAAGAAUAUUGUACAGCAGUUCUCUUGCUGAACCACGUGGAAAAGAACAAAGUAUCUAUAUCUCAACCAAUUUGUACUUUUCUAGUGUUUGUCCUGUUCUUGUAGAAUUUUUUUUGACCAAGUAUUUAUUCAAAUCAAAUACUAAUAUCCGGUAGACAGCUGUCCAAUGAGUUGGGUUUCCACUGUUAUGAAACCUUUCCAAUUAAUACCUCCUGAAAAUGUGCAUUAUCAGUAUUUGCCUACAGGUAGUACUAAAUCGAUUAUUCGGGGAAAGCCAUAUAGGCACUAUAAACAAUUUCCAUAUUGUAGCUGGGUACUACUUCCUGGCUGACAAUGGUUGUUCCUAUCACAAUAUGAUUUAUUUUGAGAUACAUGAUUUUCUUGACCAUACCAACCUUACCAAAUGUUGGUGUCACCAAAACCCAAGCAUGGCCAAUAGCUUGGCAAAACAAGAGUAUUUGGUCUGGAUCCGUAUAGACUUUCACUUUGGGUGUCUAUUCUUUGGUUGAGCCAAAUAGCAAGGUUGUGUCACUGCUCUGCAGCCAGUCUGGUCAAGGUCACGUUGUCAUGGCGACACUAGGUUGAAAUGAAGCAUCCUAAUUAAUGACAUAUAGUACAAAUUAACGAAAGGGCACUUACCCGCACACACAUACACACACAACGUACGCUUGUAUCAUCCAUACUUGACACAGAAUCAGUUAGCAUAACAUGCAUAUUGCAAUCACAGGGUUGACACAGAAUCGCGACGGGAUGUCAGUUUUCUCAAAAUUCAGAAGACACUUAACCCAUAUUUGAUAUGACAUCCUCCCGACUACCAGCCAUACAACUCAUUAUCUCUGCAAAAGUAUUUUGCGGAAAAUACACUGAACACAUCCCUCCUUGCCCCCCAUAACUUUCUGCCUCUUAUUCUGCUGCAAAGACAAUGAUCAUGAGUUGAUGUCAGGAUAAUUUAAAACAAUGAAGAAAAAUAGAGAAAAGGGCAAAAACUAAUGAAGCUGGUCACUUAUGAGGAAAACACAAAUACCUCAGUUUUAAGGUCGAAAUUCGAGCAGAACUUUGAAAAUUCUCUUUCGACUGAUUUGAUGGUCUNNNNNNNNNNNNNNNNNNNNNNNNNNNNNNNNNNNNNNNNNNNNNNNNNNNNNNNNNNNNNNNNNNNNNNNNNNNNNNNNNNNNNNNNNNNNNNNNNNNNNNNNNNNNNNNNNNNNNNNNNNNNNNNNNNNNNNNNNNNNNNNNNNNNNNNNNNNNNNNNNNNNNNNNNNNNNNNNNNNNNNNNNNNNNNNNNNNNNNNNNNNNNNNNNNNNNNNNNNNNNNNNNNNGAUACAAAGAUCGCUCGGGCGAGCAGCACAUCAAGCCCAAAAGAAAAAGAAGAAGAAGCAAAUGCCAACAACGGCAGCUUGACAAAGCGCGGAUGACCUUCCACUGCUACGCCCUUCAAAAACAAAUCACCACAACCCGAGGCUCCAAAUUGCCGCGCACCAAGCAACACCUCUAAGAAGGAAUGCGACGACGAUGACGCUGCUGCCCAAACAUGUCCUAGGGUUUCCCCCGACAUGCGGAGGGAGGUGGGGGAUGGAUAUCAUCGACACCCUCCAGGAAGGAAUGGAGGCACUCGCAGGUGUCACUGCAUCGGAGCCGAAGAACCGGUAAGGAUUUCUCCCGCACUCCAACCCCACCGCCCAACCGGAUCGGAGCCGACCAGUCAGACCGCCGCCCACCACCAUGCGCCAUCGCGGUUGCGCCGCCACCCACGCCGCCUCACUGCAAACACCAACACGAGGCCAAGAGGACCAGAGAGAAGCGCCCUGCGAAGGAGAAGCAACACCGUAGCCGAACGGGAGGGAACCACCUCCACCACCGUCGUGCGUGUGGCCAGAGCCUUCGGCACCGUCGCGGUCACCGUCCGGACGCAGCAGCAGGACAUGCCAGGCCAUCCCUGGCCCGGCCAGGCUCGCUAAGCCCCGCUGGCCACACUGGAGCAAGCCGAUGAUGGCGCCGCCAGCACCCAGCCGCUCAUCGCCUAUCCGNNNNNNNNNNNNNNNNNNNNNNNNNNNNNNNNNNNNNNNNNNNNNNNNNNNNNNNNNNNNNNNNNNNNNNNNNNNNNNNNNNNNNNNNNNNNNNNNNNNNNNNNNNNNNNNNNNNNNNNNNNNNNNNNNNNNNNNNNNNNNNNNNNNNNNNNNNNNNNNNNNNNNNNNNNNNNNNNNNNNNNNNNNNNNNNNNNNNNNNNNNNNNNNNNNNNNNNNNNNNNNNNNNNNNNNNNNNNNNNNNNNNNNNNNNNNNACCUAGGGUAGGGUCAUGGACCUGUCCAAGGUACCCUCCCCCAGGACAUCUUUUGAUGAAGUCAUCUUCCAGUCGACCUAGAGGGACUCCACUCGACUGACUGGAAGACACUCGACGAACUUGAAGACACUCGACCAUGAAGACUCACUCGACCACCAGGAGUUCAAGAUCUACUCUGUAUCCAAACGGUCUGUAAUUAAGUAGUCUUUAUGGCCAUGAUGACACUUUAUGUAGGGCAUUACCAGUAACGCCAGACCUCAAUGUACUUUAACCCUCCGCUGCGUGGGCUGGCUGGGGUCUUGGCAUCCUCUAUAUAAGCCACCACCCUCCACUGGUAGAACGGUUCGCACCCCUGUAACUCUCACACAUAUAAUCCAGUCGACCGCCUCCGGGCUCUGAGACGUAGGGCUGUUACUUCCUCCGAGAAGGGCCUGAACUCGUAAAACCCUUGUGUGCACAACUACUCCAUAGCUAGGAUCUUGCCUCUCCUUAGUACCCCCCUACAUUACUGUCAGGCUUAGAACCACGACAGUUGGCGCCCACCAUGGGGCAGGUGUUUUAGCGAAUUGUUGGAGAAGUUGCAAUUUUUCCGAUUCCCAUCGUCAUGGUUUCAGGCGGAGUUUUGGUUGAGGGCCGCGAGAUCUGUCUCGGCGCGCUCACGUUCAUCGCCGACGACUCUGCUUGGCUGCAGGAGGCUCCGCUCGACGUCGACGCGCUCCCAGUCCGCGGGGCUACGCACUUUCGAGCGUCCGUCCGCGGCGUCCUUCUGCGGCAACCGUCGACCCAGUAUCGGCCAGUGUUUGUGUGAUCCUCCCUCCCAGCUUCCCGCCAGCGUAAGCGCUCCGGUCGAUCGAGGCUUCAGCGGUGGGUGAGACACGCGGUGGCUCGCCAGUCGACCACCGCCCAAGUCACGUCAAUCGAGCCCGACGAAUCCCUCUACGGCCUGUUCGACCUAUCGACUGGCUCCGCAGAGACUGCAUCCGAGUGCGACAGCAGUGAUCCAGCGGCGGAGAUCCUGAUGGUCAAUGGACCGCACGUUCCCCCCGGCUUUCCCGGUGCCGAGGGAGGCAACGACGGAGGCGAUCCCUGAGCCCCUCAAUUCGCAGCAGAGGGAAGAGCUUCGCCGCCGGAACAUGGAUGCGCUUCACACUCCGAUCGUUGAAGAAACCCCUGAGGCCCGUGCCUUGGAGGACGCGCGCUUGGCCAACCUGGCCGAGCGCACUCGACUGGAGAACCUUCAGCGGGCACUCGACGAGCGCACACGACAACGGAUUCUAGACUCCAGUCGACACCAGCUCUUUCCACCUCCGACUCAGGUAUAUCAAACUCCGAUUCAGAAUUUAGUAGCUGCAGCCCGUAUAGCAGAAUCAAUUCAGCCUUCCUAGUCAGAGGCUGGCAGAGGCCUGAUGCAGAUCAGAGAUUUACUCCGGGCAGCAGGAGAUCAGAAUUCAGCCGUAUCGCAGUCGCGGAACAGGAUUCACAGUAGAUCCGUGGCAGCGAAUACGGUCCAGUCGGCUCAUAGCCCCAGAUCGCCCCCGAGGCGUGAAGGGCGUGGUGACCGGCAUGAUCAGUACAGGAACCAUGAGCGGUAUGAUCACCGAUUCGAUCGCAAUGAUCAACGUCGAGUUCCUACUCCCCCCAAGGGGUGGGUCCUAUAUGCCUCGACGGCAGGGUGAUAGACGCCAGCACAGUGGCAGGCGGAAGAUUCCGGUCGACCCCAGGGAACCAGGCUUUGAUGCAAGAUCCAUCAUCGUUCAAGGUCUGGUCGACCGGAACAGAGCCCACAGAGAGGGUAAUGACAGAUAUGUACCCACCAGCAGUCGAGUGCAUGUCUCUGGACCAGAGUGUUUCAGCAGAGCCAUCAGAGCCGCGGUGAUUCCUCCCAACUUCAGGUUGGCGACUAGAGUCAGCAAGUUCAACGGUGAGUCUAAGCCCAAUACUUGGCUUGAGGACUACCGAGUGGCUGUACAGAUCGGUGGCGGAAAUGAUGAGGUGGCCAUGAAGCAUCUGCCUCUUACGGUGGAAGGGUCAGCCAGAGCAUGGCUGAAUCAGUUGACACCCACAGCAUUUACACGUGGGAGGACCUCUCCCGAGUGUUUGUCAGAAUGUUUGAAGGAACAUGCAAGCGACCAACAGGACUGACAGAGCUGCAAUCUUGUGUGCAGAAGUCGAAUGAGACUUUGAGAGAUUACAUCCAGAGAUGGAUCACACUGCAUCACACAGUAGAGAAUGUGUCUGAUCACCAGGCAGUCUGGGCCUUCAAGGAGGGCGUAAAGUACAGAGAGCUAAGCCUGAAAUUUGGUCGAACCGGAGACAUGUCUCUGAGUCGAAUGAUGGAAAUAGCCACCAAGUAUGCCAAUGGUGAGGAAGAGGAUCGGCUCCGGAGCAGCAAGCAUAAGUCAGUCGCCCAGGAAACCAGAGGUGGGAACUCCAGUCGGAAGCAGAAGCGGAAAGCCGAGCCAGCUGCUCCUGGAGAAGCCCUGGCCGUGACUCAAGGAAAAUUCAAAGGGAAACCCAAGGGGCCUUGGAACCCCAAAAAAGUAAAGGAUAAAGAGGGAAAUGAUGUGAUGGAUUUGCCGUGUCACAUCCACACGAAGAAAGAUGAAGAGGGUAAUUUCAUUUACCCAAAGCAUACCACUCGACAGUGCCGGCUUCUGAUACAACAGUUCCAGGGGAAACAACCCAAGGACAAGGAAAAGGAGUCAGACAAAGCUGAGGACAAGGAAGAUAGUGACGAGGAAUACCCUCAGGUCAAUUCUACUCUGAUGAUUUUUGCUGACGUUGAGAGCAAAAGUCGACUGAAAGUUAUAAACCGAGAGGUGAAUAUGGUUGCUCCGGCAACACCCAGUUAUCUGAAGUGGUCUCAGACCGCCAUCACAUUCGACCAGUCUGAUCACCCAACGCACAUAGCCACCCCUGGGAGGCAAGCUCUGGUGGUCGACCCAGUCGUCGAGGGCACUCGACUGACUAAAGUGUUGAUGGAUGGCGGCAGUAGUUUGAAUAUACUGUACGCUGAGACACUGAAAGGGAUGGGCAUUCCGAUGUCCAGACUCAGCACAAGCAACAUGAGUUUCUAUGGAGUCAUUCCUGGCAAGAAGGCCGCGUCACUCGGCCAGAUUGCUCUUGAUGUGGUUUUUGGUGAUUCAAAGAACUUCCGCAAAGAGAAGCUGACAUUUGAGGUUGUAGAUUUCCAGAGUGCCUACCACGCUAUUUUGGGCAGGCCAGCUUAUGCACGUUUUAUGGCUCAACCAUGUUACGUGCACCUCAAAUUAAAGAUGCCUGACCCUAAAGGUGUGAUCACUGUUACUGGUAACCGCAAGAAGGCAGAAGAGUGCUUCCAGAAGGGCUCAAAGAUCGCUGAUGCUCAGAUGGUGGCAGAAGAGUGGCAGGAACACCAGAGGAACGCAGAUCCGAGUGAUUUGUUGCGAGCCAAAAAGCCUGCUGCAGAAUCAGCAAUCAAGUCGAUCGGGGAGACAAAACCAGUUCACAUCCACCCGACCGACCACAACGCUGCUCCGACUCAUAUCUCCACAACACUCGACCCCAAAUAGGAAGAAGCGCUCAUACACUUCCUCCGUGAGAACUGGGACAUCUUUGCAUGGAAACCUUCUGACAUGCCGGGUGUGCCCAGGGGACUGGCUGAGCAUCGUCUGCGAGUCGAUUCAAAGGAAAAACCUGUCAAGGAACAUCUGCGAUGGUCCGCCGUCUAGAAAAGGAAGGCUAUUGGCAAAGAGGUGGCUCGGCUCUUAGCAGCAGAGUUUAUCCGAGAAAUUUACCACUCCGAGUGGCUCGCCAAUGUUGUCAUGGUCCCCAAGAAGGACAAGUCACUUCGCAUGUGCAUUGACUUUAAACAUAUCAAUCGGGCCUGCCCGAAAGAUCAUUUUCCUCCCCCCCGCAUCGACCAAAUAGUCGACUCGACUGCGGGAUGUGAGCGACUAUCUUUCUUAGACGCUUACUUCGGGUACCAUCAGAUCCGUCUGUUUGGACCCGAUGAGAUCAAAACAACUUUCAUCACCCCAUUCGGGUGCUUCUGUUAUGUCACCAUGCCAUUCGGCCUCAAGAAUGCCGGAGCCACAUUCAUGAGGAUGAUUCAGAAAUGUUUGCUCACUCAAAACAGUCGGAAUGUGGAAGCGUACAUGGAUGACAUUGUGGUCAAGUCACGGAAAGGUUCCGACCUGCUGACUGACCUCACUGAAACAUUUGCCAACCUCAGGAGGUAUGAUAUCAAGCUUAACCCAUCCAAGUGCACAUUCGGAGUUCCUGGUGGAAAGUUACUCGGUUUUCUCGUUUCAGAACGAGGAAUCGAUGCAAAUCUAGAGAAAGUGGGUACUAUACUCCGAAUGAAACGACCUGUGCGUGUGCACGAUGUUCAGAAGCUUACUGGUUGCUUGGCCGUUUUAAGUCGAUUCAUCUCUCGCCUUGGUGAGAAGGCAUGCCUCUUUACCGACUGAUGAAGAAGUCAGACAAGUUCGAGUGGACUCCUGAAGCUGACGUAGCGUUUGCAGAGUUAAAAAACCCUACUUUCCACCCAGCCGGUGCUUGCUGCCCCGAUCAGCAAAGAGCCUUUGCUGCUUUACAUUGCAGCCACAGGACAAGUCGUCAGUACUGUACUUACGGUCGAGCGGGAAGAGGAAGGAAAAGCCUUCAAAGUUCAGCACCCAGUAUAUUACAUUUCUGAAGUCCUAAUCCCAUCAAAGCAAAGAUACCCUCAUUAUAAAAAGCUUGUUUAUGGGAUAUAUAUGACCACAAAGAAAGUUUCUCACUACUUCUCUGACCAUACCAUCACAGUCGUCAGUGACGCCCCCUUAUCAGAGAUUCUGCACAACAGAGAUGCAACUGGCCGAGUGGCAAAAUGGGCGAUUGAACUUCUUCCCCUGGAUAUCAGAUUUGAGGCAAAGAAAGCCAUCAAGUCCCAAGCAAUAGCAGAUUUCCUCGCCGAGUGGACUGAACAUCAGUUAUUGACUCAAGUUCACUCGAAGCAUUGGACUAUGUUCUUCGAUGGCUCUAAAAUGCUGAAUGGUUCCGGUGUCGGGGUAGUGUUGGUUUCCCCCCGAGGAGACAAGCUCAGAUAUGUACUCCAGAUUCACUUCGACUCCUCCAACAAUGAGGCAGAAUACGAAGCACUCUUGUAUGGGUUGCGUAUGGCCAUUUCGCUCGGCGUUCGUCUCCUCAUAGUCUACGGUGACUCGGAUUUAGUGGUUAACCAAGUGAUGAAGGAGUGGGACGUCAGAAGCCCAGCCAUGACUGGUUACUGCAAUGCAGUCAGAAAGCUGGAGAGGAAGUUUGAGGGAUUAGAGCUCCAUCACGUCCCCCGACUGAAAAAUCAAGCAGCUGAUGACUUGGCGAAGAUAGGUUCCAAAAGAGAAGCCAUCCCAAGUGGCGUGUUUUUGGAGCAUGUUCACACGCCGUCAGUUCAAGAAGAUCCCUUCACUGAAGAAGCCCCGCAGCCAAAAAGCGCCAUAGAUCCGAGUGAAGUCGAGGUUCCAGCUGUGGUCGACUUAAUCAUGGAAGUUCUGGUUAUUACUCCCGACUGGACAUUGCCCUAUAUUGCGUAUAUUCUAAGGAAAGAGCUCCCAGAGAAUGAAGAAGAGGCUCGAGAGGUCGUCCGUCGAUCCAAGGCCUAUGAAGGGACAAUUGUACAGAGAAAGCGUGACUGGGGUCAGCCAGAAAUGCAUAACGCCGGAAGACGGUCGAAUGAUUCUCAAUGACAUCCACUCGGGGACAUGUGGCCAUCAUGCGUCCUCUCGGACCAUCAUGGCUAAAGCAUACCGAGCGGGUUUUUACUGGCCCAGAGCAAAUGAAAUGGCGAAAGAGAUAGUUGACAAGUGCGAAGGUUGUCAGUUCUACUCCAACAUGUCACACAAACCUUCCUCAGCCUUGAAGACCAUCCCGAUCGUCUGGCCUUUCGCUGUUUGGGGUUUAGAUAUGGUUGGACCACUGAGGACUGGCAGGAGCGGCUUCACCCAUGUACUGGUGGCAGUCGACAAGUUCACCAAGUGGAUCGAGGCCAAACCCAUUAAAAAUCUUGAUGCUGGCACUGCCAUCAGCUUCAUCAGAGAAUUAAUAUUCAGAUAUGGAGUUCCGCAUAGCAUCAUCACUAAUAAUGGGUCAAACUUCGACUUCGAUCAAUUCAAAGCCUUCUGCGCUUCUCAAGGCACACGAGUCGACUACGCUUCAGUCGCCCACCCCCAGUCGAAUGGAUAAGCAGAAAGAGCAAACGGUCUAAUUCUCAAAGGACUGAAACCCCGGCUGAUGCGCGACCUCGAGCACGCAGCAGGUGUCGUGGUUCUAAGUCUGACAGUAGAGUGGGGGGUAGGUACGGAGAGGCAAGGUCCUAGCUAUGGAGAGGUUGUAAACACAAGAGAUGUACGAGUUCAGGCCCUUCUCGGAGGAAGUAAAAGCCCUACGUCUCGGAGCCCGGAGGCGGUCGAGUGGAUUAUGUGUAUAUGAGUUACAGGAUGCCGAACCCUUCUGCCUGUGGAGGGGGGUGGCUUAUAUAGAGUGCGCCAGGACCCCAGCCAGCCCACGUAAUGAAGGGUUUAAGGUGUAUUUAGUCCGGGGCGUUACUGGUAACGUCCCACAUAAAGUGUCUUAACUAUCAUAAAGUCUACUUAACUACAGGCCGUUGCAGUGCAGAGUGCCUUUUGACCUCCUAGUAGUCGAGUGAGUCUUCGUGGUCGAGUCCUUCAAGGUAGUCGAGUGAGUCCCUCGUUGGUCGACUGGAAGGUGACCUCUUCUAAGGGUGUUCUUGGGCAGGGUACUUAGAUCAGGUCUGUGACCCUACCCUAGGUACAUGACCCCACCAUUAGCCCCCGAAUGGAUUGAGGCUUUGAGUGACGGAGGAGUUGAUGCUGUUUCCGAUUAACCUUCGCACACUGGUCGUGCGUUGUUCUGAACCAGAGAAUCUCUUCGUUGAUAGUGAGCAACUUGUCUUCAGUUGACUCGAUCCAUUCUUUUCUUUCGUCGAGUGAUCUUUCAGGCUUCGUCGAUUUCCGAGCGACGGAUCGCAGGAAAUCCCGUGCCUGACAGACCGAUCUGCCGUUCGUGGAUUACGCGGGAUGUGAAAUUUGGGGAAACGCGCUAAGCGGAGCGGCCGCGGCGUUUGGAUGGGACGGGACAUAGACGCCUCGAUCCCCGCGCCGCUUUCUUCGCCACGUAUCCCGCCCGCGUAACAGUUCCAGGAUAUGAUUAGAUCGACCGGGCCCACCUGACAUCCACUCGGAAGGGAUCUUAUAAAUGCGCCCGGCGAGGGUUUUUUGAACAAUGCCUCAGCAUUCUCUCUCUGCCCCCUUCGUCUCCUCCCAACGUGCUCGCUCUCGCCUCCGCACCACUUCUCCUCACGCGCCCCGCCGGUAGCCAUGGUCAAGGAGAAGACGGCGGCGCUGGAGCGCGCGAAGAAGGCGUCGGUGACGGAGAAGGCGAAGGGGAGAUCCACCAGCCGCGGUGGGUCUUCGUCUAGAUCUCGCCUGCUGAAAGGCUGGGUCCAGGGAGACUAGAUCCAGUCGACCAUCACAGAGAAGGAUCUCCUCGACAUGGCCAACGAGGGCCUGAUCCCUCAUGGAGCUGCGAGGCUUCCGGGGAAAGAGUGGCAGCCCCAGCCGGAAGAGGGUGAGUGCGUGCUUCUGGCUACCCAUGUUGACCACGGAUUCUCUUUGCCGCCGAGCAUUUUCUUCCGUGGUUUCUUGAACUUUUUUGGAGUGCAACUCCACCACUUCACCCCGAAUUCUAUCGCCUACCUUGUCGCGUUUGUGUCCAUGUGUGAGAGUUUUCUGGGCUGUCGACCGCAUUGGGGCUUGUUCAAGCACAUAUUCACAUCUCGCUCUCAAACCGUGAAGAAGGCGAGUCCAGGCGACGAAAGAACCCGAGUGGUCCAAAUGUGUGGAGGUCUGGGGAUACAGGUGAGGAACAAGAGCACCUUCCCAGCCAUGACAUUUCCCGAGUCAGUCAGAGGCUGGCAGUCGACCUGGUUCUACUGCCAGGAUGAGUCGACGCCGGGGCAGUCGAGUGGACUCCCUCAAUUUACCAUGGACCGAGUGAACAAGCCCUCCUCUCUGAAGUUGAUUCCGGAGGAGAAAGCUGACGUGAAUAUGCUGAUGGAGCGCGUAGUUCAAUUGGUUCGGGAGGGAGUGACGGGCAUGGAUCUCCUGGAAGUUUUCCUUAGGCGCCGAAUCCAGCCUCUUCAGUUCCGGAGCCAUUGCAUGUGGUUGUACUGUGGGACUGAGGAUGUGACUCGGGUCAAUCCAGAAAUAAUCGACGAUGCCACUCUGGAAAGGUGGAUGGCCGUUGUUACUGGGAACAAGGACAACCCUCGCGGGGCCAGAAGGAUUCCCCCACUCGACUGCCACAGUGACCCAAACAAGGUAUGUCUGCUCCACUUCCCAUUGUAUUCUCGUCAUAUUUAUUUCUGUUUUCUCUGCCGAUCGGUCGACUGAUCUUUGUCUUGUUGUUUAUUAGGCCCUCACCGAACUGUACUCGAUGCCCAACGGAGCGCAGGCUCCGACUGAGGAGGGAGAAGCGAGCGGGGGCGAGAGCCAGGAGGAGGAGUGGGACUCGGACGCCGCUGAGGCCGAUGAUGAUGACGAUGACGAUGACGAUGAUGACGAUGAGGACGAGGAAGAGGAGGAGGAGGAGGAGGUCGCACCACCGCGCUCGGAAAGGCGAUCGAAACUUGUCCAUGACCCUGCGACCGAACGCGGCGAGGGGGUUGCGACUGUUACACAGUCGACUAAGCGCCCUCGGACCACCUCUCCGGCGCCGACUGAAAAGGCGCCGAAGCAGCCCAGGGCGGCCCCGUCGAAGCCGACCAAGCACCUGCCGAAGAUGAAGGUGUCCAUCCCCACCAUAUCAGGGUAAUCAUGUUGCUUAAGUCUUCUUGUUCUGUGUGAACUUUGUCUCUGGUUGGCGCUGGAGUUAGUCGACUGAUUCUUUGGAGUUGCAGUGCUGCUACUUCUGAGACCUCAGCCCGGGCUGAUGACCAUGAGAUGGAGGACGCAGCAACCUCAAGACCAGGUACUAUACUCUUAACGCCAUUUUUAGUCGACCGACUCAUGAUCUCUAAUUCUGAUUCUUUUCUGUAGCUCCAUCCAAUGUUGUAAUCACUCUCCCUGAUGAAGAUGAAGACGAGGAACCGCUGAAGUACAGAAGGAGUAGGAAAGCGUCUGCCAGCAGGGUGACCCAGGAUGUGACGGUGCCUGAGGCUCUGGUCGCAGAGGAGGAGAACACCACUCGACACACCGUGUCCUUCGCAGAUCCACUGACGAGUGCUCCGCAGCUCUCCCUCUUCACGACGCACCACGUCCCAGAGGACCAAGCUGGCGCAGCGAAGGAGGCAAUACGCCAGGCAGGGAUCAUGAUGGAGCAGUUUGAAGACCAUCCGGGAUGCAAGCCAGGCAGCUUACGACGCCAGUUCCGCCCUCCAACGCAAUGUUCAGGUCAGUCGACCACCAUUUAUUCUGUUAGGAUAUGCUACCAAAAACUUUUCCUUUCCAGAAUUUAUAGUAGUCACCGACUGGGUGUGUCAAUUAAACUCCGUGUUAGCGGGGGCACGCUGAGUGCACCCGCUGGGUGUAGUCCCCAAGGCUAAGGUCGACUGCUGGCAGUCGGCCUUAGGCUUUAUAAUUUCAGUCUUUCCGUCAUUCGACUACAUCGAAUGAAUUUCGCAAACUGGUCGACUGGUCGACUCUGUCUUCAAUAGGAUUAGUGGGGGCACGCUGAGUGCACCCACUGGGUGUAGUCCCCGAGACUACGGUCGAAUGCUUGUAUUCGGCUGUAGUCUUAGAAACGCGUGAUUUUUCCUUUUUCACUCGGAAGUGAAUUAUGUUUGACAUUUUAGUCGAUUGGUUCUUCGCAGAACUCCUGUGAUCUUGUGGCUCGCUACUCUGAGCUGGAAAACAAGCACGUUCAGCUCGAGCUGAAUUUGAAGCUGGUUCAGGAGAAACUGACGAAGGCAAAGGAGGAGACCGAAGGUAUGUUUGGUGAGACCUUGACGACUGCUUUUUCCCUUCAUUUGUUUCAAAAUCUGAUCUUGCUUUAACUUGCAGGUAAGGUGAGGGAGGCCCAACGGAAGAAGGACCUUGAACUAGCUGAGAAGACCAAGCUUGUUGACGAGAAGUUAGCUUCAGUCGCCAAGCUUGAGCAAGAAAAUGCCAAUCUGAAAGCUACUCUUUGGAAGAAAAAAGAUCUGGAGGCCUUCCUGAAUGGUCUUGCCAAGAAGUUGUUUCUUAUGCUUGAAGGUAAAUUUCUAUGCUCGGCAAUCAUUUCCAACCGUGGUUUUUCCAUUCGACCACCGCCUUGACUCGGUGAUCGUCCUUGCAGAAUUUUGUCAAAACUUUGAAGAAGAAACUAGCCGGCUGGAACCAAACCUUGACCCCGUCAACUCUCCGAUGGACGACGAAGUUGCCAUGAAUGUUUUCCGACUGGAGUCCCGUGUUGCAGCUGUCGUGGACUAUCUUGCAAGGCUGAAGGUCGCCACAUCUCGCAUCGACUCGACGCUUUGGCCCGGGGAGACACUUCAGAACAACCUCGAGUCGCUGAUGGCUCGCUUGAACACGAUCCCUGGUCGAGUGCAGGAGUGGAAAAAGUCCUCGGCUCGGUGCGGUGCAGAUGUUGCUCUGUGUCUGGCCCGAGUCCACUGCAAAGAUGCGAGAGAAGACAAGCUGGCGGCCCUCCGGGUGGCCAACACCAAGAAACACGACUUCGGGUCCUUUAUGGAAACUUUCCUUGCGGCUGCCACUCGGAUCGCAGAUGGAAUUGAUCUUGAUGAGUUUGUUGCACCUUCCAGCCCUCCACAGGAGGGGUAAAAAACUUCUUCUAAGCUCGACGCUUUAAAUUUGCCUCGGUAUGCCGAGUGGAGUUGUAACCGAUAAACCUUAACGGGCUUAGCGCCUGAGCACUUUUGGUUCCUUUAGGUAUCGAUCCGAACUUGAAUUUGGUGUUUGAAUAUGAUUGCUUUUGGCUCGAAAUGUCUUUUGCAGGUUCAAAGCAGGGCGCUUACUGCAAUCGACUUAUUCCUUAGUCCACUUAGGUGAGCGCUGGGCUGCAGUUAAGCCUCCCGAGUGAGAAGUUUGCUUUUCACUCGGUAGGAUUUCUAUAUCUUAGGCGAGCACUGGGCUGCAGCUAAGCCCCCGAGUGAGAGGUUUGCUCUUCACUCGGUAGGAUUUUUGAUAACUUAGGCGAGUACUUGGACUGCAGCUAAGCCCCCGAGUGAGAGGUUUGCUCUUCACUCGGUAGGAUUUCUGAUAACUUAGGCGAGCAUUGGGCUGCAGCUAAGCCCCCGAGUGAGAGGUUUGCUCUUCACUCGGUAGGAUUUCUGAUAACUUAGGCGAGUACUUGGACUGGAGCUAAGCCUCCGAGUGAGAGGUUUGCUCGUCACUCGGUAGGAUUUCUGAUAACUUAGGCGAACAUUGGGCUGCAGCUAAGCCUCCGAGUGGAAGUCUGGCUUACCACUCGGUAGGAUUUNNNNNNNNNNNNNNNNNNNNNNNNNNNNNNNNNNNNNNNNNNNNNNNNNNNNNNNNNNNNNNNNNNNNNNNNNNNNNNNNNNNNNNNNNNNNNNNNNNNNNNNNNNNNNNNNNNNNNNNNNNNNNNNNNNNNNNNNNNNNNNNNNNNNNNNNNNNNNNNNNNNNNNNNNNNNNNNNNNNNNNNNNNNNNNNNNNNNNNNNNNNNNNNNNNNNNNNNNNNNNNNNNNNNNNNNNNNNNNNNNNNNNNNNNNNNNNNNNNNNNNNNNNNNNNNNNNNNNNNNNNNNNNNNNNNNNNNNNNNNNNNNNNNNNNNNNNNNNNNNNNNNNNNNNNNNNNNNNNNNNNNNNNNNNNNNNNNNNNNNNNNNNNNNNNNNNNNNNNNNNNNNNNNNNNNNNNNNNNNNNNNNNNNNNNNNNNNNNNNNNNNNNNNNNNNNNNNNNNNNNNNNNNNNNNNNNNNNNNNNNNNNNNNNNNNNNNNNNNNNNNNNNNNNNUCUUCACUCGGUGGGAUUUUUAUAACUUAGGCGAGUACUUCGACUGUAGCUAAGCCUCCGAGUGGAAGUCUGGCUUACCACUCGGUAGGAUUUUCAUAACUUAGGCGAGUACUUGGACUGCAGCUAAGCCUCCGAGUGGGAGGUUUGCUCUUCACUCGGUAGGAUUUUUAUAUCUUAGGCUAGCACUGGGCUGCAGCUAAGCCCCCGAGUGAGAGGUUUGCUCUUCACUCGGUAGGAUUUUUAUAUCUUAGGCGAGCACUGGGCUGCAGCUAAGCCCCCGAGUGAGAGGUUUGCUCUUCACUCGGUACGAUUUUGAUAACUUAGGCUAGCACUGGGCUGCAGCUAAGCCCCCGAGUGAGAGGUUUGCUCUUCACUCGGUAGGAUUUUUAUAUCUUAGGCGAGCACUGGGCUGCAGCUAAGCCCCCGAGUGAGAGGUUUGCUCUUCACUCGGUGGGAUUUUGAUAACUUAGGCGAGUACUUAGACUGCAGCUAAGCCUCCGAGUGGAAGUCUGGCUUACCGCUCGGUAGGAUUUUCAUAACUUAGGCGAGUACUUGGACUGCAGCUAAGCCUCUGAGUGGGAGGUUUGCUCUUNNNNNNNNNNCUCGGUAGGAUUUUUAUAUCUUAGGCGAGCACUGGGCUGCAGCUAAGCCCCCGAGUGAGAGGUUUGCUCUUCACUCGGUACGAUUUCUGAUAACUUAGGCGAGUACUUGGACUGCAGCUAAGCCCCCGAGUGAGAGGUUUGCUGGUCACUCAGUAGGAUUUUUGAUAACUUAGGCGAGUACUUGGACUGCAGCUAAGCCCCCGAGUGGAAGUCUGGCUUACCACUCGGUAGGAUUUUAUUUAAUCUUAGGCGAAACGGAUUCGCAGCUAAGCCUCCGAGUGGGAGUCUGGCUCACCACCCGGAGGAUUUUUACAAACUUAGGCGAAACGGAUUCGCGGCUAAGUCACCCACUGAGGGGAAAUUUUAUUGGACAAAAUAAAAAGUGACAAAAAUUAUGGAGGAACUAUGACACUAUUAUUUUGAGGUCCAAGAACUUACAGAAGUACUUUAUUGCAACUCAUCCGAGUGAUAAAGCUUAAGUGUAAAAUGGGCGGAGUAGUUCCGCGUUCCAAGCUCGAGGCUCGUCGAUAUUAUGUUCGACGUUGUAAAGACGGUAUGCCCCGUUGUGGAGAACUUUGGUGACGAUGAAGGGUCCUUCCCAAGAAGGAGCAAGCUUGUGUUGUUUCUUCUGAUCCACUCGGAGAACUAAAUCUCCUUCCUAGAAGGCUCGACCCCUCACAUUUCUGGCGUGGAAAUGACGCAAAUCUUGUUGGUAGAUGGUCGACCGGGUCAGAGCCAUCUCCCUUUCUUCCUCUAAAAGGUCGACUGCGUCCUGCCGCGCUUGUUGAGCUUCUGCUUCGUUGUAGAUUUCAACUCGAGGAGCAUUGUGGAGAAGAUCACUCGGCAAGACUGCUUCAGCUCCGUAGACCAAGAAGAAUGGAGUUCUUCCGGUCGACCGAUUAGGUGUGGUCCGCAGUCCCCAAAGCACUGAGGGAAGUUCGUCGACCCAAGCUCCAGCUGCAUGCUUGAGAUCACGCAUCAGUCGGGGUUUCAAUCCCUCGAGAAUCAGGCCAUUGGCUCGCUCUGCUUGUCCAUUCGACUGCGGAUGAGCGACUGAAGCGUAGUCGACUCGUGUGCCUUGAGAGUUACAGAAAUCUCUGAAUUCCUCCGAGUCAAAGUUUGACCCAUUAUCCGUAAUGAUGCUGUGCGGGACUCCAUAUCUGAAUACUAGUUCCCUGAUGAAGCUAACAGCAGCACCGGCGUCAAGGUUCUUGAUUGGUUUAGCCUCAAUCCACUUGGUGAAUUUGUCGACUGCCACCAGUACAUGCGUGAAGCCACUUCGCCCUGUUCUCAAAGGACCGACCAUGUCCAAUCCCCAUACUGCGAAAGGCCAGACGAGUGGGAUGGUCUUCAGAGCCGAUGCAGGCUUGUGCGUCAUAUUCGAGUAGAACUGACAUCCCUCGCACUUAUCCACUAUUUCCUUUGCCAUCUCAUUCGCCUUUGGCCAGUAAAAUCCAGCUCGGUAUGCUUUGGCCACGAUGGUCCGAGAGGACGCAUGAUGACCACAGGUUCCCGAGUGGAUAUCAUUGAGGAUGAUUUGACCUUCUUCUGGUGUUAUGCACUUCUGACCAACUCCAGUCGCGCUUUCUCUGUAUAAUUGUCCUUUGAUUACGGUAAAGGCCUUAGAUCGACGAACGAUCUGUCGAGCCUCUUCCUCAUCCUCCGGGAGCUCUUUUCUCAGGAUAUACGCGAUAUAUGGAACUGUCCAGUCGGGAAUGACCACCAAGACCUCCAUGACCAAGUCGACCACUGCUGGGACAUCAACCUCAGUCGGAUCUGUGGCACUCUUGGGCUGUGGAGCUUCUUCGGUGAAAGGAUCUUCUUUGACUGACGGAGUGUGUAUAUGCUCCAAGAACACACCACUCGGAAUGGCUUCUCUCUUGGAACCUAUCUUUGCUAGAUCAUCAGCUGCUUGAUUUUUCAGUCGGGGUAUAUGAUGGAGCUCCAACCCCUCGAACUUCUUUUCCAGCUUCCUCACUGCACUGCAGUAUCCAGUCAUGGCUGGGCUUCUCACGUCCCACUCCUUCAUCACUUGGUUGACCACUAAAUCCGAGUCUCCAUAGACCAUCAGGCGACGGACGCCGAGUGAAAUGGCCAUGCGCAAUCCGUAUAAGAGGGCCUCAUAUUCUGCCUCAUUGUUGGAGGAAUCAAAGUGAAUCUGGAGCACAUAUUUGAGCUUAUCUCCUCUGGGGGAAACCAGGACAACCCCAGCACCGGAACCAUUCAACAUCUUAGAGCCAUCAAAGAACAUGGUCCAAUGCUCCGAGUGAACUUCAGUCGGCUAUUGCUGUUCAAUCCACUCGGCAAGGAAAUCUGCUAUUGCCUGGGACUUAAUGGCCUUCUUUGCUUCAAACUUGAUAUCAAGGGGAAGAAAUUCAAUCGCCCAUUUAGCCACUCGACCAGUUGCAUCUCUGUUGUGCAAAAUCUCUGAUAGUGGAGCGUCGCUGACGACUGUGAUGGAAUGAUCAGAGAAAUAAUGAGCAACCUUCUUUGUGGUCAUGUAUAUUCCAUACACGAGCUUCUGAUAAUGAGGAUAUCUCUGCUUGGAUGGAGUCAAGACUUCAGACAAAUAAUACACUGGGCGCUGAACUUUGAGAGCUUUUCCUUCUUCUUCCCGCUCGAUCGUAAGCACAGUACUGACGACUUGUCCUGUGGUUGCGAUAUAGAGCAACAGAGGCUCUUUGCUGAUUGGAGCAGCAAGCAUCGGCUGGGUGGAGAGCAGAGCUUUUAGCUCGGCAAACGCUGCAUCAGCUUCUGGAGUCCACUCGAACUUGUCUGCCUUCUUCAUCAGUCGGUAAAGAGGCAAUGCCUUUUCACCGAGUCGUGAGAUGAAUCGACUUAAUGCGGCCAAGCAUCCAGUAAGCUUCUGUACAUCGUGCACUCGCACAGGGCGUUUCAUUCGGAGAAUAGUGCCGAUCUUCUCUGGAUUAGCGUCGAUUCCUCGCUCGGAAACGAGAAAACCGAGUAACUUGCCACCAGGAACUCCAAAUGUGCACUUUGAUGGAUUGAGCUUGAUAUCAUACGUUCUGAGGUUGGCAAAUGUUUCGGCGAGGUCAGCAAGCAGGUCGGAACCUUUUCGUGACUUGACGACGAUAUCAUCCAUAUACGCUUCCACAUUCCGACUGAUUUGAGUGAGUAGACACUUCUGAAUCAUUCGCAUAAAUGUGGCUCCGGCAUUCUUGAGGCCGAAUGGCAUGGUGAUAUAGCAGAAGCACCCGAAUGGAGUGAUGAAAGCUGUUUUUACCUCGUCGGGUCCGUACAGACGGAUCUGGUGGUACCCGGAGUAGGCGUCUAGAAAAGACAGUCUCUCGCAUCCCGCGGUCGAGUCAACAAUUUGAUCUAUGCGAGGGAGAGGAAAAUGAUCUUUCGGGCAGACCCGGUUGAUGUGCUUGAAAUCAAUGCACAUUCGGAGCGAUUUGUCCUUCUUAGGAACCAUGACGACAUUAGCGAGCCACUCGGAGUGGUAUAUCUCUCGGAUAAAUCCUGCCGCCAACAGUCGAGCCACUUCCUCACCAAUGGCUUUUCUCUUCUGGACAGCGGACCGCCGAAGAUGCUCUUUGACUGGUUUUGCAGAUGAGUCGACUCUUAGGCGAUGCUCAGCCAGUCCCCUAGGAACACCUGGCAUGUCAGCGGGCUUCCAUGCAAAAAUGUCCCAGUUCUCACGGAGGAACUGGAUGAGCGCUUCUUCCUAUUUCGGGUCGAGUGUUGUGGAGAUGUGGGUCCGAGCUGCAUCGGGGUCGGUCGGGUGAAUGUGAACAGGCUUUGUCUCACCGGACGACUGAAAUGCAGAUUCUGUGGCGGGUUUCUUGGAUCGCAACAAAUCACUCGGAUCUGCGUUUUGCUUGUAUUCUUCGAACUCGACCGCUGUCACCUGGGAAUCGGCAAUCUUUGAGCCCUUCUGAAAGCACUCUUCUGCCUUUUUCCGAUCACCGGUGAUAGUGAUCACUCCUUUGGGGCCGGGCAUCUUCAAUUUGAGGUACACGUAACAUGGUCGGGCCAUGAACCGUGCAUAAGCUGGUCUCCCCAAAAUGGCAUGAUAUGCACUCUGAAAAUCCACGACCUCAAACGUCAACUUCUCUUUGCGAAAAUGUUUCGAAUCACCAAACACCACGUCCAGAGCUAUUUGGCCGAGCGACUUGGCUUUCUUCCCUGGUAUAACUCCAUGAAAGCUCAUGUUACUGGUGCUCAGUCGGGACAUCGGAAUGCCCAUUCCUUUCAGCAUGUCUGCAUACAACAAAUUCAGCCCACUACCACCGUCCAUCAGCACUUUUGUCAGUCGAGAGCCUUCGACAACUGGAUCGACCACCAAAGCUUGCCUCCCAGGGGUGGCAAUAUGAGUCGGGUGAUCAGAUUGGUCGAAUGUGAUGGGCGUUUGGGACCAUCUCAGAUAAUUUGCUUUUGCUGGGGUGACCAUGUUCACCUCUCGAUUAAUGACUUUCAAUCGACUCUUGCUUUCCACAUCUGCAAAGAUCAUCAGAGUGGAGUUGAUAUGCGGAUAUCCUUCCUCACUGUCCUCCUUGUCUGCGGCCUUGUCCGACUCCUUCUCCUUGUCCUUAGACUGUUUUCCCUGAAACUGCUGGAUCAGGAGUCGACAUUGGCGAGUGGUAUGCUUCGGGUAGAUGAUGUUCCCCUCUUCGUCUUUCUUCGUGUGGAUGUGACACGGCAUAUCCAUCACGUCGUUCCCUUCUUUAUCCUUUACCUUCUUAGGGUUCCAGGAUCCUUUUGGUUUUCCUUUAAACUUUCCUUGAGUCACGGCCAGAGCCUCUCCAGGAGCUGCCGGUUCAGCCUUCCGCUUCUGUUUCCGACUGGUGUUUCCCUUUUCCGACUGACUCGGCUUGUGCUUGCCGCUUCGGAGUCGGUCUUCUUCUUCGCCGUUGGCGUACUUGGUAGCAAUCUCCAUCAUCCGACUCAAGGUCAUGUCACCGGUUCGACCAAAUUUCAAACUCAAUUCUCUGUUCUUGACACCAUCCUUAAAGGCGCAGACUGCCUGAUGAUCAGACACAUUCUCCACAGUAUGGUGCAAAGUGAUCCAUCUCUGAAUAUACUCUCUGAGAGUCUCAUUGGUCUUCUGCACGUAGACUUGCAGCUCCGUCAAUCCAGCCGGUCGCUUGCAAGUUCCUUCAAACGUUCUGAUGAACACUCGGGACAGAUCUUCCCAAGUGUAAAUGCUGCUGGGAGGUAAUUGAGUCAACCAUGCCCUGGCAGAUCCUUCCAGCAUGAGGGGAAAAUGCUUCAUGCCCACCUCGUCGUUCCCACCACCAAUCUGAACCGCCACUCAGUAGUCCUCAAGCCAAGUUUCAGGCUUAGACUCACCAGUGAACUUGCUGACUCCUGUUGCCAACCUGAAAUUGGGAGGGAUAACUGCGGCUCUGAUAGCUCUGCUGAAACAUUCAGGACCAGAAACAUGCACUCGACUGCUUGUGGGCGCAUCUCUGUCGAGUCCACCUCGAUGGGCUCUGUUCCGGUCGAGCAAACCUUGCACGAUAAUGGAUCGCGCGUCGAAGCCUGGUUCUCGUGGGUCGACUGGAACUCUUCGCCCCGCACUGAGCUGACGCCUGUCAUCUUGCUGCCGAGGAGCGUAAGACCCACCCCUCGGAGGGGAAUUGGGCAAUCGACGCCUAUCAUCUCGGUCGAGUCGGUUUCCAUAUUGGUCUCGCCGAUUCUCGCGCCCUUCACGCCGCGGAGGCGAUCUGGGGCUGUGAGCCGACUGAACCGUAUUCGCAGCGACGGAUCGACUGUGAAUUCUGUUGCGCGACUGCGACACGGCAGAAUUCUGAUCUCCUGCCGCCCGGAGUAGAUCCCUGAUCUGCAUCAAGCCUCUGCCAGCUUCCGACUGAGAGGGCUGGAUGGACUCUGCUAUACGGGUCGCAGCUGCUAAAUUCUGGAUUGGGGUUUGAUAUACCUGAGUCGGCGGGAAGAGUUGACGUCGACUGGUGUCGGGAACUCGUUGCCGCGCGCGCUCGUCGAGUGCUCGCUGAAGAUUCUCCAGUCGAGUGCGUUCGGCAAAAUUGGCCAAACGUGCCUCCUCCAAGGCGCGAGCCUCGGGGGUUUCUCCUGCGAUGGGAGUACGCAGGGCAUCCACGUUCCUGCGGCGAAGUUCCUCUCUUUGCAGAGAGUCGAGUGGCUCGGGCUGGUACUCUUCAUGGUCUCGUGCGGGGUCGCCUCCGUCGCCUGCUCCACCAUCACGGGCGAAGCCAGGGGGACUGCGGGGCCCGUCGACCAUCAGGAUUUCCGCCGCUGGGUCACUGCUAUCGCAGUCGGAUGCAGUCUCUAUGGAGCCAGUCGACAGAUCGAACAUGCCGUAGAGAGAUUCGUCGGGCUCGAUUGCCGCAACUUGGGUGGUGGCCGUCUGGCGAGCCACCGCGUGCCUCACCCACCGCUGAAGCCUCGACCGGCCCGAGCGCUUGCGCUGGCGGGAGACCGGGAGGGUGGCUGAUGGGGAAGUCGACCGAUACGGGGUCGACGGUUGCCGCAGCAGAAUGCCACGGACACAUGCGCGAAAAUGUGUCGCACCGCGGACGGGGAGCGCAUCGACGUCGAGUGGAGCCUCCUGGAGCCAGGCGGAGUCAUCGGCGACGAAGGUGAGAGCACCGAGACGGAUCUCUCGACCCUCAACCAAAACUCCAGCAGUCACCAUGAUGAAAGUACUCGGAAGAACCGCAACCUUUCCACAAAAUCGCUAAAACACCUGCCCCACGGUGGGCGCCAACUGUCGUGGUUCUAAGUCUGACAGUAGAGUGGGGGGUAGGUACGGAGAGGCAAGGUCUUAGCUAUGGAGAGGUUGUAAACACAAGAGAUGUACGAGUUCAGGCCCUUCUCGGAGGAAGUAAAAGCCCUACGUCUCGGAGCCCGGAGGCGGUCGAGUGGAUUAUGUGUAUAUGAGUUACAGGAUGCCGAACCCUUCUGCCUGUGGAGGGGGUGGCUUAUAUAGAGUGCGCCAGGACCCCAACCAACCCACGUAAUGAAGGGUUUAAGGUGUAUUUAGUCCGGGGCGUUACUGGUAACGUCCCACAUAAAGUAUCUUAACUAUCAUAAAGUCUACUUAACUACAGGCCGUUGCAGUGCAGAGUGCCUUUUGACCUCCUGGUAGUCGAGUGAGUCUUCGUGGUCGAGUCCUUCAAGGUAGUCGAGUGAGUCCCUCGUUGGUCGACUGGAAGGUGACCUCUUCUAAGGGUGUCCUUGGGCAGGGUACUUAGAUCAGGUCUGUGACCCUACCCUAGGUACAUGACCCCAUCAGCAGGCACGUGGGUCGACGAGCUUCCAUCAGUUCUUUGGGGACUGAGGACUACUACAAAUCGGUCAACUGGGAGGACCCCGUUCUUUUUGGUCUACGGAGCUGAAGCGGUUCUGCCAAGUGACCUGCUUCACAAUGCACCACGAGUCGAUCUCUACUCCGAAGCUGAAGUAGAACAAGCACGGCAGGAUGCAGUCGACCUUCUGGAAGAAGAAAGGGAGAUGGCCAUGAUCCGAUCGACCAUCUAUCAGCAAGACUUGCGUCGAUUCUACGCCAGAAAUGUGAAGAGCCGAGCCUUCCAAGAAGGAGACUUGGUCCUCCGAGUGGACCAACAGAAGCCACACAAACUCGCCCCUACUUGGGAAGGCCCCUUCAUUGUUACCAAAGUUCUCCACAACGGAGCAUACCGUCUGUACAAUGUCGAUCGCCAGAUUGAUGAGCCAUGAGCUUGGAAUGCGGAUCUACUCCGCCCCUUUUAUACUUAAGUAUUCACUCGGAUGAGUUGUAAUAAAAGUACUUUUGUAGUUUAUUUAUCAAAGACAAGAGUUUCAUAAUUUUCCCAGUGAUUGUUAUUACUUUUGUUUACAUAAAUCAAUCCCCCAGUGGGUGGCUUAGCUGCGAAUCCGUUUCGCCUAAGUUUGUAAAAAAAAUCCUACCUAGUGGUAAGCCAGCCUUCCACUCGGAGGUUUAGCCGCGAAUCCGUUUCGCCUAAGUAUAAACAAAAUCCUACCGAGUGGUAAGCCAGCCUUCCACUCGGAGGCUUAGCUGUAGCCCAGUGCUCGCCUAAGUUUCUAAAAAUCCUACCGAGUGGUAAGCCAGCCUUCCACUCAGAGGCUUAGCUGCAGCCCAGUGCUCGCCUAAGUUUCUAAAAAUCCUACCGAGUGGUAAGCCAGCCUUCCAUUCGGAGGCUUAGCUGCAGCCCAAUGCUCGCCUAAGUUUUUGAAAAUCCUACCGAGUGGUAAGCCAGCCUUCCACUCGGGGGCUUAGCUGCAACCUAGUGUUCGCUUAAGUAUAAAAGACAACAUGCGCUCCGCAAGGAGGAUGAGGCGCAGGUCUACUCCUGCCUUCUCCUUCCGAGCUACGCCACAAAUACAAUGUGCGCUCCGCAAGGAGGACGAGGCGCAGGUCGACUCCUGCCUUCUCCUUCCGAGCUACGCCACAAAUACAACGUGCGCUCCACAAAGAGGGCGAAGCGCAGGUCGACUGCUAUCUUCCCCUUCGGAGAUACACCUUGGAAAUCCUACCGAGUGGAGAGAAAACCUCUCACUCGGGGGCUUAGCUGCAGCCCAGCGCUCGCCUAAGUUUCUAAAAUCCUACCGAGUGGAGAGCAAAACUCCCACUCGGGGGCUUAGCUGCAGCCCAAUGCUCUCCUAAGUUUCUAAAAUCCUACCGAGGGGAGAGCAAAACUCCCACUCGGGGGCUUAGCUGCAGCCCAGUGCUCGCCUAAGUUUCUAAAAAUCCUAUCGAGUGGAGAGCAAACCUCCCACUCGGGGGCUUAGCUGCAACCUAGUGCUCGCCUAAGUUUCUAAAAUUCUACCGAGUGGAGAGCAAAACUCCCACUCGGGGGCUUAGCUGCAGCCCAGUGCUCGCCUAAGUUUCUAAAAAUCCUACUGAGUGGAGAGCAAACCUUCCACUGGGGCUUAGCUGCAGCACAGUGCUCGCCUAAGUUCCUAAAAUCCUACCGAGUGGAGAGCAAACCUCCCACUCAGAGGCUUAGCUGUAGCCCAGUGCUCGCCUAAGCGUGACGAGCAUGAGUCGAUUGCAAAUUGUGCUUCGUCCCUACCUACAAAAGAACAUCACAGGCACUAAUUUAUAUUCCAAGCAAAGGAUGAUGAUCGUUCGAAGGCGGAAGCAAACAUAUCAAACGACAAACUGAGUUCGGAUAACGUCCUACGGAUCCAGAAGUGCUCAGGCAUCAAGCCUGUUAAGGUUUAUCGGUUACAAAAAUCACUCGGCAUUCCGAGGCAAAUUUAAGGCAUCAAGCAUAGAAGUUUUUUACCCCUCCUGCGGAGGGCUGGAAGGCACAACAAACUCGUCCAGGUCGAUUCCAUCUGCGAUCCGAGUGGCAGCGGCGAUGAAGGUCUCCAUGAAGGAUCGGAAGUCGUGCUUCUUGGUGUUGGCCACCUUGAGAGCUGCCAGCUUGUCCUCUCGCGCAUCCUUGCAGUGAACAUGGACCAGAGAUAGAGCAACGUCGGCACUGCAUCUGCCAGAAGACUUCUUCCAUUCGUGCACUCGACUUGGAACUUCGUUCAGUCGAGUCAUCAAGGACUCAAGGUCGUUCUGAAGUGCUUCUCCUGGCCAGAGCGCCGUGUCGAUGCGUGAUGUCGUAACCUUCAGCCUUGCAAGAUAGUCAACAACAGCAGCAACACGAGAUUCGAGUCGGAGCACGUUCAUGGCAGCUUCAUCCUUCACGGGAGAGUUGAUGGGGUCCAAGCCAGUUUCCACUCGACUAGUCUCUUCUUCAAAGUUUUGACAGAAUUCUGUGGAUAUGGUCCAAGGAUAAGCUAAUGUUCCCAUAAAGUCAGUAAUUACCAGUCAGAUAUUAGGGAUUACCUUCGAGCAUGAGGAGUAACUUCUUGGCGAGCCCUCCCAGAUAAGCCUCCAAGUCACUCUUCUUUCCAGCCAGUUCGCUAGCCUUGUCACUCAGGGCUACCUUCUCAUGCUUCUGUUGAGUGACCUCCUUGUUGGCCGCGUCGAGAGCAGCUUUCAGAGUGGCAUUCUCCUCUUCAAGUUUGCUGACCGAAGCCAACUUCUCUUCUGCAAGUUCGUCUUGUCCGAAGCCGCUUUCUGCGCCUCGACGAGGUCACGGUCCUUCUUCUUCAGAGCAUCCCUCAGUUUAUCUGUAAAAGCACAAUAAGAUCAGACUCGGGGACGGACAAGAAGCAAAGACAGUCGUCAAGAUUCUCGCCAAACAUACCUUUUGCCUCCUCCUUCGCCUUCGUGAAGUUCUCCUGGACAAGCUUCAGGUCAAGUUCGAGCUGGAUAUGCUUGUUCUCCAAUUCGGUAUAACGAGCUGAAAGCUCGCAAGAUCUCUGCAAAAAACCAAUCGACAGACGUCACAGAUAGGUCACUUCUGAGUGACUAAGAGAAAAAUUAUAGUAUUUCUAAGACUACAGCUGAAUCUAAACAUUCAACUGUAGUCUCGGGGACUACACCCAGUGGGUGCACUCAGCGUGCCCCCACUAGUUCUAUCAGCUAGACUCAAAGUCGAUCAGUCGACCAAAAAGGUGUGUGUGUGUUCUUCAGACUAUAGUCGACUGCCAGCAGUCGACCACAGUCUCGGGGACUACACCCAGUGGGUGCACUCAGCGUGCCCCCACCGGUUUACGAUUCCAUUCGACCAGAUCGAGUGAAGACAGUAAUGAGAAAAAAGAAAAACUCAAGACAUAAAGACUAUAGUCCACUGCCAGCAGUUGACCAUAGCCUUGGGGACUACACCCAGUGGGUGCACUCAGCGUGCCCCCACCAAUCCAGAUUCUCAAUCGAUACACCCAGUGGGUGUACAACAGAUACUAAGAUUUUCAGAAAGAAAAGUUUUCAGAUAACAUAUCCUAACAGAACAGGCAGUGAUCGACCAACCUGAACAUUGCUCUGAAGGGCUGAACUGGCGUCAUAAGCUGCUUGACUGGCGUCUCGGAUCUCCUUCACUUUCUCCAUCAUAACCCCCGCCUGGCGUAUGGCUUCUUUAGCAGCGCUCGCUCGGUCUUCAGGGACGUGGUGGGAGGAGAAAAGUGAAGGCUGGCCAGCACUCGACGACGAAGGGCGAGCACUCGUCAGCGGCACCGCAAAGGAUACGGUAGGCCGAGUGACACUGUCACCCUCCGCAACCAACGUCUCAGGUGCCGAUACGACCUGAGCUGCCUUGCCAGCGGACGCUCUCCUAUUCCUCCUCUGCCUCAGUGGUUCCUCGUCUUCAUCAUCAUCAGGAAGAUCAAUGAUGAUAUUAGAUGGAGCUGCAGAAAAGAGUCGAAGUUAAAAACGAAGAUUCCACCAAGUGAAAAUGAAACUUCAAAAGUCAUACCAGGGUUGGAAGUGACGGCAUCCUCCAUUUCUUGAUCAUCAGGUCUGGCCGAGGUAUCAGAAGUAGCAGCACUGCAGUUUCAGAAAUCAGUCAACCAGCUAACGAAUCGACCAAGAAUAAAUCCAUGAGAAACACGAGGACACGAGCUAUGUCAUUACCCAGAAAUAGUGGGAAUCACCAUCUUCAUUUUCGGCAGAGCCUUCGUCGGCCUCGACGGCACCACUCGAGAUUGCUUUGGCGCUUUCUCAGUCGGCGCCGGGGAGGUCGUCCGAGGACGCUGGUCGAUUGCACAGCAGGUGCGGCCCCCUUGCCACGCUCGACCGCAGGGUCAUGAGCAAGCUUGGACCUUCUUUCAAAACGGGGAGGCGCAACUUCCUCCUCCUCUUCCUCCUCCUCCUCCUCAUCGGAGCCAGCAUCUUCAUCACCCUCGUCACCAUCCGAUUCCCACUCCUCUUGACUUUCACCUCCACUUCCCUCCUCCUCCUCAGUUCCUUAUAUAGAGUCGCUUCCGAGUGGCUGACUGGUGGACCCAGGCAAUCCUGUCAAAUCCAGAAACAGUCGCGCGAGGGAUACGUGGCGAAAAAGGCGGCGCGGGAAUCGAGGCGUCUCUGUCUUAUCCCGUCCGAGUACCGCGGCCUUCCCCGCUUCGCGCGCUUCUCGAAAUUUGGAUCCCAGUAAAUCCGCUAACCGCGGGGCAACUUGUCAGACGGAAGAUCUCCUGCGAUCCGUCGCUCGGAGAUCUCCAAGUAUCGAAAGAUCACUCGACCUACAUCCAGAAUGGAUCAAGGCGAUUGAAAAAGAAGUUGAUACCGUCACCUACGGUCAUUUGAUCCAAAACAAGACGUACUCGUAGCAAGAAAGGAGGAGUCGGAAGAAUUCUCAACUCCUUCCUCACUCAAACCUCGAUCCAUUCGGGGGCUAAUGAUGAAGUCAUGUACCUAGGGUAGGGUCAUGGACCUGUCCAAGGUACCCUCCCCCAGGACAUCUUUUGAUGAAGUCAUCUUCCAGUUGACCUAGAGGGACUCCACUCGACUGCCUGGAAGACACUCGACGAACUUGAAGACACUUGACCAUGAAGACUCACUCGACCACCAGGAGUUCAAGAUCUACUAUAUAUCCAAACGGUCUGUAAUUAAGUAGUCUUUAUGGUCAUGACGACACUUUAUGUAGGGCAUUACCAGUAACGCCAGACCUUAAUGUACUUUAACCCUCCGCUGCGUGGGCUGGCUGGGGUCUUGGCAUCCUCUAUAUAAGUCACCCCCCUCCACUGGCAGAAGGGUUCGCACCCCUGUAACUCUCACACAUAUAAUCCAGUCGACCGCCUCCGGGCUCCGAGACGUAGGGCUGUUACUUCUUCCGAGAAGGGCCUGAACUCGUAAAACCCUUGUGUGCACAACUACUCCAUAGCUAGGAUCUUGCCUCUCCUUAGUACCCCCUACAUUACUGUCAGGCUUAGAACCACGGCACCGCCCCCGCUCGUGCCAGGAACCCCCGCCGCCGCGCAGGACCGCCGCCGCCCAGAGACACCACUCGGAAUCGCCCCGUCCCGCGCGGGAGGACACCCAAGAGGGGAAAUACCAGGGGCCGCCGCCGCCAGCGUCGCCCAUGCCAGGCCCACGGCAGGCGCCGGCGCCGACGGCAGGGAGGAAGGAGGAGGGGGAGGCGCGUGGAAGAGGAGGUUGGGCACGGCCGGCCGCCUCGGGCGGCACGGUCGCGGGGGAGGAAAAAGGAGUUCCUUCUGCGCUCUUGGCAGAAUCGCCCUUUGAUUUAGAUAAAUUUCUUGCAAAAGAAAAGAAAAAAGAAAGUGCACGACCUCCUUCCUAAAAAAACAAACAAAGCAUCCUCUAAGAUCUUUCUCCUUCGAGUCUGGGCGAAGGUCACUUCUUGGCUUGGACUCCGUCACAUCAUGAACGGAUUGGUAUCUUAUGGCCUCGGUGAAGGAGUGGCCGAUUGAGAUGGCUAGUACGAGAGACCAAACACAGAAAGGCCAUCUCCUCCUUGAAGAUGUUUGUUACAUGGGAAAUCUGGAAAGAGCGGGAUGCCAGAGUUGUCCGCAACCUCAGUGCCCCCACUAUUGUGAUUGUGACGACGAUCAAGGAGGAGGCCCGACUUUUGGCAUUGGCAGGAGCUGCGCAUUCACCACGGCCCGCACAGUCUUCUAGUACUGGACAACGUCCCUCUGCAGCAGGUUGAACCCCGUCUCCCCGGGAUCUGCCCACGCACGCCAUGACGGUGACGACGGUAGUGUUCCUAUGGUCAGGGGAGAGCACUGGGGCAGAGGAGAGGGUUCGAGCGUGUGGGGGGAGGGGGUGUGGGGCGGCAGGGUCGCGCGGGAGCGGUGGAAUGCCGCGGUGGCGCGCAGAGAAGCCGUAGGCGGCAGUGGCGGUGCCAGAACUGCAAUCUUGUGUAGUCAUUUUCAAAUUGUGUAGUCAAGUAUAUAAAUUCGAACAAAAAAAUUCAACAUUUUUGCAGCUGGGUGGUCAAUUGACUACCCAGUUGAUGAGUGGCUUCGCCACUGGUCGGCGGAGAGUCCAGUGCGGCGCGCGAGGGGAACGAGAAAGGGGANNNNNNNNNNNNNNNNNNNNNNNNNNNNNNNNNNNNNNNNNNNNNNNNNNNNNNNNNNNNNNNNNNNNNNNNNNNNNNNNNNNNNNNNNNNNNNNNNNNNNNNNNNNNNNNNNNNNNNNNNNNNNNNNNNNNNNNNNNNNNNNNNNNNNNNNNNNNNNNNNNNNNNNNNNNNNNNNNNNNNNNNNNNNNNNNNNNNNNNNNNNNNNNNNNNNNNNNNNNNNNNNNNNNNNNNNNNNNNNNNNNNNNNNNNNNNNNNNNNNNNNNNNNNNNNNNNNNNNNNGGGGUUCCAGACUGUUGGUCGGCGUUAUUUGUCGACCGAUGAAUGGAUGCGCAUGGGAGUUUUCCCGACCCACAGAUCGACAAUAAAUGUGCUUGUAUUCCCGUCCGAUGGUCUGUUGUUGUCCACAGGUUUUCCCAACCAUCUGUCACAACAUUUCCCAACCAACUGUUGAUCGACGAUGGUAUUUUUUCCCGACACACGUUUGUAGGGAAUGCAGUGUCGAGCGUUGACCUUUGUCCUUGCCUUUGCUUUGCUGGCAGGGUUGCUUGAGCUGGUCUUCGCUAUAGUGCCAAGGUGUUUGGCCAAGUCAAAGGUACUGGCAUGCUGGUAGAACUUGGCGACCUGAUGGGAUUUCUCGAGCUCGAGCUUGGUGGCUAUGACGGCCGAACUGAGCUAACUCGAAAGGACCUACACAUCCAUGAAUGCAUAUUUUGCCGCCACUUUUAUUUUAUCGCAGGGUUUGUAGUUAGACUUAUUGUUUGUAUCGGACUUAUUGUGUAUGAAAAUUAUUGUAAUAACUCUUAAACUGGUAUUGAAAUAGUUUACUUUCUUUAUGAUGUGAAAUCCUAUGGAUGUGGAUGUAUACUUAUUAUGAUCCUAGGAGAGUAUGUUGAACAUAUCCACGGUAUGGAUUCUCCUUUUAAAUCUUCUUUUGUCAUCAGGUUAAUUGCCUUAAGUGGUGGUUAGCACCACAUGAUUAAGGUAGAUUAUGAUUAGAGUAAUCUGCUCCAUUACAGUAACCCUCUAACCCAUUAUUGCCAUUCUUAUAGCUAUAGUGUGUUUUGCUAACUAGGUCCUUAUUUGUGUAGUUUACAACGGAUUCAAAUAACCAUACACAGCACACAAGCGAUGGAGCGCAGAGGAGCCCUACAAGCAAUGUUCUUGGUUCUUCACCAUCGAGAAACAAUUCGUUCUUUAGCCUUUAUCAUAUGAUUAUGUUGGUUGCCGGCAUGCGGAGGGGUUUGGGACUCAUGAUCGAGGAUUGGGAUAUAUGUUAUGUGGAUUGGGCUGAAAUGAAUGAUAUGUGUUGAUUUGUGUGUAAAUGACGUCCCAACGGCUCCCACUGCAGGGGAGACUUUGCUGAUUUUUUUCUUCUAAUUACCGUACUUAUUUUAUACUCAGUAUGGGUUUAUGCUCAUUGGUUGAUGCGGGUUAAGAUGUAGCCACUCUUCUUUUGUCACCCUGCUUCUUCAUACUCCGCUUGCAAAAUCCGGCUAUUUUUCUAUCCUUUUGUCAUAUGAUUAUGUUGGUUCCACUAUGAGGAGAGUUUGGGCCUCGAGACCGAGGAUUGAGACAUCUUAUUGUGUGGGUUGGUCUGAAAAGAAUGAUAUGUGUUGAUUUGUAUGUAAAUGAUGUCCAACGGCUCCCGUACAUUUUUUAACUUCCGAUCUAUUCCUCUUCAAUCAUGGUAGUACAACGAAGACCAGAAAUAAUAAAAAUUACGUUCAGAUUCGUAGACCACAUAGUUACAACUACAAACACUGAAGCCUAAUAGAAAAGCGUAGUAGAGGCAUUCGGAAAACGUUGUAAGUGGCGUGGACUGGAGAAGCCGCUAGUAUGACGCCGCUGAUAAGGCUCACUAGUGGCGCCGACUUCCAACGCUCGUAGAAACUUGAUAUUACUGGCAUCGGCGGCCAACGCCGCUGAUAGCUUUAGUACUGCUGGCGCGGGUCGGCCGAUGCCACAUGUACUUAUUGUAUUCGUUGUAUCGGGUAAAAAACAACACCACUAUAAAAUAUGACAGAACAAUAAAAAUCUGGUAAAUCACAUUGCAAAGAUGGAAAUCAUAUCGCAUUGCAUAUGAAACCACAAGGCUUUUGCCGUGUGCCAAAGACAUUCAAAUCCGGUAGUGAACUUUGUCUUGUUGUAUAUUUGGACGGCGUCUUUUGAAAGAGAAAACAUCACACAUGAUUUCUUUUUCACUAAACUCCAUUGGCCUCGUUGAUAUGUUCGUUCUCUUCUUUUCCAAUCUUGUGUAUGCAUUCGCUAUAUUCUCUUGAUUCUUGAGCACUCCCAUUUAAUGAUUUCCUCACGCAAAGGUGGACAUAUCGUGCCAAGAUGAAUCUUGCAUUCCUAGUUUUCUUUGCAUAAACUAAGAUGGGAUCCUCUGACAAACUGUGGGUUUUAUUUAGAACUUGAAAAGCUGACAAUUAUGCAAACAAAUCCGCACGACACUGUUGGAAGUUAAAAAAAAUAGUUGUGAUGUGUCAGCAUAAUAUAUACAAGCCCACAAGCCACUCAUGUAGAUGAUAUGAUGGACGGCUAGGGUUUUAUGUCCGUUCUGUGGACCUCUUUCCAUUUCCGCUGCCACAUAUAUGAACCAAAGAUGUAGCUAAUUUUGUCUAUGUGGUAGAGAUUAACAAACUAUGGGUUGUAAUCACAAUGUUUAGAUGCAUGCCAAAAUACAUCGCCGCACUGGAUGAAGAAAAAUGACGUGGAAGCCCAAGCUAUAGGCACUAGACAGAAGCCACCCACGUAGAUCAUGAACAACUUAUGUCUGUUUCCUUGCACCUUUUUAUCUUUAUCUAGCUAUAUAAACCGUCCACAGAUCAAGAGUGUAGUUAUCCAUAUACAGAACCAUUUAAGAUAGUACUAAAUCAGAGACAGAAAGUCUGUUCGCAGAGGAACAAAGUCGAUGAAGAUCGUGUUCUCGGUGCUCCUGCUAUGUAUGCUCGUGGCGACACCCAUAGCGUCCGAGUACGGCGCAUGGAGCUAUAACAGUGGUCCCUGGAUGUGCUAUCCGGGGCAGGCCUUCCAGGUGCCCGCGCUCCCUGGCUGUCGUCCAUUGCUGAAGCUCCAGUGCAAUGGCAGCCAGGUGCCCGAGGCCGUCCUAAGGGACUGCUGCCAGCAGCUCGCCGAUAUCAGUGAGUGGUGCAGGUGCGGUGCCCUCUACAGCAUGUUGGAUAGCAUGUAUAAGGAGCAUGGCGUGUCGGAGGGACAGGCGGGGACAGGCGCAUUCCCAAGCUGCCGGAGGGAGGUGGUGAAGCUGACGGCGGCGAGCAUCACGGCGGUCUGCAGGCUACCCAUCGUCGUUGAUGCGUCCGGAGAUGGAGCGUAUGUCUGCAAGGAUGUGGCCGCAUACCCGGAUGCCUAGUCAAGCGAAUGAGUAGCUAAUAUGUUCUGUGAUACAUCUGCCUCUUAAUUUAUGGGUUGCGCACAAGCUGAAUAAAAUGGUGUAUUCACCUAUGCGAAAUGCAUCGUUAAUGAAUAAAAACGAAGUUCCCUGUUGAUCGAGAAAUUUCAAUCCAGCAUACAAAAGAAUAAGUAGACGCAUGCCCUGUGAUCGAUCUUUUGGAGCCUUUGGCUAUAUCGUAGCCAGCUAUUAUUGUAAGAGUGGCAUCCGGGUGCUCGUCCAUGAUUAGGUUGUAGAUGUCAGAUCACUUGUACAGACAGACACAUUAUGCUGAUGCCGUUCUUAAUCGAGUAGAAGAAUUCCAUGGUCACAAAUAGAUCAGAGAAGAGAUGGUUGACCACACAAAUAGAUCAGAGAAGCGAUGAUCAUAUUGGGUCAGGAUGUACAUACCUAUGUUCCUCCUUGAUGUAGGGAACAUCCGGCACGGCCUUGCGCCACUCCUUGCUGCCCGCAACGCGGCCAUGCCCUGCCCUAGGGUUCCGCGACGACGGCGGCGACGGCGUCCCACAACCACACCCUCCCAUGGGUCCUGCCUUGAUGUGGGGUUCCGCAGUGGUGGCGGAGGUCUCGGAGGCCGCGUUGACGCCGGGGCCAGAGAAGCAAGACGUUAGCGGCGGAGGCGGCGGAAGAUUCUGCAGUCCCGGAGGCAGCGUUCACACCUAGGAAAUAGAUCGAGGGAGUAUCUCGAUCGAGAGAGGAGUACAGGGGGGCCUCGUUCCUCUGAUUUUGUUUAGUGGGACGGGGCUCAGUUCCUUGUUUUUUUUUUGGCUAGGUGUGAGGGGAAGCAGUGUGGUGGGAGGGGGGAAGGAAAAAACCAGUCGAAAAAAACCGAACGAAAAUCCUACCAACUGCUUCAUUAGGAAUAAAGAUUAGUGUGUUCCUUUUUUAUUCUUGCAUGCAAAGAUUUAAUGUGUCUCGAAAACUAAAAAUGAGAUGGAGUGAGCCCUUUAAAUUGGAAAAAACAAAAAAAAUUGAGAUAAACCCUAUAAACCGGGAAGGAGGGAGCAGGUCCUUGUUUGUGUAGCUUACAAUGGAUUCAAAUAACCCUGCACAGCACACAAGUGAUGGAGCGCAGAGGAGCACUGCAAGCAAUGUUCUUGGUACCAUCGAGAAAUGGUUAUUUCUUUUGCAGGGGAGAGAAAUGGUUAGUUCUUUAGCCUUUAUCUUUUGAUUAUGUUGGAUGUCGGCAAGAGGAGCUGUUUGGGACUCAUGACGGAGGAAUGGGAUAUAUUAUUAUGUGGGUUGGGCUGAAAUGAAUGAUAUGUGUUGAUUUGUGUGUAAAUGACGCCCCAACGGCUCCCGCUACAGGGGAGACUUUGCUGUUGAUUUUGUAAUUAACAUACUUAUUUUAUACUUAGUAUGUGUUUGUGCUCAUUGGUUGAUGUCGGUUAAGAUGUCGCCACUCUUCUUGUGACACCCUGCUUCUUCAUACCCCUCUUGCAAAAUCCGGUUAGUUUUCUUGCCUUUUGUAAUAUGAUUAUGUAUUUUUAGGGUUGUAAUAUGAUUAUGUUGGUUGCCAGCAUGACGAGGGCUUUGGGCCUCAUUGUAAACGAAGGAGAAGUAGAUUGGAUCGGCGCGCCCAACAUGGUGGCCUCGGGAUGUAUUUAUAUGGGUGCAACUAGGGCACAAAUUACAGGUUAUUACAGGAGAUAAGUACAGACUCCUAGAUCACAACAAUAUACAAUUUAACAUCCCCUCUCCAUCUGAACUUCCUUCGCGAAGAUUCAGAUUGUAUCUAUUUAAGACACAUGGUGCCUCAUCUAGUGGUUUGGUGAAGAUGUCAGUAACUUGUUCCUUGGAAGAGAUGAACCUAACAUCCAAUGCUUGGCUGCAACUUUUUCUCGAACAAAGUGGAAAUCCACCUCUAUAUGCUUGGUUCUGGCAUGAAACACCGGAUUUGCAGACAAAUACGUGGCACCCAGAUUGUCACACCACAAGAUUGGAGGUCAUGACAUAAAGAUUCCAAGUUCACCAAGAAGUGACUGUAUCCAAAUUAUCUCAGCCGUACCAUUGGCAAUGGCCUUGUACUCAGACUCCGUGCUUGAUCGUGAGACUGUGGCCUGCUUUCUGGAGCUCCAAGAGACAAGGUUGGGACCAAGAAAAACAGCAAACCCUCCUGUAGACCUGCGAUCGUCACUACAUCCGGCCCAGUCCACGUCAGAGAAGCAACUCAACACCAUUGAAGAUGACUUGCUGAUGGAUAGACUCAUACCACGAGUGUACUUCAAAUACCUCAAGAUCCUUUUUGCGGCCGAAAAAUGUGCAGUCGUCGGUGCAUGAAGGAACUGACAAACACGAUUCACAUCAAAAGAAAUAUCCGGCCUGGUCAACGUCAAAUACUGAAGUGCCCCAAGUAGGCUGCGGUAUUUAGUACUGUCAUCCUGAAAGAGAGGUGCCCCGCUAUCCUUGCUGAUUUUCUCACUCGAGGACAUGGGAGUAGUAGAAACCUUACAACUCUCCAUGUUAGCACGGUGAAGAAUGUAGCCAAUGUACUUCUGUUGAGAGAGCACAAUCCCCUGUGGCGACGACUUCACCUCAACCCCAAGAAAAAAUGCAAGGGACCAAGAUCCUUGAGAGAAAACGUGGCAUGAAGAUCAGCAAGUAGCUUAGUUGUUGUAGUAGGCGAUGAGCUAGCCACAAUGAUGGCAUCCACGUAGACAAGCAUAAACAUGGUGACACUGCCACGAUGAAAAAUAAACAAAGAAGUUUCUGCUUUAGACGCCACAAAACCAAGUUGAAGAAGUCGCGAGCUUAACCGAGAAUACCAGGCUCUGGGGCCUGUUUGAGUCCAUAGAUGGCUUCCCUCAGCUUGCACAGAUACCGAGGAGCAGUAGGGUCCACAAAUCCAGGAGGUUGUCGCAUAUACACCUGUUCCUGAAGAACUCCAUGAAGAAAUGCAUUCUGGAAAGAACUAGCCGAAUAGUAGCUGGUUUGACAACCGGACUGAACGUAUCAUCAUAAUCGAGACCAUACCGUUGCUUGAACCCUUUCGCAACAAGAUGAGCCUUGUGACGAUCAACGGUGCCAUCAGCCUUGUACUUGACCUUGAAAACCCACUUGCAGUCGAUCACAUUGACAUGAGGUGGUGGUGGAACUAAGGUCCACGUACCAUUGUGACGAAGGGCAUCAAGCUCAAACUGCAUAGCGGCACGCCAAGCAGGAGAUUCCAUGGCCUCACGAUGAUCACUGGGUUACAUGGAGACCAGAAACACAUGCCUAGAUGGAUCAUAGUUGACAGUACCAUCCGUAUGGUGCGCAACUUUGCGAGUAUGAUCACGUGUGCGUGUCACCAUUGCAAUGGCAGGAGGUGCAGUGGACCCAGGUGUCGGUGUCAAAACCGGCAGAUCUCGGGUAGGGGGUCCCGAACUAUGCGCCUAAGGCUAAUGCUAACAGGAGGCGAGGGACACGAUGUUUACCCAGGUUCAUGCCCUCUCGAUGGAGGUAAUACCCUACUUCUUGCUUGAUUGAUCUUGAUGAUAUGAGUAUUACAAGAGUUGAUCUACCACGAGAUCGAAGAGGCUAAACCCUAGAAGCUAGCCUAUGAUUAUGAUUGUUGUCCUCCUACGGACUAAACCCUUCGGUUUAUAUAGACACCAGAGGGGGAUAGGGUUACACAGGGUCGGUUACAGAGAAGGAGAUCUACAUAUCCGAACCGCCAAGCUUGCCUUCCACGCCAAGGAGAGUCCCAUCCGGACACGGGACGAAGUCUUCAAUCUUGUAUCUUCAUAGUCCAACAGUCCGGCCAAAGUAUAUAGUCCGGCUGUCCGAGGACCCCCUAAUCCUGGACUCCCUCAGUAGCCCCUGAACUAGGCUUCAAUGACGAUGAGUCCGACACACAGAUUGUCUUCGGCAUUGCAAGGCGGGUUCCUUCUCCGAAUACUCCAUAGAAGAUCUCGAAUACGAGGAUCGUGUUCGGCUCUGCAAAAUAAUUUCCACUCACCACCGUAGAGACCACAAUAUUCCACAAAUCUAAUCCGCUAACAAGUUUUCCUAGCGUGACAUCACCCCGCGGCCCGGCCCUUACGAACCGGUUUUCCCAACCUGGCAUUACACGUAUUGCGAGGUGGUUUUAUUGGCACGUCUUGUCGAAGCAAAGAUCGUGUUCCCCUUAUUACGGGAUUCUCAUCAAUACGGGUGUGGGUAACCCAACUACGCUUGUUAGUAUAACUCCUUGAUUUUAGGCAAGUUCCAAAUGGUCACGCCGAGGACGCUUGAUAUUCACCCCCUUUAUAGAGGGACCGAGGCAUGUCCCUUUCUUCCCACACUUGCUCCUUCCCCCACCUUGAGUUCCAACACCCAAAGCUCAGGCUUAAGCGCUUUAGACCUUCAAUCAUGUCCGGAUCCAACCUUGAAGGUCGGUGGAUGGCCUCCCCUGUCACAGAGGAGGACAUAGAGAAGCUCAGGGAGGCCAGGUAUUUGACCGCCGAAAUCCCGCACAGGCUACCUGCUCAAGGGCAGGUCAUCCCCACUCCCGAACCCAACAAGAGCGUUGUAUUUGUUUCCCACUUCCUCCAAGGCUUAGGCUUUAGUCUUGAUCCCUUUGUUAGAGGGCUCAUGUUCUAUUACGGGCUAGAUUUUCAUGAUCUAGCUCCGGACUCCAUCCUUCACAUCUUGUCGUUUAUCGUCGUGUGUGAAGCCUUCCUCCAUAUCACCCCACACUUCGGCCUAUGGCUCAAGACCUUCAAUAUAAAGCUGAAGGUGAUCGACGGGAGAUAUGCGGAGUGCGGAGGCGCUAUAAUAAGCAAAAGCGCCGAUGCCCCAUGGCCAUAGGGUUCCUUCUCGGAGGUGUCCGACUUAUGGCAGCGAAGGCGGUUCUAUAUCACAGCUCCCCAAGGCACAAAGUGGGCGGCCGCCCCCGCCUUCCGCUCGGGCCCUCCGCCUCAACUGGCGUCAUGGGUCAACGAGGGACUGGAUUGGGGGGCCAGCUAAUGACGUACCGGCAUUGCAAGGCCGCAUUCGGGAUCUUCUCGAGAGGGAUGUCAGUCUUGUCAAGGUAAUGCAAGUAAUGCUAGUUCGUCGGGUCCUGCCGUGCCAACGUCAACCUGUCUGCAUGUGGGAGUUCAACCCGGAAGGACCGUGAACUAUUCAACAAUUCUUCGGCAUGACGCUCGAAGGGAUGUACAGGUUGUUCUUCGGAUCACGAAUAAAGUGUCCGGACACCACCGAGGACGCGGGUCUUAACUGCAACCGUCUAGAUACUCAAGUAAGUAACUUCGCAACCGAACAUGCUGUCUUUAUAUGUGACACAACACCAAUCUGAAAAAACGAUCUUGUCCGGGACUGGAUACGGAAGGCAGAGAGGAUCAGAUGUUCGGCCCCUCUUCCCGAAGGCUCGCCGGAUCCUGUACUAGUCAGGAUGCUUGAGCGCGCACCCUAUCAAGUGCCAUGAGGAGAAGAUGAAGGGAGGAAUAAAGAAGCCGAAAGCGGGCUUCAUACAUUGCACAUCCAAACCGGGGGAAUUAACGUCUCCACGAAGGAGAAUAAUCGAGGAGGUGAAUCUAAAAUUCCCUUCCCCCGUGGGAAGAAAAGGGGCACCUCCGAAGACUUGGAAGUGGAUGUGUCCAAACAAGGGAAGAAACCCUCGCCAGGGGGCCCUGCCCCAGAGGGCGUCCUCACCGCACAGCGCCCGCAAACGGUCCAGCCCUCCACCGAGCUGUAAGUGAAUUAAAAGUAUUUUGAUAAAUAUAUCUUGCUUUAUCUCUAAGAAUAAUAACCGAGACCUAUCUUGCAGUCCGGAUCAUAGCCCUUCUCAAUAGAGUUCGUCCUCGGGGGAUCUUCUUCCGAAGAUGAUGGAGAGCGAAAUGCCUCCUCCUGCCUCCCCACCCCAUGGGGCGGACGACCCCGAGGUGUCGUCACGGAGGAUUUCUCCUGAUCCACUAAGGCCAGAAGUUAAUGCUUCGGCCGCCUGAAGCCCGGAGUAUUCGGCUCCCAGGGAGAGCAACUAGAAGAGUCCGGGAUUGUCCGACACACAGCCGGACACAUUGACAGGCCUUCUAGAGCGAGCGGCUAUCUCAGAGGAGCACCGUACUUUAAUGGGUACGGUGUUUGAGAGGAUUUCAUCCACCAGAAGCAGGUUGAAUGACGCUUUUAUGAGUCUGCUCAAAGGCUUUGAGGUACGCAAAGUAAUAUGUAAACUUUCGGCUGUACCGCACACGCUAGGUGUGUUCCGUAUAUAUAGUAGCCCCUGAGACUCUGGUUGCCAGCCCGAGGCGGCAAACGGAGGAUCAUACUCCCCAGUAAUGAUCGCGCUGCGUUAUGUGCAGACAGUUGAGGGUCUGGCGGUUGACCGGACUGCUGAAUUCGCCGAACUGAAGCGACAGCUUGAUGUGGCGGAUGCCGACAUCGCGCUUGUGAACAAGCAUCUUGACGAGGCACAGGGUAUGUGUUUUUCAGUAUUGUGAGCAACUAUUAAGAGGAGCAUGAUGCUAGUAUCUAUAAUAUGUUGUGGCUGCAGAUGGAGCUGCUGCCGUGGAGGCCCUUCGGGGGGAACUUGCCCUAGCCAAGCAACAAGCCAGGAUAAGUGAUGCGGCCGCCCUAAAGGCGGGCGAAGAGUUAAGAGCCGAGCAGGCUGCUCAUUGCUGGAGCAAAGAUAAAAUAGACGAGAUGGCUGUUGAGCUGAAAGAUGCCACCGGCCAAUAUGAGCUCCUUGAAAAGAAGAGACAAGCGAAAGCGGCUGACCUGAAGAAGGCCUUGGAAGCAGCCAAGGAAACACGCUCUGAAAUCAGAGCUACACGAGAGGAGCUUCGACAAGCCGGAGAUAUCACGGCUGGGAGGCCCUUUUUGUUGCGGAUAAAGUUCGGAGAUCCAAAGUAUGCUCCUCUGUAUCAAUUAAGGAGUGCUGCAGACGCAUAUGCAAACCUGACAAAGAGUACUGCUGAUGCGACUAAGUUUUUCAAAGAUCAGAAAGAUCAUGAGGUAGAAAGGUUGUUCUGGUCGCAGUUCGGUGCCCCAAUGCGUCCGCUGCCAUUGAAUGAAAAGCUGGCCGCAUGGGCCAAGCUCCAUAGGUUGUCCGGGCUUGCCAUGAGGUCUGUCAUGGAUCAUCUUUGGCCGAAGGGACCAAGGCCGGACAGUUAUUUUAGUUUAGUGCAACAAUUCCUUGGUGUUGUGUCGCAUAUCGAUGCUGUGAAGAGGUCGGCAUGCAUAGAGGGUGCGCGGAUGGCUCUUGCCCGUGUUAAAACAUUUUGGGCAGGGAUGGAGGCCACGGGUAUUGCAACCCGGGGUCCGGCGGAAGGCCAGGACCUGGCCGAGCACUAUUUUGAACAGGUCUUAGAAGGCGCCCGUUUAAUAGAGGCUCAGUGCUCAAAGAGUAUCAUGUUCGAGUGACAUAUAUCUCAAUUGUAAAGACAAUGCUAUUUUGAUUAUAAAGGUUGUGUUUAUACUUUUGUCCGAAAGUAUUGUAGUGCCUCCUGUGCGGCCGUUUAUGUAUGUAUAUAACCUGAAAGUUUGGAGUCGUUGGCUUCAGCCCCCACGGAUAUAAUGCGGGGGUGUUCGAAAAAGGCGCGUAAUCACACUUGAUCCAACGUCUUGGUCCAUUAAGGAGGUGAUCGCACGUCGAACUAGGCAACCGGACUAUAUAGCUUUAACACUUUCACUUAGCCAUAGAAGUUUGACGGUGGGGCUACUAUAUAGCCCCUGGUACUUCCGCGUUCAUCCGAAUAUGGUGUGCGUACGUACAUGACCGGGAAACCGGUCCUUCAUUAAUGCGGAGGAAUCCCUAAGAUUCCGCUAAGUCAUCGAGUGGUUGACCAGUCUCUCGCUGUAUCAUGACAGUCAGUUUUCGGCUUUCUCUACUGAGGUGCUCAUCCGGAAUAACCAGGGCACAAUCGCAGUAGUUCUCGGUUGGCCGCCUUAGCCGAUAAAAUGGAACGUAAGGUAGCAAAACCCAGGAGCCGGGCAAACCCAACAUUUGACCAAAGACAUGAUUCGGAGCUGAUGCAUAUAAGGCCAAACUCGCGACGCCGAACACUCCCGAAGGUAUUCGGACUUUGUAACAUAUAUUGGGCUGAGUAACGCCCUGAAUAAUGAACCCCGAAUUUCCAGGUACGUGCAUUAUUCUGUCGUUGCGAAAUGCCAAUAACGCCAGUAUCCCUCGUGGGUGUAUUAAUUACCCUGGGGAUGUCAAGCAACAAGAGACAUUAAAGAAGGUUUAUACAUGGGCUUAAUCUAAAGAGAAACCUUUGAGCGGGGCCCAGCUACACGUCUAUGCCUUUGUCUCUGUUGUGCCGUACCCUGGAAGGGUGUAGCACGAUGGUCAUCUAUAAAAAAGGAAAAACCCAGGUAAAAGAGUCUGGUGUAAUCGUGCGAGAAGUUGGUUAUUCUCAAUGAAUCAUUAAAAUGCAAUAUAUUAUUAUAUUAAUAGGGUCAAGCCGAACUGUUGGCUUUUUUACAUACGGGCAACCCCUAGCACCGCUUAUGGGGGUAUGUCCAUAGACCCAAGCUCAGGUUUAUCUGGGUUGUUACAACCGGCAGUGCGCUGGACUCAUCUAACCGUGUCCGUGGUCUUAACGACCGGUCAUGUAUUCUAGUUGGAGAGGCCGCUCAGUGUUCAGCUGCAAGAGCCGCCACAUAUUCUUCCACGCGUAAGGAACGCUCUAUGUUUUCGUUUACUGUGAUGACGCCACAUGGACCAGGCAUCUUGAGUUUAAGGUAAGCGUAGUGCGGUACUGCGUUGAAGCGAGCAAAGGCCGCUCUUCUGAGUAGUACGUGAUAGCCGCUUCGGAAUGGAGGAAUGUCGAAGAUUAAUUCUUCGCUUCUGAAGUUGUCGGGAGAACCGAAUAUAACCUCUAGUACUAGAGAGCCCGUGCAGCGGGCCUCAACACCUGGUAUUACUCCUUUAAAGGUAGUAUUACUUUGGCUGAUUCUUGACGGGUCUAUCCCCAUUUUGCGGACAGUGUCCAUGUAUAUUAGGUUAAGACUACUACCGCUGUCCAUAAGGACUCUGGUGAGAUGGUAUCCAUGACUUAUUGGGUCGAGCACCAAGGCAGCCGAUCCCCCAUGCCGGACACUGGUCGGAUGAUCCCUGUGAUCAAAAGUGAUCGGCAGGCCGACCAAGGGUUGAAUUUGGGGGCGACGGGCUCUACAGCGUAUACUUCUCGGAGUGCGCAUUAGCGCCUUCUCUUCGGUAUAUGAGUUGCGUAGAUCAUAUUCAUUGUUUUGACUUCUGGUGGGAAUUUUUUCUGUCCCUCAGUGUUUGGCUGGCGAGGCUCAUCCUCGUCAUCACUUGGUGUCUCCCUUCCUUUGUGUUCGGCGUUUAGCUUGCCAGCCUGCUUGAAGACCCAGCAUUCUCUAUGGGUGUGAUUUGCAGGUUUUUCGGGGGUGCCGUGAAUUUGACAUAAUCUGUCUAGAACCUUGUUUAGGCUGGACGAUCCCUCUCUGCUACCUUUAAAUGGCUUUUUCCAUUGACCGGGUUGAGAGCCCCUGAAUCCGGUGUUGACCGCCGUGUUAUCUAGACUGUCUUCAUUGUUUCGAUGCUUGUUUUUAUUGCGCCACGACUUCCCGUUGCCAUCCCUGAUUUCGGAUGUGCCUGGGUCGUUGGUGCCUCUACGAGCCAACCAGCUGUCCUCUCCCGCGCAAAAGCGGGUCACAAGGCUUGUUAGGGCCGCCAUUGUCCUUGGCUUUUCUUGGCCAAGGUGUCUGGCGAGCCAUUCGUCUCGGAUACUGUGCUUGAAAGCCGCUAAGGCUUCGGCAUCCGGGCAAUCGACUAUUUGAUUCUUCUUAGUGAGAAAUUUGUUCCAAAGCUUAUGGGCUGACUCUCCGGGUUGUUGGAUUAUGUGACUUAAAUCAUCUGCAUCCGGAGGUCAGACAUAGGUCCCUUGAAAAUUGGCCCUUAAAGCAUCCUCAAGUUCCUCCCAACUUCCAAUUGAGUUUUCGGGGAGGCUUUUCAACCAAUGUCGAGCUAGUCCUUUCAACUUCAGGGGCAAGUAUUUAAUGGCAUGGAGAUCAUCUCCGCGAGCCAUGUGUAUAUGAAGGAUAAAGUCCUCAAUCCAUACCCUAGGGUCUGUCGUUCCGUCGUAUGCCUCUAUAUUCACGGGUUUGAAUCCCUGUGGAAAUUCAUGAUCCAGCACUUCAUCGGUGACGCACAGGUGGUGCGCGGCACCUCUGUAUCUAGACAUGUUGUGGCAUGCUGUUGACGGCUGUUGUGCUUGGUGUUGAUUUUGAGCUGGUAUUUGAUAAAUAUGAUCAUUUUUGUAUAUGUAAUCAUGAGUCGGAGCGCGCUUUUUGGGUCCGUAGAUGGACCUGUUUACCCCUACUUUUUGUCCAGGAGCUCACGUAGAAAGUGUGCUGACUUGUGUGCGGCAUCAUUGGCCGCCCUGUCGCGGCCAUGGGGUGGCUAGUCCGGCUGAUCGGCCAUAUAUUUUUCCGGCGGAAUGGGCUCUAUGGCCUCCUCGUCGAAUUUGGGCAGCAGCUUGUGCUUUGGGUAGCUCUUUGUGUGGCGAUCGUCGCCGUAUUUUUCUUCAGUGUCUAGCACUUUAUUCCAUCUGCGACACUUUGUUCCAUCUGUGAUUGAGCAUAUCUUACGCAGCCUUAAGCCUUUGCUUCUGCUUCUUCAGGCUCCUUGCGGUGGCCAUAAGCCUUCUAUGGAGGUUCUCUUGUUCCAAACGUUUUUCCAGGAUGAUGUAUGCGUCGUCUUUCGGACUAUCCUCCUCUUCGGAGGCAGGUUGAUGAGUUUUACCCUCGGGAUCGCUGUGAUCGGACACCUGCUCCGGGCUAUGUUCGGCGUCCACUAGCUCAUCCUGCUCCAUCGCUGGGUCCAUGGGGUCGUCGUUUCCUUUGGAGUCGACUGGGGUGUUAUUUUUUCUUGCGCUAUUAUCGCUAUUUUUACUGUGGCUGGAUUUGGAGCGGCGCCUGCACCGUUGCUUUGGUUUCUGCCCAGGGGGAUUAUCCUCUGUUACAUCCUUUUUGUCGUCGUUCUUCUCCUUGGGUGUGUCCACCAUGUAUAUAUCAUAUGAUGAGGUGGCUGUCUAGCGCCCCGUGGGCGGUGGUUCCCGAUCAUCUCCAGCAUCGACGUCUAUACCGUCGAUGUCUUCGGAGUCGAAGUCAAGCGUGUCGGUUAAGUCAUCGACAGUGGCUAUUAAGUGGGUGGUGGGUGGGUAGGGAAUUUCUUCGUCGUCCACAUCCCACUCGGGCCGGACAUAGUCUCUAAAUUCAUUGAGGUCCCAUUGAGGUUUCUGCUUGGGGGGAUUAUCCUCCGUUGCAUCCCUAGCCAAGAGUCUCCUGAUAAAGAGAGAGACCUCAAUGAAAUUAGCAAGUCGCCCAAGGGGGAGUGUUGAAAGAUAUCCACGGAGGUAAACUCCAUGAUCGGUGCCCAAUCAGAUUCGAUAGGUAUCGACGUGUCACGACCGGUUUUUCAAUAAAAUAAUUAUUGAGAAAAUCGAUCUUUAAAUCCCAGUAUAGGAAAAGUCAUCCUCACUGGUAGACAAAAUACUUGAUGAACAGAGGACCAGUAGCAUUAAAUAUAUUACAGAGUUGAGCUAAGGCUGCUCAACAAUUUAUUACAAACUCGCCAAUAUCCUACAUAAGGGCGGUUAUGUCACAUGGAUGUGGUGGCAUGCUACUAGCUCGAGGUAAAAAGUGGUGGAUAACUUAACUCCUAACUGGCAGCUCAUCGAGCGUUGAGGUGAGGCUCGAUGAAUUUAUUUCUGGGGUUGCGGAAGCGGAUAAUACAAUGACCAAACAGGAUCGCACGGGACUGACUGGGACUCCUCUAGGCGUCGGACUCGCUAUCAAACUCUUCAUCCAUGAGAUCGCCUUCAUCAACAUCUGGCCAAAUCAACAAGCCAGGUGAGUACUUUGAAAGUACUCGCAAGACAGUUCGGACAAAGGAUAUAAUCAAUGAAUGCAUGAAUGCGCCACGAAUAAAAAUGAUGCUCAUACAUCAAUAAUAAUAUUUAUGCACGACUCGAUAAGUAAGCAAAUAAAUGAAACCGAUCGGGUGUCUGGAGCAAUGCCUCAAAAGGUAAACAAAUAAAACUCAUGCCGCAGUCGGGCGUCUAAGCGACACCACAUAAAGGGCUUUAAAAGAAAUGCCACAGUCGAACGUCUGAGCGACAUCACAUAAAGGGCUUUAAAAGAAAUGCCACAGUCGGACGUCUGAGCGACAUCACAUAAAGGGCUUUAAAAGAAAUGCCACAGUCGNNNNNNNNNNGGUUAUUUGCAAAAGUGAGAUCUGAUAGAGACAGAUAAAUGGUAAAGUAAAUAUUUUUGGUAUUUUUGGUUUAUAGACUGGAAAGUAAAGAUUGUAAAAUAGUAGAUCGGAAACUGUAUAUUGUAAAAUAGACCCGUGGGCCAUAGGUUUCACUAGUGGCUUCUCUCAAGAUAGUAAAUAUUACGGUGGGUGAACAAAUUACUACCGAGCAAUUGAUAGAAGAGCGCAUAAUUAUGAUGAUGUCUAAGUCAAUGAUCAUGAAUAUAGGCAUCACGUCUGUGUCAAGUAGACUGAAACGAUUCCGCAUCUACUACUAUUACUCCACACAUCGAUCGCUAUCCAGCAUGUAUCUAGAGUAUUAAGUUCAUAAAGAACGGAGUAACGUAUUAAGUAAGAUGACAUGACGUAGAGGAGUUAACUCAAGCAAUAUGAUGAAAACCCCAUCUUUUUAUCCAUGAUGGCAACAAUACAAUAUGUGCCUUGCUACCCCUACUGUCACUGGGAAAGGACACCGCAAGAUUGAACCCGAAGCUAAGCACUUCUCCCAUUGUAAGUAAAACCAAUCUAGUGUCACGACCGGUUUUUCAAUAAAAUAAUUAUUGAGAAAAUCGAUCUUUAAAUCCUAGUAUAGGAAAAGUCAUCCUCAUUGGUAGACAAAUACUUGAUGAACAGAGGACCAGUAGCAUUAAAUAUAUUACAGGGUUGAGCUGAGGCUGCUUAACAAUUUAUUACAAACUCGCCAAUAUCUUACAUAAGGGCGGUUAUGUCACAUGGAUGUGGUGGCAUGCUACUAGCUCGAGGUAAAAAGUGGUGGAUAACUUGACUCCUAACUGGCAGCUCAUCGAGCGUCGAGGUGAGGCUCGAUGAAUUUAUUUCCGGGGUUGCGGAAGCGAAUAAUACAAUGACCAAACAGGAUCGCACGAGACUGACUGGAACUCCUCUAGGCGUCGGACUCGCUACCAAACUCUUCAUCCAUUUGGCCAAAUCAACAAGCCAGGUGAGUACUUUGAAAGUACUCGCAAGACAGUUCGGACAAAAGAUAUAAUCAAUGAAUGCAUGAAUGCGUCACGAAUAAAAAUGAUGCUCAUACAGCAAUAAUAAUAUUUAUGCACGACUUGAUAAGUAAGCAAAUAAAUGAAAGCGAUCGGGUGUCUGGAGCGACGCCCCGAAAGGUAAACAAAUAAAACUCAUGGUGCAGUCGGGCGUCUAAGCGACACCACAUAAAGGGCUUUAAAAAAUGCCACAGUCGGACGUCUGAGUGACAUCACAUAAAGGGCUUUAAAAGAAAUGCCACAGUCGGACGUCUGAGCGACAUCACAUAAAGGGCUUUAAAAGAAAUGCCACAGUCGGACGUCUGAGCGACAUCACAUAAAGGGCUUUAAAAGAAAUGCCACAGUCGAACGUCUGAGCGACAUCACAUAAAGGGCUUUAAAAGAAAUGCCACAGUCGGACGUCUGAGCGACAUCAUAUAAAGGGCUUUAAAAGAAAUGCCACAGUCGGACGUCUGAGCGACAUCACANNNNNNNNNNCGAAAGGUGAACAAAUAAAAAUAAGGAAAAUGAUGCCACAGUCAGGCAUCUUAGCGACACCACAUAAAGGGCUUUUUUAAAAGAAAUGCCACGGUCGGAUGUCUGAGCGACAUCGCAGAAAGGGCUUUAAAAGAAAUGCCACAGUCGGACGUCUGAGCGACAUCACAUAAAGGGCUUUAAAAGAAAUGCCACAGUCGGACGUCUGAGCGACAUCACAUAAAGGGCUUUAAAAGAAAUGCCAAAGUCGGACGUCUGAGCGACAUCGCAGAAAGGGCUUUAACAAAAAUGCCACAGUCGGACGUCUGAGCGACAUCACAUAAAGGGCUUUUAUUCACAAGUAAAUAAUACUCAUAAUAAAUNNNNNNNNNNAAGGGCUUUAAAACAAAUGCCACAGUCGGACGUCUGAGCGACAUCACAUAAAGGGCUUUAAAAGAAAUGCCACAGUCAGACGUCUGAGCGACAUCACAUAAAGGGCUUUAAAAGAAAUGCCACAGUUGGACGUCUGAGCGACAUCACAUAAAGGGUUUUAAAUAAAGUAAAUACGAUUAUGCCACCGUCGGACGUCUGAGCGACAUCACAGACAGGGCUUACAAUAAAUGUAAAUACAAGUAUGCCACCGUCGGACGUUUGAGCGACAUCACAGACAGGGCUUGUAACAAAAGUAAAUGACAAGAUUAGUCCAUCCACAAGAAUAAUCUUUUAACCGGAUUUAUCACACAUGUAUUCCACCGGAGUUUUGUCACUGAGGCUGAUACCUGACAAGAUAAGAUGAAUAUAGUACUUGAACAAAGUACAAGAUAAUUGAAAGAUUUGAGACUCUGCAGAGUUAAUAUUGACUGACCACAGCCAACGGAUUUCCGUAGUCACAAAUGGACUAGUUCCGUUUAUGGUAUUUCAGUAGAAACACAUUUAACUAGUAUACACCCAUUUCACCUCACGAUGCCAGGAAUCACUCUGGACAACGUCCAAGAAAAAUUUUGAGACGGGGAGGUCACAACCUCGAAUAGCAUGGGAUCAAAUUUCUAUACGCGCACUCUAAGGGGUGCCCCCCUCUCGGUCCCAACCGGAAACACCCAUGCCCCUUGACCGGAUGACGGGCUUUAAUCCAUGGCCAUGGAAACCUCAUCCCGGCCUCUCUAUUUGGUGUGUACCAGGAAAACGAUUUGCAACUUACUAAGCCAUAUUCCUUUCGAAAACAUGUGACAGUACAGGAAGGAAUGAAUGGAAAUGUGAUUUGUUUCACGAUGACACGGAAGUCAAAUAAUCUGGCAUAAGACUGGCAUGUCACAACACUACCAUCUUACCCAUCCUCAUGCCAUCACAUGGCCAUGCAAAUAUGUAUCCAACAACAUAAUGCUUUUCCGAAACUUACUUUCCACUUAUAUGCAUGAAAUAUAACAUUCAAGAAAUGUUCAUAAACAUGCCAUGACUAUACAAAAAUGCAAACAUGCAACAGCCACUCAUCAUAUCAAGAGUUCAGACAUGCUUGCCUGGUUCGGAGUAGUCGGAGUUUAACUGUGUGAAGUUUGCGGCUCCGUCACCUCCUCCGGUAUCUACGGUAUAAGAAAAAUAUGUACGUAACAUAAAUAACGUGAGUGCACAGAAAAAUGGUCCAAAUAUUUUUCAAAUAAAUAUGACAAAAAACUAGACAGAAAAAUAAAGGUGACAGAAAAGGAAUCAAACAAAAAUCAUUUUUUUUUAAGUUAUAAGAGUUUUGGUCCAAGGACCCAUGUGUAAUGAAACAGAAAGUUUCCAGGGGGCUCUGCGGAAAAGUCUAGAAAAACGUUUCGUUUAAAAGAAACGACUGAGAGGCUGACAGGUGGGCUCCACCUGUCAAGCUUGAAAUUUCAAACGGGGAAAAGAGAGCGCGACGGUGCCCGAGAGAUGCGGUGGUCGCUGGCGGCGAUCCACGGUGAGGCAAGGUGAUCGGGGGUUACCUUCGUGAUCAGUGCACCUUUCCGCGUCUGUGAGUGGUGGUGGUGGUCGCCGGCGAGCACUGUGUCGACGGCGGCCCUUGCUCCGGCGGACGGCGGUUCGGGCAGUCGUGGAUCUUGCCGGAGGGAGCUACGGUGUUCAAAUUGAAGUGGGGGUUAGCCUACUGGAGGUGGUACGGGGCUACGGGCAAGAGCAGGGCGGCGGAGGAGUUCUCACCAAAGAGAAUGUUGUCGGAGCCCGAGGCAGACGGAGGUGGCCGGAGUCGAAGAAGAAAGGCCCCUCGAGGCUCUCCCAGUGGCUAGGCGGGGUCUAGUGAGGUGGUGGAGUUGUGCGGGGGCGAGAGCAAGCUCGAGGGGGUGCUAUUUAUAGCCGGCCCGAGGCGGUUGCCGUGAACGGAUAAGUCCGGUGGGUGAUUACGGCGGCGCUGUGGCGCGACGGUCGGCUUAGGAGCUUGAGCAUCGCCUAGAUGGAGCAGUGGUGCCAUUUCAGGGUCCAACUCAGCACGGGAGGGAGGGUUACGGCCUGCCCUCGACGGAACGACAGCACGGCCCGUCGGCGGCAGAGAACGUGCUCUGCGCGUGCCAGGCCACGGCGACGGUGAUGCAUCCGUGCGCUGGCAAGGAGAUGGCCACGCGGAGCUACCAGGAGGGUUGGGCGGCGCCGAACGGCGUUCUGCCGCGGUGUUGCCCCCUGUCGGCCGUUACGGUGGCUCUGCUGCCGCAAAGCACGCCGGCGCAGGCGGGCCAGGGCGCCGCCGACGCCAGGAAGGCGCCAAGCGCGCGUGUGAAGCUCCGGACAAGAGGGAAGGGCUGCGAGGAUCGAGCCAAAUGCACAGUGGGCAUGUCACUGAAGUUCUGUCGGGGAAACGACACUGAAACUCUGAAUUUACUGAAUAUGAACAAAAACAAUGCAUGCCAAGUGUUCGACAGAAUGAUUCUGGCAUGUAGGGAUUUUUCCUUGAGCUGAUUUUUGGUGGAGAGGUCUCUCAUUGCAACUAGAGUUUGCCUGAAUUUUGGUUGAAUUUUUGGAGAAGUGUAGAUAUGAAUUUCACCAAAUUUGGCAAAUCUGGUCCAAACUUGCAGAGAGUGAAAUUUGAAAUUUUUGAAAGGAAGAAGAGUGGAUCAAAAUGGUUCUAGGUUGUGGGUACUAAGGACUAUCUAGGGGAGUUGGUUUGGGAUGCAGGAUCAAAGGCAUUAGGGUACUUGCUUUGCAAAUCACCUAGGUUCACAAGAAAGGACAGAAUUGUUUUGGGAAAAGAAAUAAUUGGAAUAAAAUCCAAAAAUGGAUUUUAUCAGUUUGGACAGAAUGCUUGGGUUGUACCAAAGUGGAUGGAGAGGUUUUGGGGAAGUUUUUGCCAUAGGAGGUAUGGUAAACAAGAAGGGAUCAAAAUCAAAUAAAAGCCCAAAACCAAAAGGGUUUCUCUUUAGAAGAAAAUAAAUCCAAGAAAAGAUUUUUAGAGGGCAAACUCAGAAGAGGGUUUUUAAGAAGGGUUUAAAUGACCUUCUUCAAACCAAGCAAGGCUCUUUCUGAAAACAAAACCACAAAAAAAUUUGGAGUGUCACAGCACCUACCCCCUUAGGAAAAAUCUCGUCCCCGAGAUUUCAGCUGAUCCUUAAACAGGUGUGGGUGCUCUGUCCGAAGAAAAUCCUCGCUCUCCCAAGUUGCUUCAUUCUCGGUGUGAUUGCUCCACUGAACUUUGAAAAACUUGAUGGUUUUCUGUCGGGUCCUCCUCUCAGACUCUUCUAAUAUUUUUAUGGGGUGCUCCCGGUAGGUGAGGUCUGGUUGCACGUCAAUAUUCUCAUGUGAUACUUGCUUCUCUGGGUUGCUCACGUAUUUUCUCAACUGCGAGAUGUGGAACACGUUGUGGAUACCGGAUAAAUCUCCGGGUAGGUCUAGCUGGUAGGCUACCGUGCCUCUUUGGGCCACUAUGUGAAAUGGUCCGAUGAAUCUUGGUGCUAGCUUUCCCUUAAUCCUGAAUCGCUGCAGACCCUUCAUAGGAGAAACUCUUAGGUAAACCAAUUCUCCAGGUUCAAAACUGAUUUCCCGAUGCUUUCGAUCGUAAUAACUCUUCUGCCGACUUUGAGCUGUUUUGAGUCAAUUUCUAAUGGUUUUAACUUUCUCCUCAGCCUCCUUGAGCAUAUCUGGGCCGAAGAUAUGGCUGUCUACGGUCUCUGACCAAUUUAGCGGGGUACGGCAUCUUCUCCCAUAUAGAGCUUCAAAGGGUGCCAUUUGCAAGCUGGCUUGAUAGCUGUUGUUGUAUGCGAACUCUGCAUAUGGCAAACUUUCUUCCCAGCUGUUCCCGUAGGUGAGGACACAGGCUCUUAGCAUGUCUUCUAGGAUUUGGUUUACGUGUUCAGUCUGCCCAUCAGUUUGGGGAUGGUAUGCGGUACUGAAUGCUAGUUGGGUUCCCAGUGCCUGUUGCAGGUGAUCCCAAAAUCUAGAGAUGAACUGUGUGCCUCUAUCGGAGAUGAUAGUCUUUGGAACUCCAUGUAGGCAGACGAUACGGGCAAGAUAAAGUCUGGCCAGUCUCUGCGUGGUGUAAGUUGUCUUCACUGAAUAAAAUGUGCCACUUUGGUUAAUAUUUCGGUUAUGACCCAUAUGGCAUCGUUUCCGUGUCGUGACCGUGGCAGUCCAACGAUAAAGUCCAUUCCGAUCUCGUCCCACUUCCACUCGGGUAUCUUGUUUGGUUGUAAUAGCCCGGCUAGUUUCUGGUGCUCGGCCUUGAUACGUUGACAAGAGUCACAUGAUGCAAUGAACGUGGCUAUAUCUCUCUUCAUACCGUGCCACCAAAAAUUUCCCUGAAAGUCUUUGUACAUUCUUGUCCCUCUAGGAUGGAUUGAGUACGGAGCUGUGUGACUUUCAGUCAAUAUCUGCUGUUUGAGUUCCUUGAUAUUUGGUACGCAUAGUCUUUCUCCGUACCACAAUAUUCCUUGCUCAUCUAUGUUGAAUUCUGAGGCUUUGCCCAAACUCACUUUCCUUUUUAUGCCCUCAAUGCUGGGGUGUCCGUGCUGGGCUUCCUUGAUCUUUUCCAUCAGGGUAGGCUGUAUUUCUAGGUUCGACACACUGCCUUCGGUAACCAUUAUUAAAUUGAGUCUGGCAAAUUCCUGUUGAAAUUCUGGCCUCAACUUUGGUAUACCGUCGUCGUCCGGGCUGGGAUUCCGACUAAGUGCAUCUGCCACAACAUUUGCUUUUCCGGGAUGAUAGUGGAUUCCAACAUCAUAAUCCUUCACCAACUCUAACCAGCGUCGUUGCCGUAAAUUUAGUUCCGGCUGUGUGAAAAUAUACUUAAGACUCUUAUGGUCUGUGUAUAUCUCACAACGAUUUCCAAGUAGGAAGUGUCUCCAUUCCUUGAGUGCAUGGAUGACCGCUGCUAAUUCCAAGUCAUGAGUGGGAUAAUUCUCCUCAUGCUUGCAGAGCUGUCUGGAGACAUACGCAACUACCUUGCCUUCUUGCAUCAAUACGCAUCCGAGGCCUUUCCGGGAUGCGUCGCAAUAUACUUCAAAAUUCUUGUGUAUGUCUAGCACAAUUAAUACUGGUGCCGUUGUUAAUUUGCUUUUUAGCUCUUGGAAACUUUUCUCACAUGCUUCUGUCCAUUCGAACUUCUUGCCUUUCUUGAGCAGUUGUGUCAUUGGCUUUGCUAUGGUGGAGAAUCCUUCAAUAAAUCUCCGAUAAUAGCCUGCCAUUCCCAAGAAAGUCCGUACAUCCGUUACGUUAGCUGGUGGUUUCCAGCUAAGUACGGCCUUGACUUUUUUCGGGUCUACUGCAAUACCUUCUUGGGUUAGCACGUGGCCCAGAAAACCCACCUACCUUAGCCAAAAUUCACAUUUGCUGAAUUUGGCGUACAGUUGAUGUUUCCUGAGUUCUCCGAGUACAAUCCUGAGAUGCUCGGAGUGCUCUUCUGGUGUCUUGGAGUAUAUCAGAAUAUCAUCGAUGAAUACCACAACAAACUUGUCCAUAUACUUCAGAAAUACUUUGUUCAUGAGGUGAACAAAAUAUGCGGGGGCGUUGGUUAGCCCGAAUGGCAUCACUGUGAACUCAUACAACCCAUAUCUGGAGGUGAAGGCAGUCUUGGGAAUAUCUUUUGUUCGCACUUUUAAUUGGUGGUAUCCUGAUCUCAAGUCAAUUUUCGAGAAGACUUUGGCCUGUGCGAGCUGAUCAAAUAAAUCAUUUAUUCGGGGCAUUGGGUAUUUGUUCUUGAUUGUGACCAUGUUAAGAGCCCGAUAGUCAAUACACAACCUCAUUGUUCCAUCCUUCUUCUUGGCAAAUAAAAUUGGAGAACCCCAAGGUGAGGAGCUGGCUCGUAUGUAUCCUUUCUCCAAUAAUUCUUUUAUUUGCUUCUUUAACUCUACCAAUUCGGAUGGUGCCAUUCUGUAUGGUUUCUUGUAAAUGGGAGCGGUUCCGGGUGCUAGCUCAAUGCUGAAUUCUAUCUCUUGGUCCGGUGGUAUGCCUGGUAGUUCUUCUGGAAAUACGUCUGGAAAUUCACACACUACUGGAACAUUGUUUAGCUCAGAAACGUCCACUUUGUUUAAUCUUGGUUGCCGAGGUAUAUGUCUUUCUUUGGCUAAAACUUUUAUUUUCUUCCCCUAAUGGUGUGUGAGAAUCACGGUCCGAUUGAAGCAGUCAAUAAAACCUUUGUUGGUGGUUAACCAAUCCAUCCCUAGGAUGACAUCCAAUCAUUUGCUUUCCAAUACAAUAAGGUUGGCGUAAAACUUCAAUCCUUCAAAUUCAAUAACCACACCUUGACAGUAACUCUGGGUCACUUGCUUAAUCCCAGGGGACUUGAUGAUCAUUGAUUUCUCCAAGGGAAGCAUCGAAAAAUUAUUUUGCAAAGCAAAACUCUUCGAAAUGAAAGAGUGAGAAGCUCCAGAAUCAAACAAAAUCAUGGCAGGUAUUGUGUUGACGGGGUACAUACCGAGUACGAUAUCUGGGGCGUUCUGUGCUUCCUCUCGGGUCACGUGGUUCAGGUGACCUUUUCGGUGGUUGUUAUUGGGGUUGAAAUUGUUUCGCUUGGGCGCUGAAUUAUUGCCACCAUUAUUGGGCUUUGGGGUCGAGUUCCUUGGCUUGGGGCACUGCUUGGCAUAGUGCCCUUCUUCUCCACAAGUGUAACAAGUAACGCCUGGGCGAUAGGUGAACUCCUUGUCUCUUGAAUGGAAAUUCUUGAUUGGACGUGAAUUUUCGUCGGGGUUUUGUGUGUUCCACCCUUCUGAAAUUCCGUCUUGCUUCUGGGGUUGCGAGUAAAAGUAGUGUGGUCCCUUUUUCGUUUGCGGAUAUCUUCCAGGCUACGUCGCUCAUUUUCUAGAGUAAUGGCCUUAUCCACCAGUGUUUUAAAAUCUCGGAAGGUAUGUACAACCAGCUGGCAUUUAAGGGCGGGUGCCAGGCCUUCCAAGAAUUUUUUUCAUCUUCUUGCUCUCAGUCAUGCGCUCUUCAUUGGCGUAGCGAGACAACAGAGUAAAUUGGCUGUUGUAUUCUGACACUGUCAUGGUCCUUUGCUUGAGGUCAUCAAAUUCUCUCUUCUUGAUUUUCAUGACGCUCUUAGGAAUGUGUGCCCCACGAAAACCUUCUUUGCAAUCCUCCCAGGUUAUUUCAUUUUCGUUGGGGUGCAUGUGCAGGAAGUUUUCCCACCACGAUGCGGCUGCUCCCGUGAGGUAAUGUGGUGCAUACAAUACUUUUUCACGAUCUGAACACUGUGCAAUAAUUAUUUUUCUCUCCAUGUCUCGAAGCCAGUCGUCGGCCUCAAGAGGCUUGUCAGUAUGAGAAAAUGUUGGAGGACGCGUCUUCUGUAACUCAGAUAAUUUGGAUUACGGUUGAUACUGACCACGGUUGCUUCCCAUAUUGAUGAAUUGGUUCAUCAUUUCCUGGUGUUGUUGCUGACUUUGUUCAUACAGACGACACACUUGUGUAAAAGCUGUUUCACUGUCCUGUUGACUUGUCUGACCCUGAGUGAAAUUGUGGUUUUGCGGUGUGCCAUAAUUUUCUCCUGGCUGAUUUGGCAUGGAGCGCGUCCAAGGACGAUACAUCUUUCACUUUGGGGAUAUAUUUUGUGAAACUCGUAGGAUAAGGAAGAGAGUCGCAAAAGUCAAUAAAAUCACACACAAAGAACAUUUUAAAACUCCAGGAUAUUUUUGAAAACACACGAUUGCGCGCGGAGAAGGACUAUUACAUAUCUUACACGCAAGCAUAAUUAUACAUUACAUCACUCAGGAUAUGCGUACAUAAUUCUGACAUGUUAUUUAACUAGUGCACUUCUCCAGAUCCUACAUGAUGCGCAAACAGGCUACUUCUCACAACCUAUGUAGAUAUAACAUAUUACACAAGUCGGUACAUCGCAUGGCGUCUACGCGUACUCAGUCGGAGAUGGUGAGGAUCUCCCUUGGCCUGCCGAGGGUGAGACGCAGUGACGCUGGGGAAUCAACUUCCUCCUCGCUAAUAGGUUCCAGACGAGGAACGCUACGCUGAGCUGAUGGAGCAGGUGCCGUAGGCGGAGUACCCUGAAUAAGAGUGGGCGGAAUAGGUGGAGUAGCACGUAUGGGAGUGGGUGCAAAAAGUGGUGCAACGCGAACGGGAGUGGGUGCAAUAGCCUGGUUAAAUUCCUCAGUGGUAGGCAAACGACGAGCAGUGGCGAGAAUGGUAGGUGAAUGAGAAGUUGAGGACGAGAUAAAAGUCAGCGGUGGAGCGGUGUGUAGGAGUUCCCUCCUGUUAGCAGCACAGCCAUGAACCGAGUCCAUGUGGGCAGCUACGAGGUCGUCCACCAUGCUGUAGAAGGCUGCCUCCAGGGCUCGGAGGUACUCGACCAGCAUCUCAAAAGCCUCGUCUUGCUCUCCUCUGGGGCAAGGGAAUGAGUAGUGACAGGUGUAAGGCACAUGGCAUGGAAGGUAGCGGUAGCGACGGGUCUUCGUUUCAGGAAGGACAUCCCGAAGACGAGCUAUCGCCUUGCGGGCUGCCAUCUGCAUAGCAUGCCUCUCUGUAGGCAUGGCUCUCCCCAAGAAACGGAAGCGGCGCAUCUCAACACUCCCUCCCCUGAAUUGCACCGUGGCCUGGUGCAUGGUCAGACUGUCGUUGAUCUUGUGCGGAUAAAGUGUGAAGACUAGGCGCACGGAUGGCCCCAUCGCGACCUGAACGAUGAAGGAGAGGAGUUUGACGAACCCCUCAGGCACGUUGGCGAACAUUUGAGACUCGCAGUCGCUGCCAGCCAUCUACAAAAAUAGGCAAAAAUUCUGAGUGAUCAGAUCAUAAAUUUUAUGCUGACUGUCAGAAAAAUGACUACAUUUGUAAAAACAUGAAUAACUCUAUCCUGCUAAUAACUAAUUAGCGAUCACACCUAGUGGUUUCCUACAGUCAGCCUGGCUCUGGUUACCAAGUCUGUCACGACCGGUUUUUCAAUAAAAUAAUUAUUGAGAAAAUCGAUCUUUAAAUCCCAGUAUAGGAAAAGUCAUCCUCACUGGUAGACAAAUACUUGUUGAACAGAGGACCAGUAGCAUUAAAUAUAUUACAGGGUUGAGCUGAGGCUGCUCAACAAUUUAUUACAAACUCGCCAAUAUCUUACAUAAGGGCGGUUAUGUCACAUGGAUGUGGUGGCAUGCUACUAGCUCGAGGCAAAAAGUGGUGGAUAACUUGACUCCUAACUGGCAGCUGAUCGAGCGUCGAGGUGAGGCUCGAUGAAUUUAUUUCUGGGGUUGCGGAAGCAGAUAAUACAAUGACCAAACAGGAUCGCACGGGACUGACUGGGACUCCUCUAGGCGUCGUACUCGCUAUCAAACUCUUCAUCCAUGAGAUCGCCUUCAUCAACAUCUGGCCAAAUCAACAAGCCAGGUGAGUACUUUGAAAGUACUCGCAAGACAGUUCAGACAAAUUAUAUAAUCAAUGAAUGCAUGAAUGUGUCACGAAUAAAAAUGAUGCUCAUACAGCAAUAAUAAUAUUUAUGCAUGACUCGGUAAGUAAGCAAAUAAAUGAAACCGAUCGGAUGUCUGGAGCAACGCCUCGAAAGGUAAACAAAUAAAACUCAUGCCGCAGUCGGGCGUCUAAGCGACACCACAUAAAGGGCUUUAAAAGAAAUGCAACAGUCGGACGUCUGAGCGACAUCACAUAAAGGGCUUUAAAAGAAAUGCCACAGUCGGACGUCUGAGCGACAUCACAUAAAGGGCUUUAAAAAAAAUGCCACAGUCGGACGUCUGAGCGACAUCACAUACAGGGCUUUAAAAGAAAUGCCACAGUCGGACGUCUGAGCGACAUCACAUAAAGGGCUUUAAAAGAAAUGCCACAGUCGGACGUCUGAGCGACAUGACAUAAAGGGCUUUAAAUAAAGUAAAUACGAUUAUGCCACCAUCGGACGUCUGAGCGACAUCACAGACAGGGCUUACAAUAAAUGUAAAUACAAGUAUGCCACCGUCGGACGUCUGAGCGACAUCACAGACAGGACUUGUAACAAAAGUAAAUGACAAGAUUAGUCCAUCCACAAGAAUAAUCUUUUAACCGGAUUUAUCACACAUGUAUUCCACCGGAGUUUUGUCACUGAGUCUGAUACCUGAAAAGAUAAGAUGAAUAUAGUACUUGAACAAAGUGCAAGAUAAUUGAAAGAUUUGAGACUCUGCAGAGUUGAUAUUGACUGACCACAGCCAACGGAUUUCCGUAGUCACGAAUGGACUAGUUCCGUUUAUGGUAUUUCAGUAGAAACACAUUUAACUAGUACACACCCAUUUCACCUCACAAUGCCAGGAAUCACCCUAGACAACGUCCAAGAAAAACUUUGAGACGGGGAGGUCACAAUCUCGAAUAGCAUGGGAUCAAAUUUCUAUACGCGUGCUCUAUGGGGUGCCCCCCUCUCGGUCCCAACCGGAAACACCCAUGCCCCCUGACCGGAUGACGGGCUUUAAUCCAGGGCCAUGGAACCCUCAUCCCGGCCUCUCUAUUUGGUGUGUACCAGGAAAACGAUUUGCAACUUACUAAGCCAUAUUCCUUUCGGAAAACAUGUGACAGUACAUGAAGGAGUGAAUGGAAAUGUGAUUUGUUUCAUGAUGACACGGAAGUCAAAUAAUCUGGCAUAAAACUGGCAUGUCAUAACACUGCCAUCUUACCCAUCCUCAUGCCAUUACAUGGCCAUGCAAAUAUGUAUCCAACAACAUAAUGCUUUUCCGAAACUUACUUUCCACUUAUAUGCAUGAAAUAUAACAUUCAAGAAAUGUUCAUAAACAUGCCAUGCCUAUACAAAAAUGCAAACAUGCAACAACCACUCAUCAUAUCAAGAGUUCAAACAUGCUUGCCUGGUUCGGAGUAGUCGGAGUUUAACUGUGAGAAGUUUGCGGCUCCGUCACCUCCUCCGGUAUCUACGGUAUAAGAAAAAUACGUACGUAACGUAAAUACCGUGAGUGCACAGAAAAGUGUUCCAAAUAUUUUUCAAAUAAAUGUGACAAAAAACUAGACAGAAAAAUAAAGGUGACAGAAAAGGAAUCAAACAAAAAUCAUUUUUUGUUUAAAAGUUAUAAGAGUUUAGGUCCAAGGACCCAUGUGUAAUGAAACAGAAAGUUUCCAGGGGGCUCUACGGAAAAGUACAGAAAAACGUUUCGUUUAAAAGAAACGACUGAGAGGCUGACAGGCGGGCUCCACCUGUCAGGUUUGAAAUUUCAAACGAGGAAAAGAGAGCGCGACGGUGCCCGAGAGGUGCGGUGGUCGCCGGCGGCAAUCCACGGUGAGGCAAGGUGAUCGGGGGUUACCUUCAUGAUCGGUGCACCUUUCCGCGUCUGUGGGUGGUGGUGGUGGUCACCGGCGAGCACUGUGUCGACGAUGGCCCUUGCUCCGGCGGACGGCGGUUCGGGCAGUCGUGGAUCUCGCUUGAGGGAGCUGCGGUGUUCAAAUUGAAGUGGGGGUUAGCCUACUGGAGGUGGUACGGGGCUACGGGCAAGAGCAGGGCGGCGGAGGAGUUCUCACCAAAGAGAAUGUUGCCGGAGCCCGAGGCGGACGGAGGUGGCCGGAGUCGAAGAAUAAAGGCCCCUCGAGGCUCUCCCAGUGGCUAGGCGGGGUCUAGUGAGGUGGUGGAGUUGUGCGGGGGCGAGAGCAAGCUCGAGGGGUGCUAUUUAUAGUCGGGCCAAGGCGGUUGCCGUGAACGGAUAAGUCCGGCGGGUGAUUACGGCGGCGCUGUGGCGGGACGGUCGGCUUAGGAGCUUGAGCAUCGCCUAGGUGGAGCAGUGGUGCCAUUUCAGGGUCCAACUCAGCACGGGAGGGAGGGUUACGGCCUGCCCUCGAUGGAACGGCAACACGGCCCGUUGGCGGCAGAGAACGCGCUCUGCGCGUGCCAGGCCACGGCGACGGUGCUGCAUGCGUGCGCUGGCAAGGAGAUGGCCACGCGGAGCUACCAGGAGGGUUGGGUGGUGCCGAACGGCGUUCUGCCGCGGUGUUGCCCCCUGUCGGCCGUUACGGUGGCUCUGGCGCCGCAAAGCACGCCGGCGCAGGCGGGCCAGGGCGCCACCGACGCCAGGAAGGCGCCAAGCGCACGUGUGAAGCUCCGGACAAGAGGGAGGGGCUGCGAGCAUCGAGCCAAAUGCAUAGUGGGCAUGUGACUGAAGUUCUGUCGGGGAAACGACACUGAAACUCUGAAUUUACUGAAUAUGAACAAAAACAGUGCAUGCCAAGUGUUCGACAGAAUGAUUCUGGCAUGUAGGGAUUUUUCCUUGAGCUGAUUUUUGGUGGAGAGGUCUCUCAUUGCAACUUGAGUUUGCCUGAAUUUUGGUGGAAUUUUUGGAGAAGUGUAGAUAUGAAUUUCACCAAAUUUGGCAAAUCUGGUCCAAACUUGCAGAGAGUGAAAUUUGAAAUUUUUGGAAGGAAGAAGAGUGGAUCAAGAUGGUUCUAGGUUGUGGGUACUAAGGACUAUCCAGGGGAGUUGGUUUGGGAUCAAGGAUCAAAGGCAUUAGGGUACUUGCUUUGCAAAUCACCUAGGUUCACAAGAAAGGACAGAAUUGUUUUGGGAAAAGAAAUAAUUGGAAUAAAAUCCAAAAAUGGAUUUUAUUAGUUUGGACAGAAUGCUUGGGUUGUACCAAAGUGGAAGGAGAGGUUUUGGGGAAGUUUUUACCAUAGGAGGUAUGGUAAACAAGAAUGGAUCAAAAUCAAACAAAAGCCCAAAACCAAAAGGGUUUCUCUUUAGAAGAAAAUAAAUCCAAGAAAAGAUUUUCAGAGGGCAAACUCAGAAGAGGGUUUUUAAGAAGGGUUUAAAUUACCUUCUUCAAACCAAGCAAGGAUCUUUAUGAAAACAAAACCACAAAAAAAAUUGGAGUGUCACAGGACGCGCACGGUUCGGGACCUAAGGCCGGAGACGAGUCCGAGGGUCCGGUGGCACAGAUCUCUUUGGAAGUGGAGUCUGUGUUCUGCUCCAUCGCUGAUAAGUGUGCGGCCUCCAUGGCAGAGUCCAUCCACCCGUCCUUGGAUGGCGCGAUCUGCUCCAGAUUAAGGGCCAGGGCAGCCACAGGUGCGAUAUCCCGAACACCAUCUGAUGGCAGAUCUGAGUCAUGCACGUCGUGACUGUUCGGCGCUCCUGACGUAGGCUCGAACCCAUCGAAGAUCAAGUCUCCACGGAUGUCGGCGGUGUAGUUCAAGUUUCCAAACCUGACCUGAUGGCCAGGGGCGUAGCUAUCGACCUGCUCCAAAUGGCCAGCGAGUUGGCCCACAGUACGAAGCCGCUGAAUACAAAGAUCUGUCCGGGAAGGAAAACCUCACUCUGGACCGCAUCGUUACUGAUGAUAGAAGGAGCCAUCACUAGUGCAGAACCAGGCUUUAGCGUCGGUUCGUAACGGCCUUUAGUGCUGGUUCGGCAACCGACACUAAAGAGUGGGGACUAAAGGUCCCCCCUUUAGUACCGGUUCAUCACGAACCGGCGCUAAAGUGCCACCACGUGGCACGAGCCAGGCCCGGGUGCGUGUAGGACAUUAGUUACCGGUUGGUAACACCAACCGACACUAAAUCUUUGGGCGUGUUUUGGUUUUAUUUUUUAUUUUUCCUUUAAUUUUGUGUUUUCAAUUUAAUUGAGUGAUUGUUAUACAUUAUAAUGAGUUUUUAAAUCAUUAGGUGAAAGUACCACAGAUUAGUUUUGACUGGAUGCAUGUGGAUCCUAGCUAAGUGAUCAAGUAUAUGUCAUAUCCAUAUUAUACUUGAUCACCUAAUUAGGUGAUCAAGUAUAAUAUGGAUAUGGCAUAUACUUGAUCACUUAGCUAGGAUCCAUCCAGCUGAAACUAAUCUGCGGUUUCUUUCAUAAAUGAUAUAAUAACUCAUCAUCAUCAUCAUCAUAUUAAUAUAAAAACUCUUGCAUCAUAUCAUCAACAACAGUAUAUACUAGCUAGCUAAAAAUCAUCAUAGUCGUCAUUACCACUAUUUAAUCAUCAUAGUCAUUACCGCUAUCUAAUCACCACCAACACUAGCUUAAAGAAGAAACAUUCACUUGUACCAGAAGCAAAGAUAUCAUCGAGUUCAACAUGGUCAUGAUAUUAUAAGCGUUCAUAACACCACAAAAGCAAAUCACUCUUUGAGAUUAAGUUCAGGACGAAGAACAUGGACAUGAGAGGACAAGUACUAAGAGCACGAACUAAUCACUCCUGAUGCUCUCUCUUAGGUAAAAUAGCAUAGAACAUGUAUAGCUCUCCUGAUUCAUCAUACUGGAGCAUGCAGAUGAACCUGUCUCCUAAUCGUGGGUUGCGCUUCUCAUUGCUGCCCCCUAGUACUUCUCUGUGAUUGUUAACAAUUUUGCUCCAAUCUUUCACUAUUAAGCAUUCAUCGCUUUCAGAAAUCCUAAAUGCAUUCAUGCGCAAUGUAGGAUAUCUUGGCCGUAAGCUAACAAUUGACAUGAGACCUUCAGUCUCGAUCCACUGAGGCACAACUAUCAUCGGGAGUCCCUGUUGAAGAACAUCGUAUAGUAAUUAAUAUACUUAGCAAUGAAAGUUUAGCAAAAAAAAUUAUGUAUGCAAAGAUGCACUGAGGACAAAUAGUAAAAAUCUUACCAUCAUUCCUAAAUAGAUGUGACCAUAGUUCAAUACGAUCACUAUUGAUCACACGUUUUGAGUACUAACAUUUUUAAGUGCAGGAACAAAAUUUGUCUUGACAGUAUGAAGAUCUUCAAGCCAUGAAACAUAAUGACUUAUCUCCUCACAGUUCAGUUCAGCUCCGAGAUAGUAGUAGGUCCUGUCUACCAAGCGCCGGACAUGUUUGCUUGAAUGGAAAUAAGCUGUCAAUAGAAAUUAGUUGUCAACUAUUUUUGAAUAAAAAAUAUCAAAGACAUAAAUAUGGUUGAGAAACUCACAUAAUGGUAGAACUGGAGGCGUCUGCACAUGGACCCAGAUGUCUCUAUUACCUUCAAUAUCAUCUUCCAGACGAAUAUCAAAGGUGAUAAUCAUAUCAGGCGCAAAUGCAUAAGCCUUGCAUAGUGCUUGCCAAGUUUUGCAUUCAAAAUAGGUGUACGUGUCUGCAUUGUAUACUUUGACGUUGAAAGUAUAACCAGGCUCAGUUUUCAGGUAAACUCUAUUUACCACCAUAGUUUCCAUUUCACUGAAACCUAUCUUAUCCAAGACAAAAAUUCUUGCAUGGUAGGGGAUGCGCUAAUAAAAUAGUGAAAAUUAAAAAUUAUAAGUUGAAGCAAAUGAAGCAUAUAUAAGUCAUGCUUAAUUACGAAAAAAGACUUGUCGUUGUGACUCUAUAUCGAAUUCGAAGGUCUCAUCCACGUUGAUGCUGAAUCGCCUAUCAUCAACAAGGAAAUUUCUGUCGCACAGGUCGCGCUGGUCUUCACAGUAUUCGCACAUAAUGAAAUCUAUUUCUUCGUCAGACGAAAUUUCCUAUGUUCAUAUAGGUGAAACAUUAAAUACUUACUAAUUCUAUUAAUUCAACUAAUUCAACUACUUCUAUUAAUUCAACUAGUUCUGUUAAUUCAACUCAUUCAACUAAGCAUUUACUAAUAAUAAACUUGUUCUAUUAAUUUUCUUACUAAAAUAAACUAGUUCUAUUAAUUCAACUAAUUCAACUAGGAAUUUACUAAAAACAAACUACUUCUAUUAAUUUACUUACUAAAAUAUAUAAAGUAGCUACACUACAAGAAAAUUGAGAUACUAUGACGCAAAUCCUUGUGACGGUGGUUGACAUCGUCACAAAACUAUCUAAUGUGUGAUGUUCUGGAGGUCGCGUCACCAAUUACUAUAUGUUAGUGACGGUUAAUGUCACUGAGUCAUGUGAGCCGCUGAGUGCCACUUGGCUGUCAUUUUUAUGAUGUUUUGGUAAUUUCCGUGAUGAACCCACUAUAGUCACCGAUUAUUACAAAUGUGUAAUGCUUAUUUCUUUAUCAUGUAACUACAAGCAAUGGGACCCGUCGUAGCUGCUUCGGGUUAUUAAGCAGUUGGACCCACACGCCCAUGUAUUUAUAUGGGUCUCGUGUGUGAAUGGCUCAAUGCUGGUAGUUGGACCCGCCAUAGUUUGUUCAUAAGUUAUUGAGUGAUGCAAUUAUUUAUUGAGUCUAAUAUACCAAUCUAAUAUAACUAAAUAGUGGUAAGAGAAAAGCUUAUUGGUGGUGUUCGUGAGUCAAUGAAUAUGGGGGUGCAAUUGUACACAUGUUGUUUUGCGGGGAGUACACAUAUGGUGUCUAGUACAUGAUUUUUAUUUUUUUAAUCGGAUUAUACACACAUGGUACGUGGCACAUGCUUUUUACUUUUUUUAUAGAUUAUACACUUACAUGGUACAUGCCAUUUUAAUUUUUUGAUCAGAUUAUACAUGUACAUUGUACGUGUCAAAAUGACUUUUUUGUGUUAAAAAACACCCAUUGUAUUUUUACGUAAGCAUGUCAAGGCCACUAGUUUGUAUUUUUUUGAGGGAGAAUCGAUUUGCCCUCUGGUGUGCAGAGAAUGAAAUUUUAAGUUUUUUAGCGAAGCCCAUUGGCUGACCCUAAUCCUCGUUUUACAUCUGGCGCCAUCCUCUUCCUUUCUUAAUCCCGAUCCAAUCUACCAAUCCCCUCCACCGCUCAUGUCCCAUGCUCCCACCCCCGUCCACCUCCGUCGCCCCCACCAUCUACGCAACAACCAUCACCAUCGAGACCUCGAAGGAUGCCACCGCAGAGCCGCCGCCGCUGCAGGCAGUCGGGCACGGCAGGAGGAGCCCUCCGUGCGCCUGCUCGUCCUGACGCUGUCUGGCCACUCGCCAUGGCGUUAUCUCCAUUGCCGCGUUUCCUCCCCGAUGCUGCACCCCCGAACACGGCUGGCCAAUCCAGCUCGUUGACGCCCAUGUCACCACCUUCGCAGUCCUCCCCCAGCAUCCACCACGGGGGGAGCAAAGGUGCAGCCCUGCCAUGACGGACACCUCCUUCCCGCACUCCUGCGCCUCCCGGCAUCUGCUCGUCGUUGUCAGCCACCACGGUCAGCAAGGCCAACCUCCACGGCAACUGGAUCGGCCACCACUGCCGCGAGGACCAUCCUCCAUGGCCACCCCACUGCCCGCCUCAACGUCGGAUCCGCUGUCCAGAGCCUACACGCGCGCAUGGUCGGCACAUGUAGGGGUCGCCGGCCACCUCUACAACGACGAGCACCGUGACUUUUAUCUAUCUAUUUCUGUUUUUGUAGAAUAUCCAGUAAAUUUUUGAAGUUUUGAUCUACUGAUGAACUAGGUGAUGUGAAACUGAUGAACUAAUUUACUUACUAUAAGUUAAUGGUUAGAAUUUGUGUUAUAUACAUUUGGGGCACUUUGAGAAAUAUUACAACAGUUUGUUUGUGCAGCACAUCAGUUUUACUAUCAUCGUUUUGAGAAAUAUACAAUUCUAGUGCAACCUGUAUUUGCAUUCGAAGUUAGCUACUUUAUCACAUUCAUGUGUGCAUUCACAUGUAUUCGCAUUCUAAGUUAGCUAAUUUCUGGAGAGGCCUGUUUUUGCUAGUUGUUCAUCUAAGCUGCCUGAUGCCUGAACUGCGGUUUCUAAUCGGCAACAAGUAGCUGUACAGUAUUUGCAUCAUGUUUGAGAGUAAAGUUGACAAAUCCAUGUAUGCAGAGUUGUGCUAAUUGAUUUGUCAUGCAGUGGGUAGUUCUCUAUUCCCUACUAAUGCAAUGUGCUUGGUGUUAAUGAGGUAAAACAGAAACUCGAGGCGCCUUGGUGCCAUGUUGUUGCUGAACUUACGAACCUCCACACACAAUAGGGCGCAGGUUUCCUAGCUAGCCACGGGAAGGUAUACUUCACAGAUCUGAUUAUUUUAUAUGGCCAUUAGUUGUUAAUUGAACAUGUAUCUAAGUUAUACUUUGCUGUUGAAGGAGCAUGGCUGCGGAUGGUGUCCGGCAUGGACAAAUUAACUCAGUCUGCUUCUCUGCAUUUUUUUCCUUUUUGUAGUCGGUUGUGUUCUCAAUAGAAAAGGCAUGUGACUUUCUUAAUAAUUUUGAAUCUUAGUCACGUUUUGUUGACAAAGUAAGGAAGUACUGAAUUUAUAUUCUAACUAGCCAAGAGAUAUAUAUGAUUUUACACAAAGUUGGUUAUGUAUUUCUCUGUCCUAAGUUGGAUUCAUUAAAUGAUUAGCUGAUUGUAGCCUUGUCCGAAACUGAGGUUAUAUCACUUAAGUGUGUUCGCUUUGAAUCGGUACGUUUGAUAUUGUUGUGCAUAUCGCUUGCAGUUUCUCUUCCGCAAUAGUUUGUAUGUUGUAUUUUAUCAGGCUGCCAUUAUCAUCAAAUUAACUUUGAACUACAAAUUUAAUCUUCAUAGGGACCAAUAUCUUCUUUUACUAAUAUGUUAAUAUUCGUGUUGCAAAUUCUAACCUCUGCUUGAUGAUGAUGCAAGUCAUAUUUUAAGAAGUAGGGAUGGACAAAGGACUCAAACAACUGUUGAUGCCUUCAAGAAGUCACGACAAGAGGAAACUAGCUUAUGCUUCUUGUUCUGAUGAUGACGAGGGCUAUUCAGUUAUGUUCAAGAGGAAAAAAUACUCAUUUAUUAAUCUAGUCCAUGUUAUCUAUCGAUGGUACAUGUGGCAUCAGGCUGCUAUGUAGCUCGUGUUAUUUGUUCUCAUGUGUUAUGUGAACUAUGAGCAUGGGGUAUGCCUCAAGAUCUGGCAGGUCUGGGAGCUCCACUUCAUCAACAAAGAUCCGAGUUCUAGAAGAAAGAAUUGAACAGAAAGAUAGAGGCAAGAGAUGCAAAUGAUAGGUAAUUGUCUUGUUUCUUUUUGUGUUAUUAUUGUUUCUUUUUGCUUGCAUUUGUGUGCACAGUGCACUAUUUAUAGUGAAAAUGAAAACACAAAUGUGUGUGAAUAAGACAUUCAUCUUUAGUUCCUGUAGAGAAAGUUGCAUUAAGGAGUGGUUUGCUAUUUAUGUAUGGUAUGAUCCUUAUCCAAUCAGCCAAAGUGGCAUAAAAAACAAAUGCUUGUAAUGAGAAAUACAUGGUUUGUUGCACGGUUUUAAUGCAUGGUUUUUAAUCCAGAAAUCAAAUAUGAUUUGUUCAUUUGUCUAUGUGUUGUUCUAGCAUAGUUGCUUCUUUUAACCUGGGUUGUUGACUUGGCAUCCUAUUAGUGAUGCUUCCUGUAAUCAAGCUCUUGGUUAUGCAUGUUUUUAAACAUUAUAAGUCAUUCUUGGGUUUACUGUUUCAUUGGCCCGUCAACAUGCUUGCCUUGACAUUUAAUAAUGUACUUUUCUAUUUCAAAUUCAUCAUUUGAUAGAUUGUAGGCUUCUAUCUUGCCUAGUCAUACUCUUGUACCCUUUUAUCUUGUCUAUUUUAAUCUCAAUACGAUGCAACGUAGUUGUGUUUUGUCUAUUUAUAGGCAUCGGAGGAGUUAGCCGCAAGACCUGAAGCACGAGAGAAAGAAUUUAAAGAGAUAUAGAAGAAGCAACAAGAAAAAUUGGAUGCUCUAAAGAAGAGCCAACAAGAGAAGAAUGAAGCCUGGGCAAAGAAGCAACAAGAGAUGAUAAUCUUAUUAGUUUCCUCUUGACGGCUCAAGCAACUCAGUAGUUCCAGUCCAAACCUAUUGGUGCAUGAAUGCCAUCCUUCCGUGAUGGAAAGAUAGUUGCUGAAUCAUACGUUGCAAUCAUUGGGACAACACAUGUUGUCUUUAGUUAAUUAUUAGUUUUCAUCUUUUUCUACCGUAUGGGUCAAACUUGAGUCAGUGUUAUUUUUUACCAUCAUUUUUGUUUAAAGAAUAAUUUAGCUGAGAUGAUUUCAUAUAUAAUAUAAUUUUUAUUUCAUAUCAACAUAUGAUGUGAUUCGGCUCUUUGAUUGUUUAUAUAAUCUUAUCUGAAUUAAAUAAUUAUUAUGAGAUGCAUUUGGAAUAUAGUGGAUUUGAUAAUUCAUCAUAAUUUAAAUUCGAAAGAAAGUAAUUUAUUUUCAUGACUUCAUCUUCAUUCAUAAUAAAAGUAGCGACGCUACUAGUGGGAUAGCUGCUCAUUCAGUGACGUUGCUUCGUCACUGGACAUGGUACAAUAUGGCAUAUUUUUUCAUAACAUGUGACAUUCAUCGAACGUCAUGGAAGUAGUGGAUGACGUUCUAUGUAACGUCACUGAAGGUCCCAAUUUCAAUGACGUUUUUGCGCCUGCGCCGUCACUAGGAGUGAUCUGUGACGGGGAUUCCGUGAUGAUGCUCGUGACGCCCAUAAAAUGACUGGGGAGUAAUUUGUGACGUUAUAAGCUAUUUGAUGGCAUUUUUUGGCUCGUCAUAGUAGGCCCGAUCUCUUGUAGAUCAUCAAAUCUCAUAUACCUAAAUUUUCUUACUAAAAAUAAACUAGUUCUAUUAAUUCAACUCGUUCAAAUAAUCUCAUAUACCUAAGUUUUCUUACUAAAAAUAAACUAGUUCUAUUAAUUUUCUUACUAAAAAUAAACUAGUUAUAUUAAUUCAACUAGUUCAAAUCUCAUAUAUAUAUACCUAAUUAAUAUCUAGCUAAUUCAUCUAGCUAACAAUUGACAUUAAUAUUUAACAACUUUUCUAUCUAAUUCAUCUAACAUUAACAUUCUAACAUUCUUAUCUACAUAAUUCAUCUAACAUUAAUCUAAACAAUAGAAAACAGAAAAUAAGUAAAAAAAAUAUGUGUGUGUCUAUGUGUAGUAAUGUGUGUGUAGUGUGUGUGUGUGUGUAUGUGUGUGGGUGUGUGUAGUGUGUGUGUGUGUGUAUGUGUGUGUAUGUGUGUGUGUGUACAAGCGGGGGGCGGCGGCGUACGGGUGGCGGUGCGAGAGAGCGACGCGACGGGGACGGCGCGACGACGGGCGGCGGGCCGGGGGCAAUCGAUGGCGCGAUUGAGACGGCGACGUAGUACGGGGCGGCGGCGUGAGACGACGACGACGAGGACGGCGACGACAGGCGGCGGGGGGGACGGUGCGCGGCGGGGGCGGCGAGGGCGGCGGGGGUGACGGCGCGCGGCGGGGGCGGCAGCGGCGAUGUCGCGUGAAGUUGGAGAAGAAGUGGUGGUCGAUGAAACUAAAUUUUUUGUAAGUGUCGCAUAUAUAGGAGGGGCCUUUAGUACCGGUUGGAGCCACCAAGCGGUACUAAUGGCCAAUUUGGCCAGGCCAAGCGCAGGAAACGGCCGCCUUUAGUACCGGUUCAUUACCCCAACCGGUACCAAAGGCCGACCCAUUAGUACCGGUUGGAGCCACCAACCGGUACUAAUGGUUGUGCGCUGCCACCCGUGGUGCACUAUGCUUAGUCCCACCUCGCCGAGCGAAGGGCAGCCGCACUGGUUUAUCAACCCAGUCGUGGCUGCUCCUUCAAACUCCUCUAUAUAGCAGGCUUUUGUGCCUAACUAGGGCGCGCUGCCCUGUGAGCCUGUCGGCCCUUCUGGGCCUAAAUUUGCACACCCUAGGUCUGACAGGCCCACUGGACAGCGCCCCAACAAUUUUUUAUGUAGUUUUUUUUAUUUUCUGCAUUAUUUCUUUUCUUCUAUUUAUUUUUGAGUAAUUUUUUUAUAUAGUUUUUUCUUUUCUGCUUUAUUUUUCUUCUUCUAUUUAUUUUGAGCAAAUGAUGUCAGAACGUGUUGGAAAUUGAUGACGUCACUUCGAAUGCGGCAUAAUGCCGGCUCAAAAAAAGUCUGGAGUUCAAAUAAGUUUAAAAAAAUGAAGUGCUCAUGUAACAGAUAAGUUCUCGUCCGAAACCCUGAUACUCCGAAAGAGAUUGUCCAGUUUGUACACGAAGUGCGUCCAGUUUUUGCCGUGACACUCUCUACUCUUUCGCACAUGCUAUGCGGGUGAAAUGAUGAUACCAUGCCAAGUUUCAACAUUUUCAGAGUUCAUUUUGUUGUGAUUUAAUGUUUCACGGUCAUUUAGCUCUCUAAACAAACUGGAAAAUGACUGGAAAACAGCAAAUGAUGUCAGAACAUGUUGGAAAUUGAUGGCGUCGCUUUGAAUGCUGCAUAUUGAACGCAAAAAAAGUCUGGAGUUCAAAUGAUAUCAGAACGUGUUGGAAAUUGAUGACGUCGCUUAGAAUGCUGCAUAAUGCCGGUUCAAAAAAAGUCUGGAGUUCAAAUAAGUUUAAAAAAAUGAAGUGCCCGUGUAAGAGAUGAGUUCUCGUCCGAAACUCUGAUACUCCAAAAGAGAUUGUCCAGUUUGUACACGAAGUGCGUCCAGUUUUUGCCGUGACACUCUCUACUCUUUCGCACAUGCUAUGCGGGUGAAAUGAUGAUACCAUUCCAAGUUUAAACAUUUUCAGAGUUCAUUUUGUUGUGAUUUACUGUUUCACGGUCAUUUAGCUCUCUAAACAAGUUGGUAAAUGACUGAAAAACAGCAAAUGAUGUCAGAACAUGUUGGAAAUUGAUGACGUCACUUUGAAUGCUGCAUACUAAACGCAAAAAAGUCUGGAGUUCAAAUAAGUUUAAAAAAUGAAGUGCCCAUGUAACAGAUGAGUUCUCAUCCGGAACGCUGAUACUCCAAAAGAGAUUGUCCAGUUUGUACACGAAGUGCGUCUAGUUUUUGCCGUGACCCUCUCUACUCUUUUGCACAUGCUAUGCGGGUGAAAUGAUGAUACCUUCAACAUUUUCAGAGUUCGUUUUGUAGUGAUUUUCAAUUCCACGGUCAUUUAGCUCUGAUCUAAACAAAUUGGUGACUGAAAAAUAGCAAAUGAUGUCAGAACAUGUUGGAAAUUGAUGACGUCGCUUCAAAUGCUGCAUAAUGUCGGCUCAAAAAAAGUCUGGAGUUCAAAUAAGUUUAAAAAAUGAAGUGCCCGUGUAACAACUGAGUUCUCGUCCGAAACCCUGAUACUCCGAAAGAGAUUGUCCAGUUUGUACAUGAAGUGCGUCCAAUUUUUGUCGUGACCCUCUCUACUCUUUCGCACAUGCUAUGCGGGUGAAAUGAUGAUACCUUCAACAUUUUCAGAGUUCGUUUUGUAGUAAUUUUCAAUUUCAUGGUCAUUUAGCUCUGAUCUAAACAAAUUGGUGACUGAAAAACAGCAAAUGAUGUCAGAACAUGUUGCAAAUUGAUGACAUCACUUCGAAUGUUGCAUAAUGCCGGCUCAAAAAAAGUCUGGAGUUCAAAUAAGUUUAGAAAAAUGAAGUGCCCGUGUAACAGAUGAGUUCUCGUCCGAAACCCUGAUACUCCGAAAGAGAUUGUCCAGUUUGUAAACGAAGUGCGUCCAGUUUUGAAGUGAGUGGCGGCCGGCGGGGGAGGACCGGCACGGGGGAUUGAGGGGGAGACCGAGUGAGUGGAGAGAGUGAGGGCGUAAACAUGUAAAAAUAUACAUAAAAAUACAUUGAUUAUCAAUGAUCUUUUUGUGUACAAUCUGAAUUGUCAAUAUGAGUCAUCAACAGUUUAGAAACCGGUGAAGACACAUAUUGAGUCCACAGAUUAUACACAUAGAGUUCAAUGAAGACCAAAUGCUUGUGAUAGUUUGAGAAGUAACAUACUUAAGGCGGUAAAAAUCUUGCUAGGGGAGCGAGGUGGGACUAAAAAUAGCCUGCCACAACCUCUUUACUACCGGUUCGUCCCACGAACCGGUACUAAAGGUGUUGGCCGGGCCCCAGCAUCUUUAGUACCGGUUCGUGCCAUGAACCAGUACUAAAGAUCUCCUCCCGCCUAGCCAUUUGAACCGGCACUAAUGGACACAUUAGUGCCGGCUCAAAUGCAAACUGGGACUAAUGUGUCUCACAUUUGACCCUUUUUCUACUAGUGCAUCAAGCCUUAUCGCGACGACACAGUGGAACUCUCAAUGAAAGCACCAAUAUCGGUGUCAAAACCGGCGGAUCUCGGGUAGGGGGUUCCGAACUGUGCGUCUAAGGCUAAUGGUAACAGGAGGCGGGGGACACGAUGUUUACCCAGGUUCGGGCCCUCUCGAUGGAGGUAAUACCCUACUUCCUGCUUGAUUGAUCUUGAUGAUAUGAGUAUUACAAGAGUUGAUCUACCACGAGAUCGAAGAGGCUAAACCCUAGAAGCUAGCCUAUGAUUAUGAUUGUUGUCCUCCUACGGACUAAACCCUCCGGUUUAUAUACACACCGGAGGGGGCUAGGGUUACACAGAGUCAGUUACAGAGAAGGAGAUCUACAUAUCCAAAUUGCCAAGCUUGCCUUCCACGCCAAGGAGAGUCCCAUCCGGACACGGGACAAAGUCUUCAAUCUUGUAUCUUCAUAGUCCAAUAGUCCGGCCAAAGUAUAUAGUUCGGCUGUCCGAGGACCCCCUAAUCUAGGACUCCGUCACCAGGAACAAAAGAUCUAGGGGUGCAGGCACCUGAGGAGGGAAUCAGAUCACCCUGGAAUCCCGUGACGCUGGCAGGCCUAGUAGGGGAAUCCAUCGGUGAUCCCGAGGAGGAACCAGGCGCCGCUGGCGCGCUUGUCACAGAACAGGGCCGGCCCACCGGAUGGCGAGCGGGCACGUGGGCGGCAACCUGCGGCGGGUCGGGGUUGAAGGGAACCAGGCCAGUGGCAGGCCCCGUCGCUGAGGAGGACGGGGCGGGCGAAGGGGCGAUCGGGCCAUCCAAGGCCGCCAUGUGGGCUAACGGGCGGGGCGCAACCCCGCGCUCACCUGGCGCAUCGUUGUCGGCAGGUGACGCGUGAUCCGAGGCCGGAUCCGCUCCUGAUCCUGUGUCAGGAUCCUCCUGGGUGGUAGGUGAAGUAGAUCCUGUCGCACCUGGGUUUGUCUGCACCGGGGUAGAUCCUACAUCCAGGUUAGUAGAUGAAGCAGAUACGCCAUAAUUCAUGUGGUCAUGCAGAAAUAACGGGAUGGUGUGUUCUACAACGCGAGGUGGUAUGGGGGAGGCAGAAGGGCUGGCAAAAGGAAAAAAAUUCUCAUCGAACGUGACAUCACGAGAGAUAUAAACACAAGCUGUGGGCAGAUGAAGGCAUUUAUACCCUUUGUGGCGAAUGCUAUAACCAACGAACACACAUUGUUGAGGUCUAAAGGCAAGUUUGUGUGUGUUGUAGGGGUGCGUGUUGGGCCAACAAGCACAACCAAAUGGACGAAGUGACAUGUAGUCUGGUUUGGUGUUGAACUAUUUCUCCAUACGACUAAGGUUGCCAAUGACACGACUAGGAAGUCGAUUGAUAAGAUAACAUGCUGAAAGAUAGGCCUCAUCCCAAAAAUGUAGCGGCAUAGAUGCAUGUGAUAGUAAAGAGAGCCCCAUGUCAACAAUAUGAUGGUGCUUCCUUUGAGUUGAAACAUUUUGCUGGUGUGUGUGUGGGCAAGAUACAUGAUGCAUAAUGCCUAGUUGACGAAAAAACGUGUUGCUAAGCUUCUCGUAUUCCUCACCCCAAUCAGAUUGAACACAUAAAAUCUUGUGAGACAGGAGGCGUUCAACAUGAGCAAGGGAGUCACGAAAAACAUCAAACACAUCACAUUUUCUUUUGAGAAGAUAGAUCCGCACAAACUUAGUAUAAUCAUCAAUAAAUGAGACAUAGUACUGGAACCCACCAGAUGAUGUUUUGGCGGGUCCCCACACAUCCGAAAAAACAAGUUCUAAUCAAAAGGAAGAAACACUUGAGGAUCUAGGAAAAGGAAGCUGGUGUGCUUUGCCUUGUUGACAUGCAUUACACACAUGGGUCAUAGACCGACUAGAAGAAGCUAGUUUAUUGGAUGAUAAAACAUGCUGAACGACUUGAGUGGAUGGGUGGCCAAGCCUUGCAUUCCAAUCUUGAGUUGACAACCUAACCGAAGACAAGACACGAUGAGAUGAUGGCCGAAUGGGGUAAAUCCCAUUUUCACAUAUGCCUUGAAGUAGAACCCUCUUGGUUAUCAAAUCCUUCAUAAGAAAAUGAGUAGGGUAAUACUUUAGAUACACACGAUUAUCAAUGGCAAGACGAUUGACAGAAAGAAGGUUCUUGUUAGCAUUAGGAACAUGCAAGAUAUUACGGAGUUUGAGAUUUGCAGAAGGAGUAGGAAGAAUUGCAUGACCACGAUGAGCUAUGUGCAAACCUGACCCGUCAGCUGUGUGGAUGCGAUCUCUUCCGGAUACUUCUCCCGGACCAUGAGGCAAUCCAGAUCGCCGGUGAUGUGGUCCGUGGCCCCGAUGUCAGUGAACCAGGCGGGGUCACCUAGGAUGGCUGGAGGAGAAGCAGCAACAAGCCCUGCCAUCUUGGACUAUUGAGGCUGAAAGGCAUGAUUGUAACGCUGGCCGCACUCCCAGGCGUAAUGCCCAGGGCCACAGCAGAGCUGACACUGCACGCGGUUGUCACCGCGGUCGCCGUAGUCACCGCGAUCACCACCGUGGUUGCCACCAAAAUCGCCUUGUUGGCGCGUGCGACCACCACCACGGUUCCCACGAUCGCCACCACGAGAGUUGUUGUUUGAUAAUCCCCAAGUGCAGGAAAUCAUCGUAGCAAUUCCCAAAGGUGGAAGUGAUAAGUAUGGAGUGUCGAACCCACAAGGAGCUAAAGGUAAGAUCAAUAUUCUCUCAAUCCCUAUCUGCCACUGAUAUGACUCUACGUGCACCGAACGUUUGCUUCCAACUAGAAACAAGAAAUAAAACUGUGUUGUGGGUAUAAAGAGGAUAACUUUGUAUGAUAUCGGAGAGCUAAAAUAUAAAAGUAGGUGUUGUUAUAAUAAAGUUAGAAUAUACUACUAAAUAAUAUAAAUAGCGAGUGUGGAAUAAUGGUGGAUCGGUGUGCGGAAUUGUCCUAAGCAAUUGUUAACAAGAUCGAUAGUCGUCAUUGCAAUUUCAUAUGAGGGAGAAGCAUAAGUUAACAUACUUUUCCAUCCUUGGAUCAUAUGCACUUAUGAUUGGAACUCUAGCAAGCAUCCGCAAAUACUAAAGAUCAUUAAGGUAAAAACCCAACCAUAGCAUUAAAGCAUCAAGUCCCCUUUUAUCCCAUACGCAACAACCCCCUUACUCGGGUUUGUGUUUUAGUCACUCACGCAACCCAUUGUAAGUGAAUCAUGCACGUAUUGCAACACCCUAUAGCAGGAAUCCCUCACGCUUGCGCGACACGGCGGGCACCAUAGGACAGCAUCAAAGUGAAACAUACAACUCAUACCAAUCUAGAUCAUCAAUCACCCCAAAGACAAAAGAUAUCUACUCAAAACAUCAUAGGAUGGCAACACAUCAUUGAAUCAUAAUAUGUAGCAUAAAGCUCCAUGUUCAAGUAGGGAUUACAACGGGGUGCGGGAGAGUGGACCGCAUAAAAGAGAUGAGGAUGGUGAUGAUGAUGGUGAUGUUGAUGAAGACGAUCACCGCGGCGAUGAUUCCCCUCCCGAUGGCACUCCGGUGCCACCAAGAGAGAGGAGGAGAGGUUCUCCCCCUUGUGCUUCCUCCUCCAUGGCUUUCCCUCUCUGGUCCUUGGCCUUCAUGGUGAUGAUGGCCCCUCCGAGAUCCUCCUCCAUGGCCUUCGGUGAUGAUGGCCCCCUCCGGCAGGGUGCCGGAGAGGGCCUAGAUUGAUUUCUCGUGGCUACAUAGGCUUACGGCGGCGGAACUUCCGAUCCAGGUUAAUUCCCGAAGGUUUCUGUAUUUAUAGGAAUUUUUGGCGUUGGUUUCACGUCAAGGGGGCCUCCGGGCUGUCCCCGAGAUAGGGGGCCGCGCCCUAGGGGGGGCGCCCCCCACUCUCGUGGGCAGCCCGGGACUCCUCUGGCCCAACUCAGAUGCUCCGUGGUCUUCUUUUGGUCCAGAAAAAAUCCUCAAAAAAUGGCACGUCAAUUGGACUCCGUUUGGUAUCCAUUUUCUGUAAAACACUAAAACAAGGAGAAAACAGAAACUGGCACUGGGCUCUAGGUUAAUAGGUUAGUCCCAAAAAUCAUAUAAAAUGACAUAUAAAUGCAUAUAAAACAUCAUAGAUGGAUAAUAUAAUAGCAUGAAUACUUCAUAAAUUAUAGAUACGUCGGAGACGUAUCAGCAUCCCCAAGCUUAAUUCCUGCUCGUCCUCGAGUAGGUAAAUGAUAAAAGAAAUAAUUUAUGAAGUGUGAAUGCUAGCAGGUGCACAAGUUUGAUCAAUGAUAAUUUCAAUCACAUUUUCUAGCAUCAAUAUGUGUCAUUAUAAUAGCUUAUCUCAUAAAACUUUUCAUGAUCAAGUAACAAUCUAUUCACAAUGUCAAGUGUGGUUCAGAAACUUCAUUGAGAACUAACAAACUAUAAUCUCAGUCAUUGAAGAAAUUGCAAUUUAUCAUAACAUUAGAAAGAGUCAAGAAUAGAGCUUUUCAGCAAGUCCACAUACUCAACUAUCGUAUAGUCUUCUACAAUUGUUAACACUCAAGCAAUACUUGUGGUUAUGGAGUUUCAGCCGGACACUGAGAAAGAUAGGGGCUUAUUGUGUUGCCUCCCAACGUAUUCACCUUUAGGUGAUGUCAACAAUAAUAGCCCAUGCUAACUUACAUCCAAUUGGAUAUAUAUAUCAUGAUCUUUCAAACACGAGGAGCUUGCCAAAGGAUAAAAUGAAAAAGGGAAAGGUGAGGAUCACCUUGACUCAAGCAUAAAGUAAAAACAUAAAGUAAAAGAUAGGCCCUUCGCAGAGGGAAGCAGAGGUUGUCAUGCAUGUUUAGGGUUGAUGCACAAAAUCUUAAUGCAAAAGAACGUCACUUUAUAUUGCCCCUUGUAUGUGGACCUUUAUUAUGCAGUCCCUCGCUUUUAUUACUUCCACAACAAGAUCGUACAAAGCUUAUUUUCUCUGCACUAAUAAGUCACACAUAUUUAGAGAGCAAUUUUUAUUGCUUGCACCGAUGACAACUUACUUGAAGGAUCUUACUCAAUCCAUAGGUAGGUAUGGUGGACUCUCAUGGCAAAAAACUGGGUUUAAGGAUAUUUGGAAGCACAAGUAGUAUCUCUACUAAGGAAUUUGGCUAGCAUGAGGGGGAUAGGCAAGCUCAACAUAUUUGGAAGGUCAGUGACAAUAUACUUUAACUGAGAUGUGAGAAAACACAAAUCAUUACGUUGUCUUCCUUGUCCAACGUCAACUCUUUUAGCAUGUCAUACUUAAUGAGUGCUCCCAAUCAUAAAAGAUGUCCAAGAUAAUAUAUUUGUAUGUGAACCUCUCUUUCCUUAUUACUUCCUAUUAAUUGCAAUGAUGACCAAAACUACGUUUGCCAACUCUCAACAAUUUUUAUGCCUCAUACUCUUUAUAUGUGAAGUCAUUACUAUCCAUGUUAUAAGCAAAUGAAACAUAUAUAAAUUCAGAUUCAUGACAUUCAACUCAUUCAAAAAUUUACUCAUAGGAUAUAAGUGAAGCACACGAGUAAAUGAAAAACUACUCCAAAAGAUAUGAGUGAAAGACACUGAAUAGUCAAAUAAUUAACUAGCCAUGGGAGGGUUCCAUUUUUUUAUUCAAUAAUCAGAUCCAAUGAUUUUAUUCAAACAUCAAGUAAAAUUGAAAUAAAAUGACAUUGCAAGGAUAACACAACUCAUGUGAAGAAGCAAAAACUUAGGCUCAACCGAUAAUAACCGAUAGUUGUUGAACAAGAGAGGUGGGAUGCCUGCCGGGGCAUCCCUAAGCUUAGAUGCUUGAGACUUCUUGAAAUAUUAUCUUGGGGUGCCUUGGGCAUCCCCAAGCUUGAGCUUUUAUGUCUCCUUAAUUCCUCUCAUAUCACGGUUUCUCUUUUUAUCAAAAGCUUCAUUCACAACAAACUCAACAAGAACUCGUGAGAUGGGUUAGUAUAAACCAAUACAAAACCUUAUCAUUUUCUACUGUAACAAAUCACUAAAAUUAUUAUUAAACAUUGAACACUAAAUGCCUCUGCAUAUUUAAUACUCCUAUCCUCAAAUAGAAUCAUUAAACAAGCAAACAUACGCAAACAAUGCAAACAUAACAGCAAUCUGCCAAAACAGUACAAUAUGUAAAGAAUGCAAGAGUAUCAAUACUUCCCUAACUCUGUAAAUUAUAAGAGAAAGUUCCCACUGUAAUAAAUUUAUCAGAUCUUAAUAUGCAAAAAGAUUCAACUUUAUACCAUUCUCUUACUUUUCUAGGGAAUUUUUGCAACAACGGUGAACUUUCUGUUUUGAAACAACAACAUGUAUGCUAGCAAAAUAAGCAUGGUAAAGGCUUUCCUUGACAUUUUUAUUGAAAUUAAAGAUGCAAAACAUUAUUAUAAAUAACAGCAAGAAAAUACUAACAAGAGGAAAUGACGCUCCAAGCAAAACACAUAUCAUGUGGUGAAUAAAAAUAUAGCUCCAAGUAAAAUUACCGAUGAACGAAGACGAAAGAGGGGAUGCCUUCCGGGGCCUCCCCAAGCUUAGGCUCUUGGUUGUCCUUGAAUAUUACCUUGGGGUGCCUUGGGAAUCCCCAAGCUUAGGCUCUUGUCACUCCUUAUUCCAUAGUCCAUUGAAUCUUUACCCAAAACUUGAAAACUUCAACCACACAAAACUCAACCAAACAUCGUGAGACAGGUUAGUAUGAUAAAGAGUAGACCAUGCACUUUGGUACUGUAAAAGACAAGGUUCAUAAUUGUUUUCACAUAAUGCCUACUGUACCAUAUUAUUUCUACAAUUUAUAUUGAGAAAUAUAAGCCAUAGAAACUAGAAAACAAGCAAACUAUGCAGUGAAAACAGAAUCUGUCAUAAACAGAAUAGUCUGUAAUGAUCUGAACAAUAACCACACUUCCGCUACUCCAAAAAUUAUGAAAUAAACUGGUGGACGUGAGGAAUUUGUCUAUUAAUAUUAUGCAAAAAUAAUCAACUCAAAACCACUCUUCUGUAAAAAAAUGACAGCUAAUCUCGUGAGCGCAAAGUUUCUGUUGUUUUACAGGAAGAUCACAUUAACUUUCACCCAAGUCUUCCCAAAGGUCUUACUUGGCACUUUAUUGAAACUAAAGCUAUAAAACAUGAUUACUACAGUAGCUUAAUCAUGUAGACACACAAAAACAGUAAGGAUAAAUAUUGGGUUGUCUCCCAACAAGCGCUUUUUUCUUUAAUGCCUUUUAGCUAGGCAUGAUGAUUUCAAUGAUGCUCGCAUAAAAGAUAAGAGUUGAAACAUAAAAAGAGCAUCAUGAAGAAUAUGACUAGCAUAUUUAAAUCUAACCCACUUCCUAUACCUAGGGAUUUUGUGAGCACACAAUUUAUAGGAACAAGAAUCAACUAGCAUAGGAAGGCAAAACAAGUAUAACUUCAAAAAUUUAAGCACACAGAGAGGAAACUUGAUAUUAUUGCAACUCCUACAAGCACAUAUUCCUCCCUCAUAAAAAAUUUCAGUAGCAACAUGGAUAGCAACUUUUUUCUCAUACUCAAUUGGAACCUCUUCCGAAAUAGUGGAAUACUAACUAAAUUUGACACUCUUCCAAAUCCACUUUCAUAAAUAUCAUACAAAGAUUCAACCUCCUCCAAGAUAGUGGGAUCAUUAAUUCCUAAAGUUGACACUCUUCCAAACCCACUUUAAAUUAUAGUAUUAUUCAUACUCCAAAAGAUAUAAGUGAAGCACAUGAAGCAUUCUGUAAAUCAAUGAAGAGCUAGCUCAUACUAGAAUGAUUCUUAAAGAAAAAUACAAACACAAAGGACACAAAUCAUGUGAACAAAACGAAAACCAAGGUAUACCGAUAUUUGUUGAAGAAGAAAGAUGGGAUGCCAAUCGGGGCAUCCCCAAGCUUAGAUGCUUGAGUAUCCUUUGAAAUAUUUACUUGGGGUGCCUUGGACAUCCCCAAGCUUGAACUCUUGUCUCUCUUUAUUCUUCUCACAUCGGUAACUCCUCGUUCUUCAAACACUUCAUUCACAAAAACUUAAACAAAAACUUGUGAGAUCCGUUAGUGUAAUAAAGCAAACUACCACUUUAAGGUACUGUAAUUAACUCAUUCUUUGUUUAUAUUGGUGUUCAACCUACUGUAUUCCAACUUCUCUAUGGUUCAUACCCUACAUACUAGCCAUAGAUGCAUCAAAAUAAGCAAACAACACACGAAAAACAGAAUCUUCAAGAACAGGACAGUCUGUAGUAAUCUGGAAGUUUAGUAAAUAUCCGUAACUCCAAAAAUUAUGAAAUAAAUUUGACAAUUUGAACAAUUUGUACAGAAGUAAUAUGCAAAAAGUUUCAGACCCAUUUCACUUUCCAGUAAAAAAUGUAAAUUCAUGCACUACAGCCAAAGUUUCUGUUUUUGUUCUGCACAUAGUAAGCAAGCAAUCUUAUCACACUAAAACCAAAGCUUGGCACAUUAGUUUUAUAAUACAGGGUAUAUACAAGGGGAUAAUUAUUUACAGAGAAAAUUCCAUGAAAAAUUCUACAUUGUUUCCGUCAGCAUGAACACAAGUGCUCAAGGUCGACCCUCACUUCUUCAAUGCAUAACUUUUCAAUCACUUCUCUUUUGAAAAACUUUUUUAGGCAUGAGAGGCAAGUAAUUCUUUUUUGGUAUUUUCAUUCUUUUGAAAAAAAAAUUGUAUGUUUCAUCCACAACUAAACAGAAACAAAAAGGAAAACAAAAUCUACUUAGUGAAGAAAGCAAACAAGCACACACGAGAAUAUCAACCCCACGCUAUUGCUCCCUGGCAACGGCGCCAGAAAAGAGCUUGAUAAUCCCCAAGUGCAGGGAAUCAUCAUAGCAAUUCCCAAAGGUGGAAGUGAUAAGUAUGGAGUGUCGAACCCACAAGGAGCUAAAGGUAAGAUCAAUAUUCUCUCAAGCCCUAUCUGCCACUGAUACGACUCUACGUGCACCGAACGUUUGCUUUCAACUAGAAACAAGAAAUAAAACUGUGUUGUGGGUAUAAAGAGGAUAACUUUGUAUGAUAUCGGAGAGCUAAAAUAUAAAAGUAGGUGCUGUUAUCAUAAAGUUAGAAUAUACUACUAAAUAAUAUAAAUAGAGAGUGUGGAAUAAUGGUGGAUCGGUGUGCGGAACUGUCCUAAGCAAUUGUUAACAAGAUCGAUAGUCGUCAUUGCAAUUUCAUAUGAGGGAGAGGCAUAAGCUAACAUACUUUUCCAUACUUGGAUCAUAUGCACUUAUGAUUGGAACUCGAGCAAGCAUAUGCAAAUACUAAAGAUCAUUAAGGUAAAAACCCAACCAUAGCAUUAAAGCAUCAAGUCCCCUUUUAUCCCAUAUGCAACAACCCCCUUACUCGGGUUUGUGUUUCAGUCACUCAAGCAACCCACUAUAAGUGAAUCAUGCACGUAUUGCAACACCCUACAGCGGGAAUCCCUCGCGCUUGCGCGACACGGAGGGCACCAUAGGAGAACAUCAAAGUGAAACAUACAACUCAGACCAAUCUAUAUCAUCAAUCACCCCAAAAGAUAUCUACUCAAAACAUCAUAGGAUGACAACACAUCAUUGAAUCAUAAUAUGUAGCAUAAAGCACUAUGUUCAAGUAGGGAUUACAGCGGGGUGCCGGAGAGUGGACCGUGUAAAAGAGAUUAUGAUGGUGAUGUUGAUGAAGACGAUCACCGCGGCGAUGAUUCCCCUCUCGAUGGCACUCCGGUGCCACCAAGAGAGAGGAGGAGAGGUUCUCCCCCUUGUGCUUCCUCCUCCAUGGCUUUCCCCCUCUGGUCCUUGGCCUUCAUGGUGAUGAUGGCCCCUCCGAGAUCCUCCUCCAUGGCCUUCGGUGAUGAUGGCCCCCUCCGGCAAGGUGCCGGAGAGGGCCUAGAUUGAUUUCUCGUGGCUACAGAGGCUUGCGGCGGUGGAACUUCCGAUCUAGGUUAAUUCCCGAAGGUUUCUAUAUUUAUAGGAAUUUUUGGCGUUGGUUUCACGUCAAGGGGGCCUCCGGGCUGUCGACGAGAUAGGGGGUCGCGCCCUAGGGGGGGGGGGGCGCCCCCCACUCUCUUGGGCCGCCCAGGACUCCUCUGGCCCAACUCUGAUGCUCCGUGGUCUUCUUUUGGUCUAGAAAAAAUCCUCAAAAAAUGGCACAUCAAUUUUUUAUGUAGUUUUUUUUAUUUUCUGCAUUAUUUCUUUUCUUCUAUUUAUUUUUGAGUAAUUUUUUUAUAUAGUUUUUUCUUUUCUGCUUUAUUUUUCUUCUUCUAUUUAUUUUGAGCAAAUGAUGUCAGAACGUGUUGGAAAUUGAUGACGUCACUUCGAAUGCGGCAUAAUGCCGGCUCAAAAAAAGUCUGGAGUUCAAAUAAGUUUAAAAAAAUGAAGUGCUCAUGUAACAGAUAAGUUCUCGUCCGAAACCCUGAUACUCCGAAAGAGAUUGUCCAGUUUGUACACGAAGUGCGUCCAGUUUUUGCCGUGACACUCUCUACUCUUUCGCACAUGCUAUGCGGGUGAAAUGAUGAUACCAUGCCAAGUUUCAACAUUUUCAGAGUUCAUUUUGUUGUGAUUUAAUGUUUCACGGUCAUUUAGCUCUCUAAACAAACUGGAAAAUGACUGGAAAACAGCAAAUGAUGUCAGAACAUGUUGGAAAUUGAUGGCGUCGCUUUGAAUGCUGCAUAUUGAACGCANNNNNNNNNNNNNNNNNNNNNNNNNNNNNNNNNNNNNNNNNNNNNNNNNNNNNNNNNNNNNNNNNNNNNNNNNNNNNNNNNNNNNNNNNNNNNNNNNNNNNNNNNNNNNNNNNNNNNNNNNNNNNNNNNNNNNNNNNNNNNNNNNNNNNNNNNNNNNNNNNNNNNNNNNNNNNNNNNNNNNNNNNNNNNNNNNNNNNNNNNNNNNNNNNNNNNNNNNNNNNNNNNNNNNNNNNNNNNNNNNNNNNNNNNNNNNNNNNNNNNNNNNNNNNNNNNNNNNNNNNNNNNNNNNNNNNNNNNNNNNNNNNNNNNNNNNNNNNNNNNNNNNNNNNNNNNNNNNNNNNNNNNNNNNNNNNNNNNNNNNNNNNNNNNNNNNNNNNNNNNNNNNNNNNNNNNNNNNNNNNNNNNNNNNNNNNNNNNNNNNNNNNNNNNNNNNNNNNNNNNNNNNNNNNNNNNNNNNNNNNNNNNNNNNNNNNNNNNNNNNNNNNNNNNNNNNNNNNNNNNNNNNNNNNNNNNNNNNNNNNNNNNNNNNNNNNNNNNNNNNNNNNNNNNNNNNNNNNNNNNNNNNNNNNNNNNNNNNNNNNNNNNNNNNNNNNNNNNNNNNNNNNNNNNNNNNNNNNNNNNNNNNNNNNNNNNNNNNNNNNNNNNNNNNNNNNNNNNNNNNNNNNNNNNNNNNNNNNNNNNNNNNNNNNNNNNNNNNNNNNNNNNNNNNNNNNNNNNNNNNNNNNNNNNNNNNNNNNNNNNNNNNNNNNNNNNNNNNNNNNNNNNNNNNNNNNNNNNNNNNNNNNNNNNNNNNNNNNNNNNNNNNNNNNNNNNNNNNNNNNNNNNNNNNNNNNNNNNNNNNNNNNNNNNNNNNNNNNNNNNNNNNNNNNNNNNNNNNNNNNNNNNNNNNNNNNNNNNNNNNNNNNNNNNNNNNNNNNNNNNNNNNNNNNNNNNNNNNNNNNNNNNNNNNNNNNNNNNNNNNNNNNNNNNNNNNNNNNNNNNNNNNNNNNNNNNNNNNNNNNNNNNNNNNNNNNNNNNNNNNNNNNNNNNNNNNNNNNNNNNNNNNNNNNNNNNNNNNNNNNNNNNNNNNNNNNNNNNNNNNNNNNNNNNNNNNNNNNNNNNNNNNNNNNNNNNNNNNNNNNNNNNNNNNNNNNNNNNNNNNNNNNNNNNNNNNNNNNNNNNNNNNNNNNNNNNNNNNNNNNNNNNNNNNNNNNNNNNNNNNNNNNNNNNNNNNNNNNNNNNNNNNNNNNNNNNNNNNNNNNNNNNNNNNNNNNNNNNNNNNNNNNNNNNNNNNNNNNNNNNNNNNNNNNNNNNNNNNNNNNNNNNNNNNNNNNNNNNNNNNNNNNNNNNNNNNNNNNNNNNNNNNNNNNNNNNNNNNNNNNNNNNNNNNNNNNNNNNNNNNNNNNNNNNNNNNNNNNNNNNNNNNNNNNNNNNNNNNNNNNNNNNNNNNNNNNNNNNNNNNNNNNNNNNNNNNNNNNNNNNNNNNNNNNNNNNNNNNNNNNNNNNNNNNNNNNNNNNNNNNNNNNNNNNNNNNNNNNNNNNNNNNNNNNNNNNNNNNNNNNNNNNNNNNNNNNNNNNNNNNNNNNNNNNNNNNNNNNNNNNNNNNNNNNNNNNNNNNNNNNNNNNNNNNNNNNNNNNNNNNNNNNNNNNNNNNNNNNNNNNNNNNNNNNNNNNNNNNNNNNNNNNNNNNNNNNNNNNNNNNNNNNNNNNNNNNNNNNNNNNNNNNNNNNNNNNNNNNNNNNNNNNNNNNNNNNNNNNNNNNNNNNNNNNNNNNNNNNNNNNNNNNNNNNNNNNNNNNNNNNNNNNNNNNNNNNNNNNNNNNNNNNNNNNNNNNNNNNNNNNNNNNNNNNNNNNNNNNNNNNNNNNNNNNNNNNNNNNNNNNNNNNNNNNNNNNNNNNNNNNNNNNNNNNNNNNNNNNNNNNNNNNNNNNNNNNNNNNNNNNNNNNNNNNNNNNNNNNNNNNNNNNNNNNNNNNNNNNNNNNNNNNNNNNNNNNNNNNNNNNNNNNNNNNNNNNNNNNNNNNNNNNNNNNNNNNNNNNNNNNNNNNNNNNNNNNNNNNNNNNNNNNNNNNNNNNNNNNNNNNNNNNNNNNNNNNNNNNNNNNNNNNNNNNNNNNNNNNNNNNNNNNNNNNNNNNNNNNNNNNNNNNNNNNNNNNNNNNNNNNNNNNNNNNNNCUCGGGUAGGGGGUUCCGAACUGUGCGUCUAAGGCUAAUGGUAACAGGAGGCGGGGGACACGAUGUUUACCCAGGUUCGGGCCCUCUCGAUGGAGGUAAUACCCUACUUCCUGCUUGAUUGAUCUUGAUGAUAUGAGUAUUACAAGAGUUGAUCUACCACGAGAUCGAAGAGGCUAAACCCUAGAAGCUAGCCUAUGAUUAUGAUUGUUGUCCUCCUACGGACUAAACCCUCCGGUUUAUAUACACACCGGAGGGGGCUAGGGUUACACAGAGUCAGUUACAGAGAAGGAGAUCUACAUAUCCAAAUUGCCAAGCUUGCCUUCCACGCCAAGGAGAGUCCCAUCCGGACACGGGACAAAGUCUUCAAUCUUGUAUCUUCAUAGUCCAAUAGUCCGGCCAAAGUAUAUAGUUCGGCUGUCCGAGGACCCCCUAAUCUAGGACUCCGUCACCAGGAACAAAAGAUCUAGGGGUGCAGGCACCUGAGGAGGGAAUCAGAUCACCCUGGAAUCCCGUGACGCUGGCAGGCCUAGUAGGGGAAUCCAUCGGUGAUCCCGAGGAGGAACCAGGCGCCGCUGGCGCGCUUGUCACAGAACAGGGCCGGCCCACCGGAUGGCGAGCGGGCACGUGGGCGGCAACCUGCGGCGGGUCGGGGUUGAAGGGAACCAGGCCAGUGGCAGGCCCCNNNNNNNNNNNNNNNNNNNNNNNNNNNNNNNNNNNNNNNNNNNNNNNNNNNNNNNNNNNNNNNNNNNNNNNNNNNNNNNNNNNNNNNNNNNNNNNNNNNNNNNNNNNNNNNNNNNNNNNNNNNNNNNNNNNNNNNNNNNNNNNNNNNNNNNNNNNNNNNNNNNNNNNNNNNNNNNNNNNNNNNNNNNNNNNNNNNNNNNNNNNNNNNNNNNNNNNNNNNNNNNNNNNNNNNNNNNNNNNNNNNNNNNNNNNNNNNNNNNNNNNNNNNNNNNNNNNNNNNNNNNNNNNNNNNNNNNNNNNNNNNNNNNNNNNNNNNNNNNNNNNNNNNNNNNNNNNNNNNNNNNNNNNNNNNNNNNNNNNNNNNNNNNNNNNNNNNNNNNNNNNNNNNNNNNNNNNNNNNNNNNNNNNNNNNNNNNNNNNNNNNNNNNNNNNNNNNNNNNNNNNNNNNNNNNNNNNNNNNNNNNNNNNNNNNNNNNNNNNNNNNNNNNNNNNNNNNNNNNNNNNNNNNNNNNNNNNNNNNNNNNNNNNNNNNNNNNNNNNNNNNNNNNNNNNNNNNNNNNNNNNNNNNNNNNNNNNNNNNNNNNNNNNNNNNNNNNNNNNNNNNNNNNNNNNNNNNNNNNNNNNNNNNNNNNNNNNNNNNNNNNNNNNNNNNNNNNNNNNNNNNNNNNNNNNNNNNNNNNNNNNNNNNNNNNNNNNNNNNNNNNNNNNNNNNNNNNNNNNNNNNNNNNNNNNNNNNNNNNNNNNNNNNNNNNNNNNNNNNNNNNNNNNNNNNNNNNNNNNNNNNNNNNNNNNNNNNNNNNNNNNNNNNNNNNNNNNNNNNNNNNNNNNNNNNNNNNNNNNNNNNNNNNNNNNNNNNNNNNNNNNNNNNNNNNNNNNNNNNNNNNNNNNNNNNNNNNNNUCGCUGAGGAGGACGGGGCGGGCGAAGGGGCGAUCGGGCCAUCCAAGGCCGCCAUGUGGGCUAACGGGCGGGGCGCAACCCCGCGCUCACCUGGCGCAUCGUUGUCGGCAGGUGACGCGUGAUCCGAGGCCGGAUCCGCUCCUGAUCCUGUGUCAGGAUCCUCCUGGGUGGUAGGUGAAGUAGAUCCUGUCGCACCUGGGUUUGUCUGCACCGGGGUAGAUCCUACAUCCAGGUUAGUAGAUGAAGCAGAUACGCCAUAAUUCAUGUGGUCAUGCAGAAAUAACGGGAUGGUGUGUUCUACAACGCGAGGUGGUAUGGGGGAGGCAGAAGGGCUGGCAAAAGGAAAAAAAUUCUCAUCGAACGUGACAUCACGAGAGAUAUAAACACAAGCUGUGGGCAGAUGAAGGCAUUUAUACCCUUUGUGGCGAAUGCUAUAACCAACGAACACACAUUGUUGAGGUCUAAAGGCAAGUUUGUGUGUGUUGUAGGGGUGCGUGUUGGGCCAACAAGCACAACCAAAUGGACGAAGUGACAUGUAGUCUGGUUUGGUGUUGAACUAUUUCUCCAUACGACUAAGGUUGCCAAUGACACGACUAGGAAGUCGAUUGAUAAGAUAACAUGCUGAAAGAUAGGCCUCAUCCCAAAAAUGUAGCGGCAUAGAUGCAUGUGAUAGUAAAGAGAGCCCCAUGUCAACAAUAUGAUGGUGCUUCCUUUGAGUUGAAACAUUUUGCUGGUGUGUGUGUGGGCAAGAUACAUGAUGCAUAAUGCCUAGUUGACGAAAAAACGUGUUGCUAAGCUUCUCGUAUUCCUCACCCCAAUCAGAUUGAACACAUAAAAUCUUGUGAGACAGGAGGCGUUCAACAUGAGCAAGGGAGUCACGAAAAACAUCAAACACAUCACAUUUUCUUUUGAGAAGAUAGAUCCGCACAAACUUAGUAUAAUCAUCAAUAAAUGAGACAUAGUACUGGAACCCACCAGAUGAUGUUUUGGCGGGUCCCCACACAUCCGAAAAAACAAGUUCUAAUCAAAAGGAAGAAACACUUGAGGAUCUAGGAAAAGGAAGCUGGUGUGCUUUGCCUUGUUGACAUGCAUUACACACAUGGGUCAUAGACCGACUAGAAGAAGCUAGUUUAUUGGAUGAUAAAACAUGCUGAACGACUUGAGUGGAUGGGUGGCCAAGCCUUGCAUUCCAAUCUUGAGUUGACAACCUAACCGAAGACAAGACACGAUGAGAUGAUGGCCGAAUGGGGUAAAUCCCAUUUUCACAUAUGCCUUGAAGUAGAACCCUCUUGGUUAUCAAAUCCUUCAUAAGAAAAUGAGUAGGGUAAUACUUUAGAUACACACGAUUAUCAAUGGCAAGACGAUUGACAGAAAGAAGGUUCUUGUUAGCAUUAGGAACAUGCAAGAUAUUACGGAGUUUGAGAUUUGCAGAAGGAGUAGGAAGAAUUGCAUGACCACGAUGAGCUAUGUGCAAACCUGACCCGUCAGCUGUGUGGAUGCGAUCUCUUCCGGAUACUUCUCCCGGACCAUGAGGCAAUCCAGAUCGCCGGUGAUGUGGUCCAUGGCCCCGAUGUCAGUGAACCAGGCGGGGUCACCUAGGAUGGCUGGAGGAGAAGCAGCAACAAGCCCUGCCAUCUUGGACUAUUGAGGCUGAAAGGCAUGAUUGUAACGCUGGCCGCACUCCCAGGCGUAAUGCCCAGGGCCACAGCAGAGCUGACACUGCACGCGGUUGUCACCGCGGUCGCCGUAGUCACCGCGAUCACCACCGUGGUUGCCACCAAAAUCGCCUUGUUGGCGCGUGCGACCACCACCGCGGUUCCCACGAUCGCCACCACGAGAGUUGUUGUUUGAUAAUCCCCAAGUGCAGGAAAUCAUCGUAGCAAUUCCCAAAGGUGGAAGUGAUAAGUAUGGAGUGUCGAACCCACAAGGAGCUAAAGGUAAGAUCAAUAUUCUCUCAAUCCCUAUCUGCCACUGAUAUGACUCUACGUGCACCGAACGUUUGCUUCCAACUAGAAACAAGAAAUAAAACUGUGUUGUGGGUAUAAAGAGGAUAACUUUGUAUGAUAUCGGAGAGCUAAAAUAUAAAAGUAGGUGUUGUUAUAAUAAAGUUAGAAUAUACUACUAAAUAAUAUAAAUAGCGAGUGUGGAAUAAUGGUGGAUCGGUGUGCGGAAUUGUCCUAAGCAAUUGUUAACAAGAUCGAUAGUCGUCAUUGCAAUUUCAUAUGAGGGAGAAGCAUAAGUUAACAUACUUUUCCAUCCUUGGAUCAUAUGCACUUAUGAUUGGAACUCUAGCAAGCAUCCGCAAAUACUAAAGAUCAUUAAGGUAAAAACCCAACCAUAGCAUUAAAGCAUCAAGUCCCCUUUUAUCCCAUACGCAACAACCCCCUUACUCGGGUUUGUGUUUUAGUCACUCACGCAACCCACUGUAAGUGAAUCAUGCACGUAUUGCAACACCCUAUAGCAGGAAUCCCUCACGCUUGCGCGACAUGGCGGGCACCAUAGGACAGCAUCAAAGUGAAACAUACAACUCAUACCAAUCUAGAUCAUCAAUCACCCCAAAGACAAAAGAUAUCUACUCAAAACAUCAUAGGAUGGCAACACAUCAUUGAAUCAUAAUAUGUAGCAUAAAGCUCCAUGUUCAAGUAGGGAUUACAACGGGGUGCGGGAGAGUGGACCGCAUAAAAGAGAUGAGGAUGGUGAUGAUGAUGGUGAUGUUGAUGAAGACGAUCACCGCGGCGAUGAUUCCCCUCCCGAUGGCACUCCGGUGCCACCAAGAGAGAGGAGGAGAGGUUCUCCCCCUUGUGCUUCCUCCUCCAUGGCUUUCCCUCUCUGGUCCUUGGCCUUCAUGGUGAUGAUGGCCCCUCCGAGAUCCUCCUCCAUGGCCUUCGGUGAUGAUGGCCCCCUCCGGCAGGGUGCCGGAGAGGGCCUAGAUUGAUUUCUCGUGGCUACAUAGGCUUACGGCGGCGGAACUUCCGAUCCAGGUUAAUUCCCGAAGGUUUCUGUAUUUAUAGGAAUUUUUGGCGUUGGUUUCACGUCAAGGGGGCCUCCGGGCUGUCCCCGAGAUAGGGGGCCGCGCCCUAGGGGGGGCGCCCCCCACUCUCGUGGGCAGCCCGGGACUCCUCUGGCCCAACUCAGAUGCUCCGUGGUCUUCUUUUGGUCCAGAAAAAAUCCUCAAAAAAUGGCACGUCAAUUGGACUCCGUUUGGUAUCCAUUUUCUGUAAAACACUAAAACAAGGAGAAAACAGAAACUGGCACUGGGCUCUAGGUUAAUAGGUUAGUCCCAAAAAUCAUAUAAAAUGACAUAUAAAUGCAUAUAAAACAUCAUAGAUGGAUAAUAUAAUAGCAUGAAUACUUCAUAAAUUAUAGAUACGUCGGAGACGUAUCAGCAUCCCCAAGCUUAAUUCCUGCUCGUCCUCGAGUAGGUAAAUGAUAAAAGAAAUAAUUUAUGAAGUGUGAAUGCUAGCAGGUGCACAAGUUUGAUCAAUGAUAAUUUCAAUCACAUUUUCUAGCAUCAAUAUGUGUCAUUAUAAUAGCUUAUCUCAUAAAACUUUUCAUGAUCAAGUAACAAUCUAUUCACAAUGUCAAGUGUGGUUCAGAAACUUCAUUGAGAACUAACAAACUAUAAUCUCAGUCAUUGAAGAAAUUGCAAUUUAUCAUAACAUUAGAAAGAGUCAAGAAUAGAGCUUUUCAGCAAGUCCACAUACUCAACUAUCGUAUAGUCUUCUACAAUUGUUAACACUCAAGCAAUACUUGUGGUUAUGGAGUUUCAGCCGGACACUGAGAAAGAUAGGGGCUUAUUGUGUUGCCUCCCAACGUAUUCACCUUUAGGUGAUGUCAACAAUAAUAGCCCAUGCUAACUUACAUCCAAUUGGAUAUAUAUAUCAUGAUCUUUCAAACACGAGGAGCUUGCCAAAGGAUAAAAUGAAAAAGGGAAAGGUGAGGAUCACCUUGACUCAAGCAUAAAGUAAAAACAUAAAGUAAAAGAUAGGCCCUUCGCAGAGGGAAGCAGAGGUUGUCAUGCAUGUUUAGGGUUGAUGCACAAAAUCUUAAUGCAAAAGAACGUCACUUUAUAUUGCCCCUUGUAUGUGGACCUUUAUUAUGCAGUCCCUCGCUUUUAUUACUUCCACAACAAGAUCGUACAAAGCUUAUUUUCUCUGCACUAAUAAGUCACACAUAUUUAGAGAGCAAUUUUUAUUGCUUGCACCGAUGACAACUUACUUGAAGGAUCUUACUCAAUCCAUAGGUAGGUAUGGUGGACUCUCAUGGCAAAAAACUGGGUUUAAGGAUAUUUGGAAGCACAAGUAGUAUCUCUACUAAGGAAUUUGGCUAGCAUGAGGGGGAUAGGCAAGCUCAACAUAUUUGGAAGGUCAGUGACAAUAUACUUUAACUGAGAUGUGAGAAAACACAAAUCAUUACGUUGUCUUCCUUGUCCAACGUCAACUCUUUUAGCAUGUCAUACUUAAUGAGUGCUCCCAAUCAUAAAAGAUGUCCAAGAUAAUAUAUUUGUAUGUGAACCUCUCUUUCCUUAUUACUUCCUAUUAAUUGCAAUGAUGACCAAAACUACGUUUGCCAACUCUCAACAAUUUUUAUGCCUCAUACUCUUUAUAUGUGAAGUCAUUACUAUCCAUGUUAUAAGCAAAUGAAACAUAUAUAAAUUCAGAUUCAUGACAUUCAACUCAUUCAAAAAUUUACUCAUAGGAUAUAAGUGAAGCACACGAGUAAAUGAAAAACUACUCCAAAAGAUAUGAGUGAAAGACACUGAAUAGUCAAAUAAUUAACUAGCCAUGGGAGGGUUCCAUUUUUUUAUUCAAUAAUCAGAUCCAAUGAUUUUAUUCAAACAUCAAGUAAAAUUGAAAUAAAAUGACAUUGCAAGGAUAACACAACUCAUGUGAAGAAGCAAAAACUUAGGCUCAACCGAUAAUAACCGAUAGUUGUUGAACAAGAGAGGUGGGAUGCCUGCCGGGGCAUCCCUAAGCUUAGAUGCUUGAGACUUCUUGAAAUAUUAUCUUGGGGUGCCUUGGGCAUCCCCAAGCUUGAGCUUUUAUGUCUCCUUAAUUCCUCUCAUAUCACGGUUUCUCUUUUUAUCAAAAGCUUCAUUCACAACAAACUCAACAAGAACUCGUGAGAUGGGUUAGUAUAAACCAAUACAAAACCUUAUCAUUUUCUACUGUAACAAAUCACUAAAAUUAUUAUUAAACAUUGAACACUAAAUGCCUCUGCAUAUUUAAUACUCCUAUCCUCAAAUAGAAUCAUUAAACAAGCAAACAUACGCAAACAAUGCAAACAUAACAGCAAUCUGCCAAAACAGUACAAUAUGUAAAGAAUGCAAGAGUAUCAAUACUUCCCUAACUCCGUAAAUUAUAAGAGAAAGUUCCCACUGUAAUAAAUUUAUCAGAUCUUAAUAUGCAAAAAGAUUCAACUUUAUACCAUUCUCUUACUUUUCUAGGGAAUUUUUGCAACAACGGUGAACUUUCUGUUUUGAAACAGCAACAUGUAUGCUAGCAAAAUAAGCAUGGUAAAGGCUUUCCUUGACAUUUUUAUUGAAAUUAAAGAUGCAAAACAUUAUUCUAAAUAACAGCAAGAAAAUACUAACAAGAGGAAAUGACGCUCCAAGCAAAACACAUAUCAUGUGGUGAAUAAAAAUAUAGCUCCAAGUAAAGUUACCGAUGAACGAAGACGAAAGAGGGGAUGCCUUCCGGGGCCUCCCCAAGCUUAGGCUCUUGGUUGUCCUUGAAUAUUACCUUGGGGUGCCUUGGGAAUCCCCAAGCUUAGGCUCUUGUCACUCCUUAUUCCAUAGUCCAUUGAAUCUUUACCCAAAACUUGAAAACUUCAACCACACAAAACUCAACCAAACAUCGUGAGACAGGUUAGUAUGAUAAAGAGUAGACCAUGCACUUUGGUACUGUAAAAGACAAGGUUCAUAAUUGUUUUCACAUAAUGCCUACUGUACCAUAUUAUUUCUACAAUUUAUAUUGAGAAAUAUAAGCCAUAGAAACUAGAAAACAAGCAAACUAUGCAGUGAAAACAGAAUCUGUCAUAAACAGAACAGUCUGUAAUGAUCUGAACAAUAACCACACUUCCGCUACUCCAAAAAUUAUGAAAUAAACUGGUGGACGUGAGGAAUUUGUCUAUUAAUAUUAUGCAAAAAUAAUCAACUCAAAACCACUCUUCUGUAAAAAAAUGACAGCUAAUCUCGUGAGCGCAAAGUUUCUGUUGUUUUACAGGAAGAUCACAUUAACUUUCACCCAAGUCUUCCCAAAGGUCUUACUUGGCACUUUAUUGAAACUAAAGCUAUAAAACAUGAUUACUACAGUAGCUUAAUCAUGUAGACACACAAAAACAGUAAGGAUAAAUAUUGGGUUGUCUCCCAACAAGCGCUUUUUUCUUUAAUGCCUUUUAGCUAGGCAUGAUGAUUUCAAUGAUGCUCGCAUAAAAGAUAAGAGUUGAAACAUAAAAAGAGCAUCAUGAAGAAUAUGACUAGCAUAUUUAAAUCUAACCCACUUCCUAUACCUAGGGAUUUUGUGAGCACACAAUUUAUAGGAACAAGAAUCAACUAGCAUAGGAAGGCAAAACAAGUAUAACUUCAAAAAUUUAAGCACACAGAGAGGAAACUUGAUAUUAUUGCAACUCCUACAAGCACAUAUUCCUCCCUCAUAAAAAAUUUCAGUAGCAACAUGGAUAGCAACUUUUUUCUCAUACUCAAUUGGAACCUCUUCCGAAAUAGUGGAAUACUAACUAAAUUUGACACUCUUCCAAAUCCACUUUCAUAAAUAUCAUACAAAGAUUCAACCUCCUCCAAGAUAGUGGGAUCAUUAAUUCCUAAAGUUGACACUCUUCCAAACCCACUUUAAAUUAUAGUAUUAUUCAUACUCCAAAAGAUAUAAGUGAAGCACAUGAAGCAUUCUGUAAAUCAAUGAAGAGCUAGCUCAUACUAGAAUGAUUCUUAAAGAAAAAUACAAACACAAAGGACACAAAUCAUGUGAACAAAACGAAAACCAAGGUAUACCGAUAUUUGUUGAAGAAGAAAGAUGGGAUGCCAAUCGGGGCAUCCCCAAGCUUAGAUGCUUGAGUAUCCUUUGAAAUAUUUACUUGGGGUGCCUUGGACAUCCCCAAGCUUGAACUCUUGUCUCUCUUUAUUCUUCUCACAUCGGUAACUCCUCGUUCUUCAAACACUUCAUUCACAAAAACUUAAACAAAAACUUGUGAGAUCCGUUAGUGUAAUAAAGCAAACUACCACUUUAAGGUACUGUAAUUAACUCAUUCUUUGUUUAUAUUGGUGUUCAACCUACUUUAUUCCAACUUCUCUAUGGUUCAUACCCUACAUACUAGCCAUAGAUGCAUCAAAAUAAGCAAACAACACACGAAAAACAGAAUCUUCAAGAACAGGACAGUCUGUAGUAAUCUGGAAGUUUAGUAAAUAUCCGUAACUCCAAAAAUUAUGAAAUAAAUUUGACAAUUUGAACAAUUUGUACAGAAGUAAUAUGCAAAAAGUUUCAGACCCAUUUCACUUUCCAGUAAAAAAUGUAAAUUCAUGCACUACAGCCAAAGUUUCUGUUUUUGUUCUGCACAUAGUAAGCAAGCAAUCUUAUCACACUAAAACCAAAGCUUGGCACAUUAGUUUUAUAAUACAGGGUAUAUACAAGGGGAUAAUUAUUUACAGAGAAAAUUCCAUGAAAAAUUCUACAUUGUUUCCGUCAGCAUGAACACAAGUGCUCAAGGUCGACCCUCACUUCUUCAAUGCAUAACUUUUCAAUCACUUCUCUUUUGAAAAACUUUUUUAGGCAUGAGAGGCAAGUAAUUCUUUUUUGGUAUUUUCAUUCUUUUGAAAAAAAAUUGUAUGUUUCAUCCACAACUAAACAGAAACAAAAAGGAAAACAAAAUCUACUUAGUGAAGAAAGCAAACAAGCACACACGAGAAUAUCAACCCCACGCUAUUGCUCCCUGGCAACGGCGCCAGAAAAGAGCUUGAUAAUCCCCAAGUGCAGGGAAUCAUCAUAGCAAUUCCCAAAGGUGGAAGUGAUAAGUAUGGAGUGUCGAACCCACAAGGAGCUAAAGGUAAGAUCAAUAUUCUCUCAAGCCCUAUCUGCCACUGAUACGACUCUACGUGCACCGAACGUUUGCUUUCAACUAGAAACAAGAAAUAAAACUGUGUUGUGGGUAUAAAGAGGAUAACUUUGUAUGAUAUCGGAGAGCUAAAAUAUAAAAGUAGGUGCUGUUAUCAUAAAGUUAGAAUAUACUACUAAAUAAUAUAAAUAGAGAGUGUGGAAUAAUGGUGGAUCGGUGUGCGGAACUGUCCUAAGCAAUUGUUAACAAGAUCGAUAGUCGUCAUUGCAAUUUCAUAUGAGGGAGAGGCAUAAGCUAACAUACUUUUCCAUACUUGGAUCAUAUGCACUUAUGAUUGGAACUCGAGCAAGCAUAUGCAAAUACUAAAGAUCAUUAAGGUAAAAACCCAACCAUAGCAUUAAAGCAUCAAGUCCCCUUUUAUCCCAUAUGCAACAACCCCCUUACUCGGGUUUGUGUUUCAGUCACUCAAGCAACCCACUAUAAGUGAAUCAUGCACGUAUUGCAACACCCUACAGCGGGAAUCCCUCGCGCUUGCGCGACACGGAGGGCACCAUAGGAGAACAUCAAAGUGAAACAUACAACUCAGACCAAUCUAUAUCAUCAAUCACCCCAAAAGAUAUCUACUCAAAACAUCAUAGGAUGACAACACAUCAUUGAAUCAUAAUAUGUAGCAUAAAGCACUAUGUUCAAGUAGGGAUUACAGCGGGGUGCCGGAGAGUGGACCGUGUAAAAGAGAUUAUGAUGGUGAUGUUGAUGAAGACGAUCACCGCGGCGAUGAUUCCCCUCUCGAUGGCACUCCGGUGCCACCAAGAGAGAGGAGGAGAGGUUCUCCCCCUUGUGCUUCCUCCUCCAUGGCUUUCCCCCUCUGGUCCUUGGCCUUCAUGGUGAUGAUGGCCCCUCCGAGAUCCUCCUCCAUGGCCUUCGGUGAUGAUGGCCCCCUCCGGCAAGGUGCCGGAGAGGGCCUAGAUUGAUUUCUCGUGGCUACAGAGGCUUGCGGCGGCGGAACUUCCGAUCUAGGUUAAUUCCCGAAGGUUUCUGUAUUUAUAGGAAUUUUUGGCGUUGGUUUCACGUCAAGGGGGCCUCCGGGCUGUCGACGAGAUAGGGGGUCGCGCCCUAGGGGGGGGGGGCGCCCCCCACUCUCUUGGGCUGCCCAGGACUCCUCUGGCCCAACUCUGAUGCUCCGUGGUCUUCUUUUGGUCUAGAAAAAAUCCUCAAAAAAUGGCACAUCAAUUGGACUCUGUUUGGUAUCCAUUUUCUGUAAAACACUAAAACAAGGAGAAAACAGAAACUGGCACUGGGCUCUAGGUUAAUAGGUUAGUCCCAAAAAUCAUAUAAAAUAACAUAUAAAUGCAUAUAAAACAUCAUAGAUGGAUAAUAUAAUAGCAUGAAUACUUCAUAAAUUAUAGAUACAUUGGAGACGUAUCGUUGUUGUAGCCGUCGUGAUCUCCGGAGUUCCCGCGGCCCUUGCCGCGGUAGUUGCCCUUGCCCCGGUUGGUAUUGUUGGUGUUGCCGUUGGAGUCCCGGGCGAGGUAGUUGACAGAGGAGCCGCCGUGCUGAAGAUGAAGACAAGCGGCAUUGUACUCGCGGCGUCGCUCGAAGGCAAUCGCAUGGGAGUAGAACUCACCAAGGGACAUGCCCUCGGGGCGGGUGGUAGCAGCUGUGAUGAGGGGCUCAUAGUCGCUGUCGAGGCCGGUGAUGACGGCGGUGAUGAUGUCCUCAUCACGCAUGGGGCGGCCGACAGUGACAAGCUGAUCAGCGUUGGCUCGGAUCUUGCGGAGUAGUCCGCCAUUGAAAGAUUGCCCUUCCUGAAGACUGCCAUGUCCAGUUUGAUCUGGACGAUACUGGCGCGGCAGUGGAUGGUCUAGAUUGGUAUGAGUUGUAUGUUUGUUUCAACAUGUAAACGAAGGAGAAGUAGAUUGGAUCGACACCCAACAUGGUGGCCUCGGGAUGUAUUUAUAUGAGUGCAACUAGGGCACAGAUUACAGGUUGUUACAUGAGAUAAGUAUAGAUAUUAACAGACUCCUAGAUCACAACAAUAUACAGUUUAACACUCAUGACCGAGGAUUGGGACAUAUAAUUGUGUGCGUUCGGCUGAAAAGAAUGAUAUGUGUUGAUUUGUGCGUAAAUGAUGUCCAACGACUCUUGGUACAUUUUUUGCGGGAAAACUUUUGAUCUUUUCAUCUUCAAUCAUCGUAGUACAAUGAAGACUAAAAAUAAUAAUAAUUACAUUCAGAUCCAUAAAUCACUAGUGAUGACUACAAGCACUGAAGCCUAGUAGAGGCAUUUGGAAAACGUUGUUAGUGUCGCGGACUGGAGAAGCCACUAUUAUGACACCAAUGAUAAGGCUCACUAGUGGCGCCGGCUUCCAACGCCGAUAUAAACAUUUUCCAAAUGCCCAUAUUACUGGCGGCGGCGGCCAACGUCGCUGAUAACUUAGGUAUUGUUGGCGCAGGUCGGCCGGCGCCACAUGUACUUAUUGUAUUCGUGGUGUACGGUAAAAACCAACUGACUAUAAAAUAUGGCCGAAUAAUAAUAAUAAUAAUAAUAAUAAUAAUAAUAAUAAUUGUGUUGCAUAUAAAAUCUCGUGACAUUAAAAUUGUAUUGCUUAUGAAAUCGCAUUACAUUACAUUAUAUAAUAGCAUUCAUAUGAAGUCACAUUGCAUUGCCUAUGAAACCACAACUAGGUCGAGUGCUAUUUGCCAAGUCUAUUUGGGCUUUUGCUGUGUGCCAAGCCUUUGGCACACGGCAGACGUUCAAAUUCGGUAGUGAACUUUUCCUUGUUGUAUAUUUGGACUGAGUCUUUUUAAAGAGAAAACAUCAUACGUGAUUUCUUUUUCACCAAACUCCAUUCGCCUCAUCGAUAUGUGCAUUCUCUUCUUUUUCCAAUCUCGUGUAUAUGCAUUGACUAUAUUCUCUUGCUUCUUGAGCACUCCCAUUUAAUGAUUUCCUCACGUAUACCGUGUCAAGAUGAAUCUUGCAUUGCUAAUUUUCUUUGCGUGAACAAAUAUAGGAUCCUUUAUUCAGGACUUGGAAAGCUGUCAAUUAUGCAAACAGAUCCGCGCGCUGUUGGACAGCUAGGGUUUUAUGUCCGUUCUGUGGACCUCUUUCCAUUUCACCUACCAUAUAUAUGAACCAAGGAUGCAGCUAAUUUUGCCGAUAUGGUAACCAUCCUAGCUUUAUAGUAGUGGGAUUAACAAACUACGGGUUGUAAUCACAAUGUUUACAUGCAUGCCAAAAUACAUCACCGCACUGGAUCGAGAACAAUGACGUGGAAGCACAAGCUAUAGGCACUAGACAGAAGCCACCCACGCAGAUCAUGAACAACUUAUGUCUGUUUCCUUGCACCUUUUUAUCUUUAUCUAGCUAUAUAAACCGCCCAGAGAUCAAGAGUGUAGUUAUCCAUAUACACAACUGAUUAAGAUAGUACUAAAACCGAGGCAGAAAGUCUGUUCGCAGAGGAAACAAUGUCGAUGAAGACCAUGUUCUCGGUGCUCCUGCUAUGUAUGCUUGUGGCAACACCCAUAGCGGCCGAGUACGGCGCAUGGAGCGAUAACAGUGGUCCCUGGAUGUGCUAUCCCGGGUAUGCCUUCAAGGUGCCCGCGCUCCCUGGCUGUCGUCCAGUGCUGAAGCUCCAGUGCAAUGGCAGCCAGGUGCCCGAGGCUGUCCUAAGGGACUGCUGCCAGCAGCUCGCCGACAUCAGCGAGUGGUGCAGGUGCGGUGCCCUCUACAGCAUGUUGGACAGCAUGUAUAAGGAGCAUGGCGUGCAGGAGGGACAGGCGGGGACAGGCGCGUUCCCACGCCGCCGGAGGGAGGUGGUGAAGCUGACGGCGGCGAGCAUCACAGCGGUCUGCAAGCUACCAGGGUUGGGGCCACUGUUGUGCAGAACGUGCGGCCCGCACAGGGCCCAAUUUUUUUUAUAUAAGACUAUAUACCAAACAUUAGGAAUUAGAAGCAAGGGAUAAUUAGACGGAUUGGUAAUGGUCAAACGACAAACAUCUGGACGGACAACUGGAUCCCGAAGGAAACCACGCCAAUACCAAUCACUUCCCUGGUGGCGAAUCCACCGAGGAUGGUUUCAGAACUGCUGUCACCAGCAACAGCAGGGUGGGACGAAGUUUUGGUGCCUUCGGUCCUCUUACCCAUAGAUGCGAAUGCAAUACUAAAGAUACCCACAUGCACUAAUAAUACUGAGGAUUUUUGGGCUUGGUACCCGGAUAAGAAAGGGAAAUUUUCAGUUGCGUCGGCAUAUAAAUUUUUACUCAAGGUUAAACUGCAGCGAGAUGAUUGGUUAGAGGGACGAGGUGGAUCAUCUAACACCCACAUGGAUGAAAAAUCUUGGAGUCCUUUGUGGAAAUUGAAGGUUCCGUCCAAAGUGCGGAUUUUCUUAUGGCGACUUGCACACCACUCACUCCCGACCACUGACGUCUUGAAGAAGCGUAAUAUGUCAGUACAGGAUGUGUGCCCACUGUGUGGAUGUCAAGAUUCAUGGAGACAUGCCCUUGUCUCUUGCACUAUGUCCAGAUGCAUUUGGGCGAUGACGGACGAUGAUCUUGUCUCACGCAUGACAGCUAAUGCAGAACCUAAUGCAAGACUCUGGCUGUUUGAGCUCAGCGACAAACUUGAUCAAGCGAGCUUCACAAGGAUGGCUGUUACUCUGUGGUCAAUCUGGUAUGCUAGAAGCAAGGCAGUGUAUGAGUCUUUGUUUUAGAGCCCUCAGCAAACAAUCCGUUUUGGGGACAAUUUUAUAUCUGAAUUGGGCCAACUUGAAAGUGGGCAGGGACGUAGGGAGCAAAGAGCACCUCUAACUGCUCAGCCUAAGCGGUGGCUCCCACCACCCAAUGGUUCUGUAAAGAUUAAUGUAGAUGAUGCUAUUGUAAGAUCACAACGUGGAGGAGCUGUCGCGGCAAUGUGCAGAGAUCAAACGGGCCAAUAUUUGGGAUCUUCGGCUGUGGUCUUCCUAGGAAUCAAUGACCCUUUAAUUCUGGAGACCUUUGCAUGUCGUGAAGCAUUAUCGCUAGCAGAUGAUUUGGCCGUCCAAAAUAUCCGUGUUGCUUCGGAUUGUCAAGAAGCGGUUAAUGAUAUUACAAAGGGGACAGGAGGUCCAAAUGCGGCUAUCGUACAUGAGAUAUCAAGCCGAUGUAAUACUUUCAAUUCCAGUUUCUUUCUUUUCGAGCGUAGGAAUUUUAAUUUUAAGGCUCAUAAUCUUGCCAAGUUUGCUUGUAACCUAGGCGUAGGAAGGCAUGUGUGGUUGGGCAAUCCCCAUGACCCAAACCUUGUACCCAAGACCAUGGUUUUGAAUGAAUAAAGAUGGCGGGAUUUCUCAAAAAAAAAAAGGGAAUAGGGCUAGUGCCGGAACGCUUGGCCACAUCCCACUGGGCACUGGGCUGCAAUCACAUUCGCGACUCUGCCUGGGCGUGCGUCAGUCGCGAUCCUUCCUCACCCGGUCAACGCUCGCAUGCACUCUGCCCAGUUACAUAAUCUUGUUUCCAGGCCAAAGUGCACCGUAGAAAAAAAAACUGAGGCCAAAACUGAGGCCAGUUGUUAAGUCUGUAGUUCAGGACAGACAGGCCAAUGCAUGCUUCCCCAUGCACCUUUUGCUCGGUAGCUCCUUUUAACAUUUAUUUCAGUGAACUUUAGGUUCACAAUUUUUCAAAUAUCCCCAUCAUAGGCUACUAGAGCACAUAGAAUUAAUCUUGAGAGACGAUCGAUUAGGCUACCGACGGGAGAACUGUCAUGACUCGAGCACCAAGCUCUCAAUUCGUUGUAUGUUCUUGACCUCCUCUACCCAGCGCGAUCGGCUGAUAGAGGUCGGCAAUUCGGCGGAGAGAUGUCGUGAGGUCCAUUCUCAACAGGAGCAGCACUACAGUACUUUGACCCGGAAUAAUCACCACGAAUUUAGCAAUUCUUUCAAUACUUCAAUAGAUCAAUGAUGCACAUCCCUUAAUUUUGUUUUAUUUCUUUCUUAUUUAGUGCUUCAAGAAUCUAGAUGGGUCACCAAUCAAGUCUUUUACAAGCAUAUGUAAUGUUUUCUUAUUUCUGUAAUUUUGUUUUUAUAAUGAGAUGGGGCCUCAUUUUUUAGUUUGUACAAGCAUAUGUAAUGUUUUCUUAUUUCUGUAAUUUUGUUUUUAUAACGAGAUGGGGCCUCAUUUUUUAGUUUGGCACAGGGCCCCAGAUUUUACCGGCCUGGCCCUGCAAGCUACCCAUCGUCGUUGAUGCGUCCGGAGAUGGAGCGUAUGUCUGCAAGGAUGUGGCCACAUACCCAGACGCCUAGUCAAGCGAAUGAGUAGCUACUAUGUUGUGUCAUGCAUCUGCCUCUUAAUUUGUGGGGUGCACACAAGCUGAAUAAAAUGGUGUAUGCGCCUAUGCGAAAUGCAUCGUUAAUGAAUAAAAGCGAAGUUCCUUGUUGAUCGAGAAAUUUUGAUCCAGCAUGCAAAAGAAUAA
This 125491-nucleotide long non-coding RNA is filed under the name Triticum aestivum (bread wheat). RNAcentral's name for it is "long non-coding RNA (TAES_LNC026816)". The stretch from base 22111 to 22245 matches the Rfam family "MIR1120/MIR1122 microRNA precursor family". The record is from RNAcentral. Lineage: Eukaryota; Viridiplantae; Streptophyta; Magnoliopsida; Poales; Poaceae.